AAGAAGUUAGUUAAGCUGCUCAUGGAAUCUGUGUAUAAAAACCUGAAACGUAGUCCACAUUCUUCAAGAUUAGAAUCAGCACCGGUUUCUCUAAUCAAUUAGGAGCCAUGGCCAGCCACAAGGCAUUGCUGCUUCAUCUGCUAGCACUCUUCUCCAUGCUGUCCAUGAGCGCCAAUGCUUGUAGGCUCUGUGGUAUUUCUCUGCCACUAGUACCAGACUUCCUCUGCCCACCAGAUCCCUGCAAACUACGACUCCGUCCGCCUCCACCACCACCUGGGAAGAGUCCACCUUCACGUCCACCUCCUCGAAGAGGGAUUCCAAUACUGCCCCCCCAUUUUGCAGUAAUUGUUCUCCUCUGGCACCUGAUUUGAGUGCACCACUACAUAUAUUACACACCCUAUGCUAAAUAAAGGAAAAAGAAAUGCAGAAUAUGAAUAAUAAUACCUGAAGAAUAGGUAUGGGCAGAGUUUCGAGCUCUGCAGCAAGAAGUUGUAUUAGGUACUGUAUUUACCUUAAAACCAGUUCCUUACUCCUGGGAAUUUAAGUGACAAGCACUAUGAUCUUGUUCUACGUUUAUCUAUUAUGUAUCGAAUAAGACUUGAUAUUCUGUAUUGAUCUUACGGACCCUCCCUUUUUCUUUUGGAUCUUACGGACUUAUUGGUACUUUUCAUGGCUUAGUACUUGCUCGUAGUUAUUAUCAGUAAAAUGCAACUAUGGCCACUGAAAAAAUUCGUUUGGCCCACUGACAUUUCUUGGGCGUUAAAUCACUAGUUAAACUUCUAAAUGCGCAGUGUUUUGAUCAUUUUGUUAAUUUGCUUCCAUUAUCUUUAGGGUAAAUUCCACUUUACCCCCCUGUGGUUUAGCGUUUUUUCACAUAACCCCCCUAUGGUUUCAAAAGCUAUACAUAACCCCCUCAUGGUUUGGAUUAAAGUGUCAAAGUAACAGAAAUAGUCACUCGUAACGGAACUUCUAAAAAUGUCGAAAUUACCCUUAUAAAUACAUGACACAUUAACCCCCUAUAAUUUUUAUAUUUUACCAUAUAACCCCCUUAUGGUUUAAUACUUUACCAUAUAACCCCCUUAUGCUUUUCAAAAUAUACACAUAACCCCCUUGGUUAAUACAUAAAUUUCAACCUUACAUAAGGGUAUUUUUGACAUUUUAGGUGACGCCGUUACGAGUGACCAUUUCCGUUACUUUGACACUUUAAUCCAAACCAUGAGGGGGUUAUGUAUAGCUUUGAAACCACAGGGGGGUUAUGUGAAAAACGCUAAACUACAGGGGGUAAAGUGGAGUUUGCCCUCAUCUUUAACAAAAAGUUGUUGCGCCGGACAUGUAAACUACCAUCAUAGCCACAUUUUGGCCAUUUAUUCUGGUCAAGAAUAAACUUUUAUUUCACAUGCUGAACUUUUUUCUUUUGUGUCAUUUCACCCAUUUUAAUUUAAAAUGUGUAGAUUAGGUCUUUUAGAAAUAACAAAAAUACCCCGAAAGGGGGAGGGUGCAUGUGACGUUAAUUGUGCCAAAUUAUUGCACUUAUGUAAGCUCAAUCACACUGAGAAAGACUCGAUCUAGUGAUUAAAGUUGACGCUGUAGAAAUUAGAAGUUUUGGAUUCAAAUUCAUUUUUUGUCUCGCUACUUCUAAAAUUUCACGCCUUCCCUAUGUAAGAAAAAUCAAUUUUUUUUUUAAAAAAAAAAAAUAGAAGUCCAGUCAUUGAAUUUAGAAGAAAAGAACUUGGAUCUCCCUUUCUUCUGAUAAAGAUAUAAAAGAGAUCUUAAAAACAGAAUAAAGUGAGAGUGAGAUCACAUGCAUGCGAUGCGAGCCCCUUCAUAGUCACAUUCAAAUAUCGUUAGGACCCCUAUAUAGGAAUGGGAGACCAAAGGUUACUUCUGGUGGAAGAAUUUUAAUAUCCAUAACAACUUUAUAAUUUUCUCAGUUAAUGCACAGAUUAUGUAAUCCCCCAUCUUAUUUGUCAAAAGUUUUCGACAAGUGAUAUUAGAGUAGGUUCAGUUAAAUUCUGGUAGAAUGAGGCGUGGGAGAUUUGAAGAAUGGAAGCAAGAGCCAUUUUGUAGUCCGAACAAGCAAUGCUGUAACAAUAAAAGUUAGAAGACUAACUUGUUGAAAAAAAAUUUACAAAGACGAAGUUGUUGCAGUUUACCGCAUUGCAUAUUAAGAAAACUAAAAUAAAAUUUCUUAACAGAAAGUUAAGCAAAAAUGAUCAUAUAUGAUCAUUGAUAAAUGCUUUGGGCUAAUUAAUAGAAGUACGUUACCAAGAAAAUAACUUCAUUUAUAUAAACUACAAAAAGAAUUUAAGGAAAUAUUAUUACAAAUGUAAAAAAAAAAAGAACAGUCUUAGAAAAGAUGAAAUUUCCUAGAAAAAUAAAUUCCUUAUUUUUCUUUUUAUUCAUCCUUAGUCGCUCAGAAUAUUUCUUUAAAGGUUUUGCCGUAAUACUUUCGUGUAACUUUUUUUGUUUCUCAAUGUAAAUCCAUCUUUUAAAAAAAAAAAAAUUACUUUCAUUAUCUUUUUUCAAAAAAUUUUGAAAUGCAAAGAUCAUUUACAUAGGAGAAUCAAUUCCAGGUUUUAGAGGAUAUCUCCUUUCUAACUACGCUAAAAAAAAUUAAUUCAUUUGCAAAAGCUAAAGGCAAUACUGCCGGAAUUUGACAUUCUGACAAGGGAACCAUAUCCAAACGCCCAAUGUUUUUCUCAAUAAUAGGCAAAAUACUAGUUAAAGUAAGUAUGAAGAAAUUCGAUUUCCAUGCCCCAAGGCGGCCUUUCUCUUGCCCAAAGUGCCCAACAAGCAAUUCAUUCAUAUUCACUGAAAAAUUGACACUAGUUGUACAAUUAUUAAACCACAUGGGAAACCUUGGAAGUGAAUUCCUAACCAUUAUUAAUAGGAACCAAGGAAGUCCCUGCUAACAAAAUCAUAUGGCUCCAACACUUCCGCCUUUACUCUACCACGAAUUACAUGCCUUUUCUUACAGUUUAUCAAACUAACUGGACUGAUUUUAACCUUUCUGCCAAGAUUUUUGAGUACCAUUUGCACGUGAAACUAAAAUAUGCUAUAUAUCUAAAAUCCGUCACCCUAUUUGCAGUUCCCACUUGAAUUUUAACAUUAUUUUAAAUACCAUAAAGGGGAUCACCUAUACUCAUGUCUUGUGAUCUUGAUUGUGAUGACUGACAUUCCUCUGAUCCAGUUUGAGGUUAAACCGUGCUUUCUUUCGAUAAUCAUGAUUACAAUAGACCGUUAAGCUGGAUGGAAACAUAAAAGUACGAUAACAUAAUCUAUUGUUGCGGAAUUCUAUUUAUUCAACUUGUUGCAGUAAAGUACAAAAAGGCGUAUGCAUUAUCAGACAACGUUUGAGCACAAAAGAAAGACUUAAAACAGUGGGGCAUGAAAGUUUCUUCUCCUCUGUGUGAACUGCGUCAUGAGCAAGAAGAAACGCAGGGUCAUUUAUUUUUUGAAUGUCGAUUUGCUAGAAUUGUGUGGGAUAAAAUCCGGAGUUUCUGUCUACUCUGUAGAAGCCAGGGGCGGAUUUAAAAGUGGAGGCACGGCCCCCACUGCCUCCAUCAAUUUCCUAUAAUAUAUCUAUAAUUUUGACAUAAUUUUAAAGGUGCCCCCAGAAUUUGUUUUAGAAAAAAUGUGAAAGAAUGGAUCACAAAAUUUAUAUCAUUCACUUUCCUCCUUUAGUUCCCAUUUUCCCACCAACAGGGCCAAGUACCAAUUAUAUCAGUCAUUCCUUUUGGUUCUCACUCCCCAAGUUCCCUUUACUCCUGUGGUCCUCCAUUUCCUUCACAACCGGUUCUUCUUCUUCCAUACCCAAGUCAACUACUUUUUAUUUUUAUCACUUCAUCAAUUAUCAAUUUACUUCCUUUGUCCACACUCUCCAAUUUCCUUUCCUCGUUUGGCUCUCGUUGUCCCCACUCCCCAACAUACAUAAGAGAGCCAUUUUUUUCCACAACCAAAGCUUGUUAUUCUUUCUUUUGAUCACUUCAUCCUAUUUAGAGAUUGCAUCAGAAUCAAUUGAUUUUCUAGGACUUGGGUCCACCACAUUUUGCAGCUCUUUUCACCAACUUUAGGAGACCAUCAAAAUCAGGUUCUAAACAAUUACUUAUUAUUAUUAUUAUUUUAAAUUUAUUUGCAAAUAUAUUUCUAGAGCAUGAGACUAUUACUGUUUUAAAGAAAUUUAAAAAUUGAUUAGUUAAUGUAAUAACUAAUAAAUGGGUUAUUUGAUACAUAUUUUAACUUGUGAAAUGGUGAUUUUAUGCAUGAGGCUUUUUUUUUUGCUUAAAAAAAAUUAGAAAAAGAGUAAAUAAAAAAUUUUAGUAUUAUUUUUGCCCCACUAAAAUUUUUUUCUGGCUCCGCCCCUGGUAGAAGCAUGCUGAAUUGGAAUGAUGAGUUGUAGUGGUGGCGUAAGAAUUGUAGGACUCAAUCUUUUGCUAAUAAAGUCAAGAGUGUGGCUUUCUCUAUGACUGUCUACUUCCUAAGGCAGACUAGAAACAAGAGUUUAUUUCAGGCCUUCCAGUGUGGGCGUAGUGGUUGCUGUCGUCAAUGCAAUGCAAAUAGUUGCUACCUCUUGAAGCAAGAUUCCUCGCACCAGAGAGAAAUGGGAGUUGGUUCUUGAGUUGGGAUUAGAUAAAGUUGCUUUGUAUGAUUCUUAUUGUCUUUUCUUUCGAAUUUUGACAGUAGAGUGUACAGAAAUUGUGCAGUCCAAGGUAGAUUGAGGAUUUUAUCAUUUUUUGUAAAGCUUUAUUGAUUGAUCUAUCAUGGAAAAAGGUUAUAAAUUUGCUAAAAAAAGGCAUAUGAAAUAUUAUUCACGCAUAUGAUUUUGAAGUUUACAACUAUAGUUGAUGACGUCUCACUUAAAAGUAGAAAAUCCAGCCCAACUAUUCACAUCUGAGCUUCGUAGGCCUUUAUUUGUAAUGCUUUAUAUAUGAUCUCUAAUUUGUAUUUAGGACGUAUGACUGAAUUCAAAUGACGGUCUAAUGGAAGACAUAUGCAUAGAGCAGGAUUAAAUAACUAUUAAAUUCUAUCUAGUGAUAAUGAAGGUAGGUGGAGCUACAGAAACGACUAUGAACUUAUCUUCCAGAGGAUGAAUUGUCAUUUUUAAUCCUCUCACGAUGCACCAUUUGGUGAUCUUCUAUGUGGAGGUGGUGGAGGUGAAGGUAGUGGUGGCAGUGAAGGAGGUGGAGGAGGUGGAGAAGAACGCGGGGUUGGUGAAAAAUGCGGAGGCAGAGAUGGCAAAAAUGAUGGAGACCAAGGUAGAGGAGAGGAAGGUGGUGAUGGAGAAGGAGGCAGAGAAGAUGAAGGUAGAGGUGAAGGUGGUGGUGGUGGUGAUGAGGGAGACGGAGGAGAUGAUGGUGAUGAAGGUGGAGGAGAAGGCAGGAAUGGUAAGGGAGGUGAAUGAGGGGAAAUGGGUGGUGGAGAAAGAGGCGUAGGUGAAAGUGGCAGAGGAGAAGGUGGUAGUGGUGAAGGAGGCAGCGAGGUGGAGGAGGAGAGGAUGGUGGACGUGAAGGCUGUGGGGGAAAGGGUGGUGGUGGUGAAAGAAGCGGAGGAAAUGGAGGUGAUUUCUUAGGCGGUGGAGGUCUAGAUGGUGGAGAAGUAGGUGGUGAUGAUGGUGGAUGUGAUUUUUUGGUGGUGGGGAUGGACUCUUUUUUGGUGUGGAGGAGAUAGCGGUGUUUUCUUCGUGGAUUAAGGUGAAGGUGACAUUUUAGGUAGUAGAAUGUGGAGAAGGAGAUGGAGAAGGAGGUGAUGGGUGGUGGGGCAGGGGUGAUUUCUUUGGUGGGUGAUUUCUAGUGGAGACGGAGGUGAUUUUUAAGUAGUGGAGGUCGAGGAGAAGAUGGAGAGGAGGUGAUGGUUGAAGGGCUGGGAGUGAUUUCUUUGGUGGGUGAGACGGAGUUGAUUUCUUAAGAGGUGGAGGUGGAGAAGGUGAUGGCGAUGGAGGUGGGGGUGAUUUCUUUUGUGAGAGAUGAAGCAAGGUGAGUUACUUUUUAGUCGAGGCGGAGGUGAUUUCUUAGGUGAUGAAGGAGAAGGUGGUUUUUUUUUGUUUGGAAUAGUGGAAUAAUAAUUGAGGGUUUAUGUUUAAAGUGUGGCCAUGGUUUGAUGUGCGGCCAAUAUCGCGGUGGGCAAAAACCAGCAUUUACAUUCACAAUGAAUAGGGCAGCAGAGAUUGCUAAGAGAUGUGUCAGGACCUCUCAAAACGAAGGAUGGGAGAAGGAAUUGGGAUUAACAGAUUUGGGAUGAAAGAAGAAGAAAGGGGAGAGAGAAGAGGAGAGGAUCAAGGACAUAUGAAUUUGAGAGGGAAAUUUGAAUUCUCUUUUUUCUUGUUAUCCAAUCUACCAAUUGCUUGGAUUUAUACAGCUCAAUUGGUUUGAACCUUUCUGGCACGGAAUUUCCGUGCACUGAGCUUGAUUCUAACUGAAUUCAAUUAUAACGAAUUCUAACAACAUUUGGUCCUACCUAAACUAAUUACGCUAGCGCCCCUGAGACUUAUAUCUGAUUACAAUUGGGUCCCUGGUUCUGAUUUUUAACUAAUUACGCUAGCUCCCCUGAGACUUCCUAUCUGAUUGCAAUUGGGCCCUGGUCCUGACAUUACUCCUCCCUUAAGGGCAGCCUUGACCUCAAGGCUGGAACUCAGGAAAUUGCCUGGUGAUGAAAGAUUGAUCAUUCCACGAUGCCUCUUAUUCUCCUAGCUGAUGCCACUUUAUGAGGUACUGAAUCACAGGAAACACCAUUGCGCAUGAUCACCCUCCUUUGCAAGACCUCUGCAGGCUGUAGCAGGCACUGAUCACAUCCAUCAACUCUGGUAGUGUAGGAGUAGUGGACUGAUGGGGGUCCAACUUAGGCUUUAGAAGUGAUACAUGAAAAACUGGAUGCACCUUAGAGCCUGGUGGAAGCUUGAGUUUAUAUGCGACAGCUCCAAUCUUUUCCACUAUUUGAAAGGGUCCAAAGAAUUUCGCAGCUAGCUUUAGAUUUUUCCUGAGUGCCACCGUCUGUUGUCUAUAAGGUUGCAACUUCAAAAAAACCCAAUCUCCCACCACAAACUGCCUUUCUGUCCUGUGUUUGUCAGCAAAUAUUUCAUCCUAUUUUGAGCCUGAUGCAAGUGCUCUUUGAUCCUGUGAAGCAUUUGGCUCUUGUCUGCAACAUGUCAUGAGCUGCUAGUAUUAGUGUAUCAUGGUAGGGUCCCAAGGGCAGUGGCAAAGGCUUGUAACCAUAGAGAGCCCGAAUGGAGAAACUCCCAAGCUCGUGUGGUAUGCAGUGUUGUACCACAGUUCAGCUAAACUGAGCCAGUGGCUCCACUGAGUUGGACUCUCACUGGUUAUGCGUCUCAAGUAGGUCUCUAGACAUUGAUUCAAUCUCUCACUCUGACCAUCAGUCUCAGGAUGGUAGGAGGAACUAUAGUGUAGUUCAGUUCCAGCCAUCCUGAACAAUUCCUGCCAGAAACCACUAGUGAAUACCUGUCUCUGUCUGUAUGAUGGACUCUGGUAAACCAUAGAGCUUGUAGACAUUAUCUAGGAAGACUUGUGCUACUUGGGCAGCUGUGAAAGGGUGAGAAAGUGGUAUAAAAUGACCAAACUUUGUCAGUCGGUCUACUACUACCAUAAUAGUGUCAAAUCCCCUAGAGGAAGGUAAUUUCUCAAUAAAGUCCAUAGUAAUAUGUGACCAGGCCUGAGUAGGAAUUGGUAGAGGUUGUAGUAGCCCUGGAUAUGGCACUCGUUCACUUUUGUUCCUUUGGCAGACUUCACAUUCUUGUACGAACUGUAUGAUAUCCUUCUUUACUCCUGGCCAAUGGAAUAUGCUGUACACUUUCUGUAGGCAAGUUCUUUGACCAGAAUGUCCCAAUGGGGGACUCAUGUAGAGCUUGAUUAUUUUCUGCCUAACUCCCUUGCUAUUUACCACAUACAGCUCCCCAUUGUAUCUGAGUAUCCCUUGAUUGAGUUGAAAAUCAGAGUCUUGGGGUGUAGGAUCCAGCAGUAGUUGACUCAUCAACUCCUGCACUGUGUAUCUUCAAAGUAGCUAUCUUGUAGCUCUUGCAUCCAUAAGGGUUGAGCACUGGUAAUGGCCAUCAACUGUUGUCGUGCAGGUUGCUGAUCCAACAUGGUCCUCCUAGAUAGAACAUCAGCAACAGUGUUCUCUGAUCCUUUCUUAUACUGGAUUUCAUAAUCCAAUCCUAACAGUUUUGUCAACCACUUGUACUAAGCAGUAGUCGUGAGCCUUUGUUCCAGUAGAAAUUUCAGGGAUUUGUGAUCUGUUCUAAUAAUAAUAAAUGGUUCCAAUCAGAUAGUGCUUCCACUUUGUUACUGCAAAAACUAGUGUCAUCAACUCCUUCUCAUAAACAGACAGCCCCAUGUUCCUGAGGGAGAAGGCCUUGCUAAUGAAGGCUAUUGGGUGACCCUCCUGUAAGAGGACAGCUCCCAUGCCUUGCCCACUUGCAUCAGUCUCUACUACAAAAGGGAUACUAAAAUUGGGCAGUCUUAGCACUGGGGCACUACUUAUGGCCUGUUUGAGGUGGUUGAAGGCUUUGUCAGAAUCAGCAUUCCAGUUGUAAGCAUCCUUCUUCAGUAGAUUAGUCAAUGGCUUGCUGAUGGUUCCAUAGCCUUUUAUGAAACGUCUGUAGUAACCUGUGAGGCCUAGGAAUCCCCUAAGUUCUUUAACAUUCCUGGGAAUAGGCCAUGUCUGGAUGCACUCCACCUUGCUCAUGUCCAUACUCACCCUCUGCUAGACACCACAUGUCCCAGAUACUCCAUCUCUGCUGAGCAAAGGAGCAUUUGGAGAGCUUAGCAUAUAGCUGGUUGUGUUGAAGCACCUUCGGUACUUGCCUGAGAUUCUCCCUGUGGAGAUCUAGAGUAGUACUGUAGACCAGAAUAUCAUCGAAGAAAAUCAGAACAAACUUCCUUAGGAAUGGUUCAAAAAUCUGAUUCAUUAAUGCCUGAAAGGUUGCUGGUGUAUUUGUGAGAGCCCAGAAGGCAUCACCAGGAACUCAUAGUGUCCCUGAUGAGUUUGGAAGGCAAUUUUGUGAGUAUUUGCUACCUUAACUCUCUGAUCUGGUGGUAUCCUGACCUCAGGUCAAUCUUGGAAAAGAACUUGGCUCCAUAAAGUUCAUCCAGAGUUCAUCAAUGUUGGGGAUAGGAUAUCUGUCCUUAAUUGUUUAGUCAUUGAGGUGCCUGUAGUCCACACAAAAAAGCCACGUAUUGUCCUUUUUCUUGACAGCAGCACAGGUGAAGCAUAGGGACUAUUGCUUGGCUUGAUGAUUCCUGAUUUCAGCAUAUCUGCAAUUUGUCUUUCAAUCUCUGCCUUCUGUGAGUGAGGGUACCUGUAUGGUUUCAUUUUGAAGGCUUGUGCUCCUGGCUUGAGAGGAAUCUGAUGAUCCAAGGGUCUGUUGGGGGGCAACUGAGUAGGUUCCUGGAAUACUUCUGGAAAUUGCUCCAAUACUGCGGCUAUUGAUCCUGGAACCACUUUCCUUUCUAUUUCCCUAUCUCCACAUUGUGCUGAGAUAGCACAACAUUUCCUCUUCUCCUGCAGGAAACCCCUGAGAUCCUUCCUUCUAACCAACUCCAUGGUGGCAUCAGUAACUGCCCAUGCAGAGUGACCCCUCUCCUUGAUGAUACAUAGAGAUUUUUAGCUCGUGGAAAUCAAAAGUAAUGGGACUGUAAUUGUGCAUCCAAUCCAUCCCCAAAAUGAGAUCCCAUUCGCCUAACUCCAUAAUUUGAGGUCAAAGCAAAACUUGUAGUUCUGAAUAUUCCAUAGAACCUUGGGGAACUGAGCCCCACUGGUUACCAAGCUCCCAUCCCCAUGGUGACAGUGAAAGGUUUGACAUAUUCAAAGGGAAUGCCCUGUGCAGUCAGCAACUUGUGAUGGAUGUAACUAUCACUGCUGCCUAUAUCCACCAGAAUCUUGACAGGUUUCCCUAAAUAGCUAUCCUUGUAGCAUGAUUGUAUUUCGCCUUAGUGAAUCCGAGAGAGCAUUCAGUGAAAUUUCCACUGGUUCCCCUGGAUUCCCAGUCAGCUCAUCCUGUUCUCCUUGAGCAUCUUGGAAUUCAGUGUCCUCUUCUUCCUCAUACAUCAUGAGAUUCAAAUGCUUCAUCCUACACUGAUGUCCUACCCCAAAUUUCUCCCCACACUUGAAGCACAGGCCAUUAUUCCUUCUGAAUUGCAGUUCCUGGGGAGAUAACCUCUUAAACUUUGGGCUCCUAUCUGAAAUCUUGGAAGCUCCUUUAGGUAUAUUAUCCUGUGGUAGUUUAUAGGUGCUAACUCCCCAUUGGUAGAGGUCGGGUGCCUAUACAUUCCAAAUUUGGGUUCAGCCAUUACCUUGUGGCCAUCUCUAACUGUUUUCCCUUGCAACUUGAGAGCCUGUUCCUGCAGGUGAGCUAUCUCCAUGGCUCCUGAGAGAGUGUUGGGUCUGAGCAUUUUGACCAUUGGCUUAAUCUCCUAAUUGAGUCCGCUUGUGAAACUGGAGAUAAAGUAUUCCUCACUAAGACCUGGAUUCUGGAUCAGCAUUAGUGUUUUCAACUCCUCAAACCUCUCCUAGUAAACUUCUAUUGAACCAACCUGCUGCAGUUUAUUAAAUGCCUCCACAAUAUCUCUGCAACACGUACCUUCGAAUCUUUGGCACAGCAACUCCCCAAAUUCCCCCCAGGUCAGCCUUGGCUUCUCUAAUUUGACCCCUUGGAACCAAUUGUCAGCUCUGCCUUCUAAAAACAUUUCUACUACCAACAGUUUGUGUUCCUCAGGUACCUUAUUCAGCAGAAAAUAUUUAUCGCAUUUCCGGAUCCAUUCUCUAGGAUUGUUCCCACUGAACAUAGGUAACUCAAGUUUUGGAGGAUUAUAGUUAGAAAUCUUACUCAGGAAUUCACAACUCCUUACUUCCUCCUCUGCUCCUAUGCUCAACUUCUGAUGAAUGAGAGGUGUUGGCAGCAAGGGCGGACGAUCUCUCCCAGCUUUGCGCUCCAUCAUCUAAGUUCUUUUCCCUGGUCAUUAGUGCCUUCAUCAUGGAGUUGAGUGCUUCCAGCUUCUGAUCCAUUCCUAGCGCGAUCGUGUCCAUCUUUCUGUCUCUUUCCGCCAUUUCCUCUCUGACUUGCAGCUGCAUAUUCUUCACGUCCUCCAACACUUCCAGCAGCUUGAGCUCCUGCUUCUUGAUAUGAUCCUUUAAGGUUUUGAAACGUGUGUUUUCUGCCAUUGGUGGAUCUUGGAACUGCCGAGGACUCGCUGGCAGCUCUGAUACCAGCUGUCAGGACCUCUUAAACGAAGGAUGGGAGAAGGAAUUGGGAUUAACAGAUUUGGGAUGAAAGAAGAAGAAAGGGGAAAGAGAAGAGGAGAGGAUCAAGGACAUAUGAAUUUGAGAGGGAAAUUUGAAUUCUCUUUUUCUUGUUAUCCAAUCUAUCCAGUUGCUUGGAUUUAUACAGCUCAAUUGGUCCGAACCUUUCUGGAACGGAAUUUCCGUGCACUGAGCUUGAUUCUAACUGAAUUCAGUUAUAACGAAUUCUAACAACAUUUAAUCCCACCUAAACUAAUUACGCUAGAGCCCCUGAGACUUUAUAUCUGAUUACAAUUGGGUCCUUGGUUCUGAUUUUUAACUAAUUACGCUAGCACCCCUGAGACUUCCUAUCUGAUUGCAAUUGGGCCCCUGGUCCUGACAAGAUGCCAUAGCGAAACCAUACGGCUCGCCAUGGUUGCUACAUUAGCUGUUAACUGCCUUGAUUGAUGGAAUUGAUGGUUGAGUCUAGGUUUAUUACACAUAUAGAUAGACAAAAGUGGUUUGGGCAAACAAUAAUAAAAUCAACACAAAUUUUUUACAAGCUAAACAUCAACUAUAGCUACUAGGAAGAUAUUUUCCUUAGUACAAUUAUUUUUCUUAGCUUUUUCUACAUAUUUUCAAGUUAUUUGAAAAUUUUUCCUAGUUCAUCACUGACACCUCACUCCAUUAAAGCACACCACCAUAUGGAGGGAAAAAUGUAAAAGUAAAUGACAUUGAAGGAAUAUAUCUCAAUGUUAUUUUGUAUCCCUUCUUCAUUUGUUUGUUGUACCUAAGUUCUACUUUUUGCCCAUUUAUCUAUCAAACUACAUAAAAUUUACUUGUAGAUUUUUUUUCAACACAAAUGCCACUAUGAUAAAAUGAUUGCCGUGCCUAGUACUUUGAUAGUUUUCUUUUAUGCCUAUGUUUUAUCCUUUUUCAGUUUGGUUGGUUUUUUUUUUGUUUUUUUUUUCUCUAGUUUUUUUGGGUGUAGGCACUUACUUGAUUUAACUUGUCAAAUGCAGUACUUUUAAAUCUAAUUACUUCUUCCCUUUUCAUUCCAGUUUAUAUUUGCAAUUUAUGAUGUAUAUCAAGAAUUUUGCUAUAUUCUUAACUUUGGAAAAAAGCCGUACCUGUAUGUCGAAUAUAUAUAUUUGCUUUUUGUGCCACAGUAUUUUGAUUUAUCUUUUAUUUUUUGGAUGAUAGUAGUGUAUUUUUGUAUUGUAAUGGCUGCAUCUUAGCCCUUAUGGUAGGUUUUGUUACUUAUUUAUAAAGAUUGUAAGAAAUUCGUGCUUCUUCAUGUCUAAAUUUAUAUACAUUUUAUUCAUGUCUGAACUUAUAAUUUCGGUGGGCAAAAAAAAGUUUCAUGCAUGCUUCAAGAUGACUAGAUAUUGUAGCCCUUGCUAUCCAAAUUAUGGGAAUGGAGGCAUUUUGUGCAAAAUUGCCAUUACAAUUAAUAAAAAUGGUAAUCAUUUUUGCAGCAAGUUGAAGACAAGCAUCAAUGCGUAGAACAAAAAUGAUUGUCUGGGUUAAAUUUCAUCCCUUUGUAGAACUUUUAGGAAGCUUACCAUGUAUAUAUUGGAUCUAUCAUUACUGUCAUUACACCAUUUAACUUGUUAUUGUAGAUAGAAAUAGCCAAAAACAACGUUAACUGAACUAAAAAAUAUAGUUUGAGUCGUUUUUAAUAACACUAUCCUAAGAAAUUAUUUUGUGAGGUUGAAAUGUUUCUUCAAGAUUAAACAAAUCUUUUUCUUGUUUAUAACAAGAAGGAUCAGAACUUUAGGUAGCGCGUCUGUUAAAUCCAGCAAAGAGGGAAAGAAGGAAAAGAAGAGAAGUAGAGCAAAAAAACUGGCAGGAAGGUGUCUACUGUCAGCUGUUGGUGUAUCUCUAAAGUGGGAGCACAACUGCUUUUUCUGUGUGACCGAAAAUAUUAAAAGGGAACGUUAUGAAACGUACCAGACCUUCGUAACGAUGAAAUAAAAAGUUUAUCUUCUUAGGAAAGAGUCAAAUUUUGAUUUGUAAAAUAUAAAGUAAAAUUUAUUCUUGGUCACAGUAAAAUUCAUUUGGGCCAUGUUUAACCCACGAGUGAGGGGGGGAAUCCGUCAGUUUGUACUAAAACGGCCCAACUAAACUUUUCUCUCAUACACGUGAACCCACACUAGUUACCAACUUAACACAAACCCAAUAACAGAUUACGCAUUAUAAAUGAUGAGAAGACCAAAUGAAGUUUUUUGAUUUGGGACAAAAUCUUUUGAAAUAUUCCUUUUAUUUACAACAAUCUCCUUCCUAUUUCAAAAGAUUUUGGUCAAAACUAAAGAAAUAGUCUUGUUGGAUUUAUUUUGGGUGAAAUGUAAUCAGUUUGGUGUCUUUCGAACUAUGAACCAAAUUUAGAUUCAAACAUGACCUAUAUAAUUAUUGGUGAAAUAUGAAUUUUUAUGAACCAAUAACUCUUGAUGUAUGACAGAAAUUUUAUCAAUCACACUACAACCCAUAACUUACUGUUAUCGUGAUUUUGCGCUUUUAGGUCGUGCACCUGCUUGGCUAUUCAUGAUAGCUCUAAAGAUUCGGCCAAUAAAUCUUAUAGGAGCGGUCUCACUCCACUCUAUAGGUGAAUUCAUCAAGUGUAUAUUGCUUUAAAUACACCACCUUAAAGGGAUAUGAAUUCAUUAAGAGUUUUAAACUUACCCUCAUAAUUAUUAGCAAUCAAAGCACUUAUCUCCAGAGGGACUUAAAUUUGAAGUGUUUUACGGUCAAUAUUAACUUGUUAUUACCCAUAUGAACGUAUUUCAUGGGAUCACCAAUCACAUAAGUUGGGUUACUGUCUCUAUUGACAACUUGUUGGCCUUAGUCCCAUUUUCCUUGUAGUUUGAAGAAUUAAUUUCCUUCCUACAAGUUUAGUCAGAGGAUCGACCAAAUUCAAUUCUGACUUCACAAAAUUAAUAGAGAUAAUUCCAUCUUUAAACAACUGCUUUACGACAUCAUGUCUUAAUUUUAUAUGUCAACUUUUACAAUUAUAUAAUUUAUUUUUAGCAAUAGCAAUUGUUGUUGACAAUCACAGUGUAUGGACAUAGGAGGCAACAGAUCCUUAGUCGUAGGAAUACUGAUUAAGAAGUUUCUUAACCAAUCAGUCCCAGAACCAGUCAACUCCAGAGCUAUAAAUUGUGAUUCCAUAGUUGAUUUAGUAAUAAUUGUCUGUCUAACUGACUUUCAUGCUACUGUACCACCACGGAGGGUGAAUACAUAACCACUAGUGGAUUUUGUCUCAUUUGAAUUCGAGAUCCAAUUAGUAUCACUGUACCCCUCUAAUACAGUGAAAAAUCCACAAUAUAAGAUACUAUAAUUCAUGGUACUCUCAAAUAUUUCAUUAGUUUGACUAAUGCAAACCAACGAUCACUAUUAGGAUUGUGAAUAUACAUGCUCAGUCGACACACAGCAUAAGCUAUGUUAGAUCUUGUAAAAUUCAUCAAAUACAUCAGGCUCCCAAUAAUUUGAGUAUAUUUAGACUGAGCAACUGGGUCAUCAUUAUUUUUCUUUAAUUAAGUGUUAGCAUCAUAAGGAGUACUUACAGGUGUCACAUCAUAAUUUUCAAACUUCCUAAGAAGUCUUUCUGUAUAAUGUUCUUGUGACAACAUUAUACUAUUAUCUCUCCUUAUAAUUUUAACACCCAAUAUUAGAUGCUAAGAAAUAUUUAGUAGUAUUGAUAUUAUCACUCAAAUCUUUCAUAUCAAACUUAGAGGAUAAGAAAUAUUUAGUACUAUUGAUAAUAUCUAUACUUGUACCAAAUAUGAGCAUGCCAUCCACAUAUAGGUUAAUUAUCACAUAUUGAUUAUUCACAACUUUAGUAUAUACAAAUUUAUCGACUUCUAAAGACGAAAAAUCGUCUUUCAUCAAUACUUGAUCAAAUUUCUCAUUUCACUGUUUAGGAGCUUGUUUUAGACCAUAAAGAGAGUUAAUUAAUUUACACACUUUAUUUUCUUGUCCAGAUUCAACACAUCCUUCAAGUUGAAACAUAUAAAUUUCUUCUUUCAAAUUACUAUUUAAAAAAGCUGUUUUGACAUCCAUUUGAUGAACAACAAAUUUGUGGAUAGAAACUAAGGCAAAUAAGACAUGAAUAGAAUAAAUUCUUGUUAUUGGUGCAAAUGUAUCAAAAUAGUCAAUAUUUUGUUUCUAAAAAAUUCUUUUGCUACUAAACGAGCUUUGUAUUUUUCUAUAAAACCAUCAGAAUUAUAUUUUCUUUUAAAAAUCCAUUUGCAACCAAUAGGUUUUGCAUCAAGAGACAACUCUACCAAAGUCCAUGUUUAAUUUUUCAAAAUAGAAUCAAUUCAGAUUUAAUUACUUCUUUCCAAAAUUUGCAAUCAGAAAAAAAUUGCAUCAGAAUAAGUUAAAGGAUCAUUGUCAACAAGAAAGGUUUGAAAAUCAUUCCCGUAAGAAAAUUCUUUUCUCGGCCUUUUACUCCUCCUCAAUUCCUCAUUAGAGGUUAUUUCUUUAUUUCUUUCAACAGGUGCAUGAGAAAUUUUAUUGGACAGUGGAAAAUAUGUUCAAAAACUCAACAUUUUUUGUUUCAAUAAUUGUAUUACAAUCAAGUACAUCACUUCUUAAAAUAAGAAAUUUAUAUGCAGCACUAUGUUCAGCAUAUCCAAUAAACAUACAAUCAUUAGUUUUAGAACCUAAUUUCUUUUUUUAGACUCAGGUAAUAACACUUUAGUAAGAUACCCCAUACUUUCAAAUAUUUUAAAUUUGAUUUAUAAUUUUUUCAUAAUUCAUAAGGUGUUUUGCCAGUCUUUUUAUGUGAAAUUCUAUUUUGUAGAUGACAUGCAGAUAAUAUAGCUUCUUCCCAUAAAUUAUUUGGAGCAUGAGAAUUAACUAACACAGAGUUCAUCAUUUUUUUAGUGUCCUAUUUUUUCUUUUAGCUACUCCAUUAGAUUCUAGUGAGUAAGGAGGUGUUGAUUCAUGUAUUAUGCCUUCAUGUUCACAAAACUUAUCUAAAGUUAAAUAUUCAUCUCCUCUAUCUGAUCUAAUUCUUUUGAUCUUCUUAUUAAGUUGAUUUUUUACCUCAGACUUAUAAGAUAAAAAGACAUUAUAAGUAUCAUCUUUAUUUCUAAAUAAAUAAAAUUUAGUAUAUCUAGAAUAAUCAUCUAUAAAAGUAACAUAAUAUCUUUUUCCUCCUCUAUUCAUAGUUUAUUUUAAAUCACCUAAAUCUAUGUGAAUUAGAUUUAAUAAUUCAGUUUCUCUUUGAACAGUUAUACAACUUUUCUUGUUUAUUUUAGUUUCUGCACAUAUUUCACAUUUUUUCAUGUCAUUAUUAUUAACACUAGAAAGUAAUCCAAGUGAUUGCAUUUUCUUUAUGUAGCUAGCAUUAACAUGUCCUAAUCUAGCAUGACAUAAAGAAAUUGAAUCAAUAAUAUAAGCAUAAGAAGAUGCAUUUUUAUUGAUUACAUUUUGAACUCGUUGAGUACAAAUAGUCCCUGAUUACAGUAGUGAUAAGUUAUAUUUUUAUCAUUAAUUUUAUGAUUGUUUCCUCGUUUAUAUUACCAAAUAUUACAUUAAUUGAUUGAUUCUACUUAUAUUUGGUAUUUUGUGUCAAUUGUAGGAAGGCGGAGCAAAAAGCAAUAAAAGAGGUUAUUUUUCAAGACUUUCCCAAUUCAAAAUGGAGUCUACGUGGAUUAUUGGCAGAAGAUUAGGAGGAAGUCUAUUUUGUUUCAAAAAGUUAAAAAUUAGGAAAAGAAUAGAAUGGCUAGACCCGUGUGAUUAAUACUAGAAGGAGUCAACAAAUUAUCAAGACUUGGGACUUGGUUUCGUUUGACUAGUAGUAGUUUCCUUAAACAAUUCCUUAGUUUUCGAAAUUAGUGGCGGCGGACUAGUAGUUAAGAGGUCACUUAGGUUUUCCUUUCUUCUAGAGGGAAGAACUGUGACUCCUGGUUGAGGACGGCCGCUUGGCCCCUCAAUUCGCCUUGCUUUCAUUAGUUUUAGAGGAAUAAUCAAUUGUAGCAAAAUUCCAUGGAGUCUAGGAGAAUUUCUUCUAGGAUGAGCCAUUAAUCUUCUUUUCUAGUCGAAGGUCAAUUUGAGAACUCGGUCUUAAACAUCUGUGAGAUCGAAUUAUUUUACUUUUUUUUAUUCAUUGGUAUUUGUACGUUUUCUAAUUUAACUUCUUAUGCUUGUUAUGUUAUUUGAAUGUCAAGGGUCCGAUAUUCGAAUUAACCUAAUAAUCUACUGCCAGAUUAAUUAAUUGAAUCUGUAAUUGUUCAAUUGAUUAAUACCAGUGGCGACUAGCAUGAUUGAUUUCAUGUUAGGGAAACGUAUGAUCUAAAUUAAACAAACCCUCGUAGUGUAUUUGUUAGUUAGGGGCUUUUCUAAAUUCUUAAUGCAAUCGAGAAAUUAAAUCCUACAGUCGUACCUAGUGUUAUUUCUUGGUUAGAGAAAUAGUUAACGAUCGUACCUUGACUAUCGAAAAAGUAAGAAAAUGUUGGUUGUUUAUCGCGUGUAUGACAACUAUAACCAAUCUAUUAAUGAGUAAUUUAAUUAUCUUUACAUCGAUGAUCAGUUGAAUAAACCGUGUCUGAAAAGUUGCACCUUUGAUUAGAGUCGUAUUGGUUAUUGAUUAAUUCCUGUUUAUUUCUAUUAGUUGUUUCAUUAGUUAGUUAAUUAGUCAUUUUAUAUUCUCCAAAAAGCCCCCAUACUUCGCAUUUUGGAAGAAAUGAAUUAUCCCCAAUUCAUGUGGAUUCGACCCUGUUUGCCACUGUCUACAAGUUAAUAAUUUUUUGUCAGCUAAUCAAUUCUGGUAUAUCGGAUUAAACAGACUCUUCGGAAUCAGGGUAAAUCAAGUAACCCAUUGCACAUCCAAAAUCCCUACUCCAGUACCUGGAAUUGAUUGUUGACUACUUUUGGUGGUAGUUAGGUUUUUAUUAUUGCACAGGCCUCGAUACCUGUCAAGUAGCUCUUGCCCACAAAUACAUUAUUUUUUGUCAUUACAAUCUUAUCAGAUUCAAGUGACACUUUUACCCCAACUUUUCCUAACAAUGCUAAAGAAACCAAAUUUGCUCAAAUAUUCGGCACAUGCAGAUUCCCACUUGUACCUUUGAAUUUUCUUACAGGCCACAAUGAUGAAAAAUAGAUAUUGCACUGAUGAAACUAGAGAAAAUGUCAAGAAUUCAGGUAAAUGGAAGUGAGAACAAGGAGGAGAUGCGAAAAGUGGCUCGGACUAGGCAAUCAAUCUAACUGAUCAAUUCAGAAAAAAUUUUAUAUUUUUAUGAGAAUGCACUUAGGCGUUAUGAAUAUGGUCAAAUUUAUUAUCCUUCGCAAUCAACUUAUUGCACUAAAUGAUAAUUCCGGAAGAAUAGAAGGUCACAGUUAAUAUUGUGAAGAUUUAACUUUUAUGGUACCAUUGAAGCACCACAAACAAUCCCCCUUCCUUUUGGGUAAUUGGGUGAUCUUGUUGAUAAAAUGAAGUAAACCAAAGAAAGUAGUUGGUCUAGUGGAAGAAAAUUCAUCCAUCUAAUCCAGGAUGUCAGUCAAAUAUAAGCAAGGGCUAGUAAGUAUAAUUUGAUCGGCCAGACCAAAAGAGUGUUCUUACACUUUUUAUGAAUUUUUUUUACUAUAAACAGCAUUCGAAUCUCAGUCUACAGUCCAAAGAGAGAUUUAGUCUCUUUUUAACGGUCACUCUGAACCAAAGCACAAUAGUUUCGGUCAAAUUUCAUUUGGGUCUCACUAUUUUAGACCCUGUUAGCCCCAAUCGCCAAUAGAGUAAGGGGAUAAUCUUAGCCUUAGCUAAUAGCUACAUUCCAAUUUCUGUAGUCCUAGUGGAUAAGAAUACCAUACAAAAUCUAGCAUCCAAAAUCCAAAGGUACAAAAAGAAACCACAUCCACUUAUUAGUUCCAAGCUAAACUUCCAAAGCCAUCCAUGGCCACUAUCAGCUCUCCUUCAGCCAUCCUCUCAUCCUCCUCUAACACCACCCCAUCCUCUCCAAAACCACCAUCCAAAUCCCAACUCACAAUUCCACCUCCAAAAACAGCCUUAACUAACUUAACCACAACUUUGACUGCCACAGCUCUAGCCACAACAAUUCUAACCACCUCAACACCACCUUCACUAGCUGCAGUCUCACCCUCAAAUUACUUCAUAUACUAUGGCACAGCUGCUAGUGCAGCCAAUUACGGGGGUUAUGGCGGCAACUCGGACAAGAAAGCAUCAGCAGAGUACAUUUACGACGUCCCGGAUGGAUGGAAGGAGAGGCUAGUAUCCAAGGUUGAGAAGGGAACAAAUGGCACAGACAGCGAAUUCUACAAUCCCAAAAAGAAGCAGGAGAAGGAAUAUUUGACUUAUCUUGCCGGUUUUCGGCAACUGGCACCAAAAGAUGCUGUGCUGAACAACUUGGCUUUGUCAGAUGUUAGUCUGCAAGACCUUAUUGCUAGUGCAGAUAGUGUUACAUCAACUGAGAGGCAGGAUGCGAAUGGACAAGUGUAUUACGAUUAUGAAAUUGAGGGAAUUGGGGCUCAUAGCUUGAUAUCAGUAACCUGUGCAAACAACAAGUUAUAUGCUCACUUUGUCAAUGCACCAGCACCAGAAUGGAAUAGGGACCAAGAUGCUUUAAGGCACCUUCACCAGUCAUUUAAGACAGUUGGAUAGAAAUAGUACAUCAGUGUGUCUUGCUAUUUGCAUAAUUUUGUCCAUGAGGAAAAGAAAGCUAGUUGAAGAAGUAAUAAAAGGUUUCUUGUGAAUGUUUUUUGAUGACUGAUUAUAUGUUUCUGUUUUGCUUCUGUUGGAUGGGUUGUUUUCCAUAUGAAGGUGUAACUAAAAUGGUUUCUUUGAGAGGAAAAUUGUGUUUCUGGAAUAGGGGUUUUACAUUUCUUCACUAAUUUACCACUAAGACAACACCAUAGUUGAUUGUAGAGAGUGAUGUUCAAUUUUGUAUUACAAUGCUCAGUUAGAGCCUAUAUAGCUCAUAAACUGCUAUAGAAGUCAAUGUCUUCCAGAUGUUUCUCAUUACGUUACAUGAUUUUCAUCAAGUAACUUGAAGACAAUCUAUGCUGUCCAGCCUCUGUUAGGAAAGAGCAACUCAUCCUUUCAACAAUCUUGUGCAAAAUUUUUCCCCACCAUAAAAGACCAGAAUUUUCUCCUUUUCCUCCAUUUUUGGUUUGAGGCAGGUGGACUGUCGAUGAGAGGGAGUGAUAGUUAGAUGUACAUGAUAUCAGAAUUACUCAACACUGUCAAGUUUGUUAAGAUCAGUUAGCAAAAUUGUAAUUCAAGAAAGGGCUGUUUAUACUUCUUUGCUUGCCCUUUAGCAGAUAACUGAAAAGCCCAAAACCAAUGACUGGAUUCUUAAAUCUGAGCCAAGAAAAAUAAAGACGACCGAAUCAUUCUGUAAAAAAUUUCAAACUUCAACCCCUGCACAUUAGAUCCAGCAAUGGCAAAGAAUGAUUCAUGCCUCGUUCAGUUUGGUCUAAACAGAAAACUAAUAUUAAUAUACAUAAUCUACCUGAAAGCUUUCCUUUUCCAAUAUAUGAAACUCUUCAACUCAUCCGCCUAUGAACUCGUAAGUUAAGAUAAUCAGAAACGGAAAGAUCUCUAAACUACAAAAGAAUAAUACAAAACAAUUCUAAACUUCCAAGAAUUCAUACUUCUGAAAUCACUUUUUCAAAAAGAUGUCGGUCGGAGACUUCAUUUAUGGUUCUAGAAACAAAAAAGGUUUCAUGAAUGGACUGAGUUUAGCUGAAAAGGGAUCAGUCUUCGAAAUUGUAAGAUGAAUGAAGUUUUCAUUGGAAAUGCAUCCUUUCAUAUAUAAGCAACCAUGUUCCUUCUUUACAAUAUGAACCAUAACACUCGUUACCAACUCAUUGAUCAAUAGUCAUUGUUUCGGCAGGUAAUUGAUUAGUGGAUUGCAGGCUUUACAAAUGCAAAAGGAUAUACACAUAACCAAAGUUCCGUUAGUAUAAAGUGAAGCCAUCAUCAUAGGAUACAUGCCAUCCUUGCCUGCAAGGUGGGGCAUUCUCAUCAUACUCGGCACAACAGCUCCAUCGCUUUUUCCAGUUGGAUAUCCCUGUAUUUGGUCUAUUAUCCUUCUCAUUCCAUCUGUACACAAUUACACCAGAUUUAUCGCUCCACUCUCCAUCAAUACCUUGGUGUGGUGGGGCAAAUGCAAAUAAUCCUCUCUCUCCUGCAUAUUUAAAUAGUCAGAAUUCAGUAAAGAGAUGUACUUUUGUUAUUAAACCAUAUGUUGCAAUAUCUGAUAGAAUAUUUCUGAGCUUUUAAACCAUAAAUAUGACAAAUUGAUGGACAGGAAGGCAAAAAAAGGAUCUAGAUAAUAAUGCUAUCUGAUUUUAGUUGCUGCAAAGCUUAUGAUACACUCAGUCUACCCACCUGGGAAUUAUUUCUUCAUUAGUUUCAGUUACAGACAUAUGGAUUCUCAUGUGGUUUGGAUUACACGUUACAAAUGGGCACGUACAUUAACAUACACCAUCACAUACAUUCCUUGGUAUUUCACCAUUACUACAAUUCUGCAACUCCUUUCAGAAAUCCAACCUCUUUAUAACAUAUAUAAUAUUGGUAAAGUCGUAGCAUCCAUCCUAAACCGUGUCAAAAGGUCAUAUGAAUGCUUAACUACCUUGUUACUUAUAAUGUAGUUAUAGAAGAACUCUAUAUCAAUAUUAUAGCAUCUUAAUGAAGCAGCCCUAAUCUCCACUUGAUGAUAAUUUCUUUUCUCUUGCAUCGCCAAAUUACAAAAAUGCUUUUCGGCUAUACUGGUUAUCCUCAGGACAAAUGAAAAUUUGUUCUUUCUGGAGUCUGAAGGUGCACCUAAUACUGUAGCUUUUGAUUUUCCAAGACUGCAAACAAGAAAUGAGAUAAACAUGAGCACUAUAGUAGAAUUCCAUGAAUAUGAGUUGAAUGUGAAUACACAAUCACAGGUUUAAAGUUACUUAGGUAUUUUAUACAUUACAACAUGGACCACAAACGCGAGCGCGCGCGCACAACACAGAGAGAGAGAGAGCAGUGAAAUGUUGAUGGUACUACAGAUGUUUAAGGAAAUUGCAUUUGCUAAACUAGGGACUGCUUGCUUUUUUCAUCAGCAUAGAGACAGAGAGCUCCAAACUACUUCAAAAUAACCAGAGACAUAAAAUUUAAUGGGAAUGCUGAUGGUAAAUGAGGUACUUUCACCCACACCUCAGAAGUACCUAAUGUGCUUUUUGUUACUUUUAACAGCUAUUAACAUCCUUAUUUGGUUGAAUGUAAACUACUUGGGAAAAAUUUGCUACAGUCCUCUAUUUUCUUGGCCAUGCAAUAUGCAUCUGCAACAACAAAGCCAAAUUGCCAGGGAAAAGUGUAGAACUCACUGUGAUGUUGCUAAUUUCCUAUGCAUUCAGGAACCAGCAUCAACCUCAGUGUGGUAAUGACAAAAGUAUGGCUAAAGUUUUUAAACAAUGUAUAAGUUCACUAAUAGCUAACAUCAUCCUAAACUAAGCGAAGUUUUUGAGAUACUGGUAUCAUCAUCUAUACAAAAUCGCUUCUCUGAACAUCUAAUGUGACAAGAAUUGCUAUGAGGAAUCUUAUAUCUAAAUAUCAAAGAAGCAAAUGACUACUAUGGUCCUGUGGAUGAUCAGGAGUGAAGCCAGAUAAGCAAUACUUCCUAUUCCCUAAAUUUACUUCCCUAGCUCUGACUAAUGCCUGAAACACGUCUCUUGUUCACCACCAGGACUACCAAAAAAUAAUCAAAUUCAAUCCAUGAAGAUCAUAUGAUCUAUUAGUUUCAGGCAUAAAUGUAUUCCUUGGUACUUCAAAGUUCAAUCAAAUACAGUGGCAUGACAUUUUAUGAUGCUGUAGCACUUUCUUCUAAGCAGAAUGCACAAUCACUUUCAAAAUUCCAGGACUAAUAGGCUAAAUCUUGUUCGAAUAGCUUUCUGCUCAUGUUAUUUAUGGAUGUAUUGUCUUAUCUUACUAACUAUUAAGAUAAACCAAGUUCAGGCAUUUCAGUCGAGUGAUAGGGACACUGGACCGAAAUGAGUUGAAUGUAACUGUAUUAUCAUAAGUUUGAAGUUACUUAAGCAUUUUGUGGAUUAGCGAGAGAGAGAGAGAGAGAGCAGUGAAAUGUCGAACAUGUUCCAGAUGUUUAGGAAAGUGCUUUUCUGCACAGCUUAGAAACAGAGAGCUCAAAGUAAGCGGCGCAUGAAGCAGAACAAUAGUCUGCCUCUCGGAUGAUGUACAAAUACUUCAAAGGAACCCAAGAGGCAAGAACAUAAAGGGAAUGCUAGUGGUAAAUGAGUUACUUUCAUCCUCCCCUCAGCAGUAUCUAAUAUGGUAUUUAUUUAAAACAACUAUUAACAUCCUUACUUUCUUGAAUACAAACAAUUUGCACAGAUAUGGCUACAGUUCUCUAUUUUCUUGGUCAUGAACAAUGCAUCUGUAAACAAUGAAGAGAAAUUGCAGGAAUAAGUAUAGAAUUCAUCAUGAUGUUGCUAUUCUCCAAUACAUUCGCAAAUCACCAUGAACCUCAGUCUAACAAAGUACGAAGUAUGGCAACAUUUUUUUGAACAAUGAAUUAGUCCACUAAUAGCAAAAAUCAUUGUAGAAUGAGUGAAGUAUUUUGAGGUACUGGUGUUAUCAUCUACAUAAAAUCACUUCUCUGAAUGUCUCGUGUCACAAAAAUUACUAUAAGAAAAUUUUUGUCCAAAUAUCAAAAAAAUAAAUGACUAUAAUAGUCCUGUGGAUGAUCAGGAUUGAAGCUAGGUAGGCAAUAUUUCCUAUUCCUUAGAUUUACCUCCCUCCCUGUGACUAAUGCCUGAAACACAUUUUUUUUGCGCCACAAGGACUACACAAGAUAAUUAAAUUCGAUCCAUGAAGAUGAUAUGAUCUAUUAGUUUCUCACACAUACAUAUAUAUUCCUGGUAACUGCAAAUUCCAAUUAAAUACAAUGGCAUAACAUAUUAUGAUGCUGUAGGAUUUUCUUCUAAGCAGAAUGCAUAAUCACUUUCAAAAUUCCAGGACUAAUAAGCUAAAUUUUGUUCCACUAGCUUUAUGCUCAGGUUAUUUAUGGCUGUAUUGUCUUGUCUUACUAACUAUAACGCUGUCCCGGUUCAGCCAUUUCAGUUGAGUGCUAGGGACAUUGAACUGAAAACCAGAGGUAUCAGUUUGUAUCUCCUCCCCUCAAUCAUAUCAAUAGAAGAGAAAAAGUAUACUAUAUGAAAACCACUAUAAAAGCCUAAACUCCAUUCAUGUCAAUCCUUACUUCGUCAUGAUACUUUUCCCUCGAAAAACGAAUAUCCAUUUCACAUACUCUACAAUUCAAUAAUAGUGUCUCCGAAUCAUCUUUGACUAUUACACCUCAGGUGUUACACUCUCUAUUACACCAUUACCAUGUAUAAGGAUGACCGUUUCACUAUAUAGGGUGACAGUGACACGUCUUUCAUUAUAGAUGAAGGAAAUGAGUCCCUUGGGGAGUAUAAUUAUCAAAAUCCCAUCACCAAUUACUUCAAACAGAAGCAGAAGAAAGGCAUUUCAAAAUAAUACUUGUGAUUUUUCCACCAAAAAAAAUCAAUAAUGAUAUUUUCUUUCCUGGUUUUAGUUUCUUUAUUCUUCUCCUUGUUCCACAUGAUAUUCUGUACAAAAUAUAAUGAACGCAUACCACUAGUGUGGCCAUGGAAAGAGCAAGCAGUUGGAGAGUUAUCUUUAUCUUGAUAAAUAGUGUUGCACCUCAGGCAUCUCUUCCUCUCCUUUGCACAGAUUACUUUCUGUAGCUUCUGAGGUUGUCUAUGGCUGAUAUAUGAACCUGAGGAUGUUCUCAUUUUCUGAAUUCUUGAUGGGUUCCAGGGGAAACUUUGAGGAAGAUUAUACACCAAAGCCAUAUGGGAUUCUGUCCAAAUGAGAGUCGAGUUUUUUCUUCAGUUCAUCACAGCUCGACAGCUUCAAUCAAUGGCGAAGAUGCAGAGAUGGGUAGGAAGAAAGAACAGAUGUUUACACUGUGGCCCCUAUGAUUUUUCGCUGCUUCAAAUUAGCCCUGCAAAACGAUUCUCAUUCCUUCAUUUUGGACCUUUUGGUCAUUGACUCGUUGAUUUUUUAAUUCUCUCUCUUUUUUUUUCCAAUUAUCUUUUUUGUAAGUUUAGGUGUGGGCCUGUGGCCAUAACUCCAGAGUCCAAUCUGGAAGGCCGACAAUGAAACAAAGCUUAUUUUGUUUUUCAUUUCGGUUGGUGGGUUCUUGGACAACCAUUGAUAAGUGGAUCCUAUAGUUGUUUGAAUAUUUUGGGCUUCUCUUUUAUUAGUAUCUAGUAGCAGUUAGACUAUAGUCCUCAUUGAGCAGGUAAAACCCAACUAUUUGAUGCCCUGGGUAGGGGUGUCAACAGGUCGGGUUUGGAUCUGGAUCUGACCUGAAUUCGAUAAAUUUUUCUGAGUUUGAGUUGAAAAAUAAUUCCGAUACUCGGACCCAGACUUGUACUCAUUUACUUUAACAAAACGGAUCAGAUACGGAAUAUAGGAUUCCGAUUCGGACUCGAACAAUAUAUUAAUAAUUAUAAAAUAUAAAUAUUUCUAAAUACAUUCUUUUACCAAAUUAACAAUUUAGUAAUGACUUUGUAGAUUGAUUUGUGGUUAGCUUUGGAUUGACUAUUGCGAAUUAUUUGUGAUUUAACUUUGUAAUUUGAUUUGUUUAAGUUUGGAGAUUGAAUUUAUGGUCGAUUUUGGAUUUAAUUUUGGAAUGUUUAAAUCUGAAUUUUUUCUUUCUGGGUAGAUUAGGAUCCAACUCGGGACCCGUUGGAUCUGAUGACCCGUCGAGUAUAUGGGUCGAGUCUGGAUCUACUAUACAAAAACAGAUUUGGGUUCGGAAUUUUCAAUUCUGACUCAAACCCCACUUGUUGACACCCCUAACCCUAGGUUUGGUUAAUAUGCAAUUAGUAAUUGGCCUUAAAAAAGUGGUAGUAAGAUUUUCUAGGACACCGUUACUACACGUAAAUGACCCACAACUUAUCAUGUUAGCGUGCGUGCUCAUAAAUGUACCUCUAUAUGUUAAUACUUUUUUCAAAUUAUUUUAUUUUUCCCAAAAAAAUUAACGUAUGAAUGCCCGUAGAUCAGCCAAACCCAAAAAUAGUGAACACGAAUAAUAAUUGAGUAAAUAUUAUAUGCACUGAUAGUAUGUACACUAUUACGAUUAGAUAUACGACACAUAUGUAAAAUUUGAAUUUUAAAUUUAAAUUCGAAUUAUGUGUUAUGUAUCCAAUAGUGAAAAUAUAUACGCUGUCAAUCAGUGUAUAAAAGAUUAAAUAGUUCAAACAGAGUAUUGGCUUAAACAUACAAUUGAACAGCAUAAUUAAGGGUGAUUGAACUUCUUAAAUCAUCGUCAUCUUUCAAAAUUUGGAGGCUCCUGCAUUACGAAUACUACCUUCCUUUGUAUUCACUUUUUACCAGAAUUACGUUGCCAGUAAUAUUCAUCAGCUGGGAAACCAUUAAGGACAUCAGCCAUCAUGCUUUGUAGUUCUAUUGAAAACAUCAAAUGAUGUGUCCUUUGUUUUCCAAUAAAAGUGACAAAAAAAAAUAGUGUCAAUCUUAAAAAAAAUCUGGAUGACUAUGACAACAUAAACAUGAUGUUUUGGAUCAAAUAAAUCCCAGAAUGAUGCAUGUGCUAGGACAAAGCACAAUAAUGUAACAAGCAAGAGAAGAAUACUUUUAGCUUUUGUAUGGUGCAUUUUGGUAAUAUGCUCUUGUGAGUUACUAGUCUCCACAUACAUAUAGAGCUACAUAGAGGAAUUAAAUUUGGUUCUUGGGAUAAAGUUAACGAAUAUGGAAGUUUGUAUUGAUAAUGCAAAUUACCCUGUGACUCAUGUCAAUACUAUCUAACACAAAUGAAAUGAAGCAAUUAAGUAAAGAUUAAACUGUUUGGUUAACAAGUGCAUGUCUAUUAGAUAUUCGAAAAGGCGAGGUUCAGGUGUUAAAUUUUUUCUUUUUUUUUUUUUGUAUAAAUUAUGAUUUUAUUGAACUAAAAUAAGGGAACAUUAUACAAUUUUUAACUCAUGCUUCUCCUACGAAAAUUAGGGCAACCUAACCGCUCCAUUUGGAUCUCGCCCCCGGACCAUAGCAAGCAAUUUUUUUUGCAAAAGUGUAAUUAAUUCGGGAAAGUGUAUUUAUAUGAUAAUGUUUUAAUGAAUAUCUAUUGUACACCCGUUAAAACCAAGAUUAAAUUAAGUGACUCAAUUAAAGUUUGAGCCACAGUGUCACCCUGUGGUAAUCAUUUAUUUUCCUUUAAUAAUGGAAAGACUUCACCACGUUUACGUGUCAAGUAAUUAAUGAGAUAACUAUAUAUUGCUUCUCAAAAUAUUUGUAUUACAAUGAAGAUCCUAUUCAGAUGGAAGUUGUAAAAUGCAUAAAAUGCCGACGAGUUGAUAUUUGGAAAUAACACAAGAGAAUUAGGCCACACUACUAUACAUACAUCAAUAUUUAAAGCAUGUAAAAUUACGUAGUGAUAAUAUUCAAAGUAGACCGAUUAAAUAAAUUUGCCUCAAGGUAGCUUAUUAUACUAAAUCACACAUCGUCUGCCUAACGAGUGUCAAAUUACAAGUCAGGUAUUAAUAUUUUGAAAAUGUAAAGUUAAAUAGAGAAAGGUUAUAUAUACAAGGCAAGAUAAUAAACAUUAGUGUGUGAAUUUACAUGAUAGUUUAAAUAUGAUUUAUGUGUCUUAACAAGUAUUCAUUAGACGCUUGUUAGGAAAAUCCGAUUAACAACCCAGUAUAGAUUUUUGCUCAUCAUUAUACAAUUACAACCUGUAGCCUGCAGGAGUACACCUCAAACUUUUAAGUUCUCCAUUAUAGACACUAAUCAAUAAAAAUUUGAAAAAGUUUAGGGUAAACCUUACUUAAGGGAUGGGAGAUUUUCUGUAAACCUUGGUGGAUGGGCAUGGCAGGGAAUGCUGCAGCAGCAAAGCUAAUCAUAUAUGCUUUGCAGCCAGCCUGGGAUUUGGGCUUCAGGAAAGCAGUUUUAGAUAAAAAUAAGCAAGUAGGAUUUUCAGUGAUAGAGAAAGCAAAUUUCCCAUAAAAGUCCACAGCAUCAUAGUUGUAAUUAGGCUAGUAAAGAAUAGUUAACUAAACCAUACGAAUGCAAAUUAGGGCAUAUAUGAAGAGAAGGAAAUGCAUGCAGAAUGAUCAAGUGGGAAAGAUGAGUGUAAUUAUAUGAUUAACUAGGCUCAAAGAACCCCUAACUUCCCUGCCCCCCACCACCAAGUUUCAUGCAACUAAUUAAUAGGAGUUAGUGUUAUUAUGUCACUAACUAUGUCAAUAGGUAGGAUUUAAGUUGAUCUACUAGAUUCAAAUCUACAGAAGUAUCGUUUCAAAUUCAAAUUAAGACCUAUAUCUCGACAUAAAUGGGUUUGGAUACUGAAUAAGUAUGGAUGACUUAAAAUUUAUGCACAAUCAAUGAAGAAUAGUAAAAAUGAAUUUCAAAUGUAUGAUAAACAUAAUUCAAUUACCAUUUUUAAAUGUUAAAAUCACCAUUCCUACAAAAUGUUACAUGUAAGAAUGAGAAUUAAAAUUAUAGAGUUAUAUCAAUGAAUUGUAUUUCGCUAAAAAAUUUUCUACAACAUCCAAUACUAAGGGUGUGUUUGAUAAAACUAAAAUCUGAAAUCUGAAGUCUGAAUUUAUUAAGUUAUUGAAUUGUUAAGUAUUAAAUCUAAUACAUUUGAAUGUAUAUCACAUUUAGUGAUAAGUGAAUAGCUUAUCACUUAAUUUUGGGAGUAAGUUUUGUCUAGGAAAUUCAGUGCCACUUAGUUAAUUCAGAUGUUUAAUUUUUUAUUAUCAAAUAAUCUGAAUAUGUUAAUAUCCGAAUUUAUUAAAUUUAAGUGAUGAACUGAAUUAUCAAACCCGGCCUAUAGCCUGUGUGUAUUUAAAAAUUCCUCCACUUUUUCUCGUUUUGCUUUAAGAGUAUGUCAUUAUGUAAUUUGAAUCUUGCUUAUGAAAUUUAAUCAUUGAAAGUCAUUUUACUAAAAAUAAAAGUACUAAUAGUUGCGAACUAUGCAGAAAAAAUAUUUUUUAGGUAAAAAGAAUAUUAUUUGACACAAUUACACUAGAUUACUGGUUAAGAAUUGAAGUCUGCUUGUGGACCAUAGAUUCCUUUGAUUGACCUUUUCUUGUCCAGGAACAUUAAGUUCAUUCUUAACCUUCCCAAAACAACAGAAAAAUGGUCCUAGUUUUCUCCACAGAACCCGAAUCAAAAGAAAGCGGGAAGAAUACAUGGUUUACAAGGCAAUCAACCACAUCAACAUUAGCCAUUUUCAUCGGCAGGACAUCCAUUGGCUGGUGAGGGUGGUCCAUUACACACACUUUUAAGCAUUUAUUAAAAGGGUUGAAAAACACUUUUAAGCAUCCAUCAAAAGGGUUGAAAAAUUUUACAAACCAAAACCAAAUUCUUUACUAUUGACAUAGAUACUACAUUCUAUCCACCCAAAAACAACACCAAUCAAUCCCUCUAAUAGAACAUCCCACACAAAACAAUAAGAGAAGAAAAGGAAGGAAAAACGCUUCUAACCACGUUAAGGCAAGAAUAAAAAGGAAAAGAAAAUAAACCAAGGAUCCCCAUUAACUUCCAACAAUUCCAAUUAAUGUCAAGCUGGAGAUUCCCUUUCUUGAUCGAUAUCAGAUGCUGAAUCAUCCUCUUCUUCAGAAACAUGAAUGCCUAAUGCUCCAUGACCACGACCAAAUGCUCUUAUAUGAUCCUUGAGAGAUCUUUUAUGCUUAAAAUCAGAACCACAAAUGCAAUACCAAAUUUUCCCACAAUUCUUCUCAUGAGUUCUCCAAUCACCCUUCACUGCAAAAGGCUUACCACAUUUUCGACACAUGAAAGGCUUAAUCCCAUGCUUUCUCUUAUAAUGUGUUUGAAGGGUUCUGAAAUCUUUCAGCGGUCUGGUUCUUGGAUGAUCAAUAUUGUGCUUGCACCCUGGUGCACAACAAUAGCAAGGAAGCUUCAACAUUGCUGUUGGUUGAGUUCCCCUCAAUGAUUCUGGCCCUUUCCUGUAUUGAGAUCCAUGUCCCCACAUAUGCAUCUGCAAUUUUUUUUAAUUCAAAAUUUAAUUUAAACAAAAAAAAGUACUAACCAGGAUAACUAGCUAUUUUAUUUCACAAAAAAGAUAAUUUGGAAGGUCAGAAAUUUAUAAUUUGUAUUAUUAUUUCAAUAAAGAAUGAGGAUUCUACGAUCAUGAAAACGAUUUUGAACUAAUAUGCAUGAUUUAAGGUCUCUUUGUGAUUUCAAUUAUUCUUGUUCUCUGUACAUUGACUCUUCAAGGCUAGGAGCUACUAUGGUAUGCUGGAGCUAUUGCUACAAUUUAUUUAGUCAAAAUUAUAUAAUCUCAUACUAUAAGUACCUAAAUGGUAAUUGUUGACUCUUAACAAAAUUCAUGGAGUGGAUAAGGAAAAUCAUGGAGUGGUUAAAAGCCGUUGGCGAGCCUUUGGCAAUAGUCUUGGUGUUUCUCCUCCCACUUUUCCCUCUAUUCCACAUCGAUUGUAAGUGGUGUGUGUGUGUACUACUUAAGGUGCUCAGUGUAGCCUGAAAGUCAGCAUGCCUUUUGGGUUGGGCUGUGGGUUUCCCUUAGGUAAUGUGUGUGUGUGUGUUUGUUAUUUCUCCCCUUAGGUAGUGUGUGUGUGUGUGUUUGUUAUUUCUCCCCCUUUCCCUCUAUCCCACAUCGAUUGUGAGUGGUGUGUGUGUGUACUACUUAAGGUGCUCAGUGUAACCUAAAAGUCAGCAUGCCUUUUGGGUUGGGUUGUGGGUUUCCCUUAGGUAGUGUGUGUGUGUGUGUGUUAUUUAUGGUUGUUGGUGGAUAAGGAAAAUCAUGGAGUGGUUAAAAGCCGUUAGUAAUCCUUUGGCAAUAGUCUUGGUGUUUCCUCUCCCCCUUUCCCUCUAUUCCACAUCGAUUGUGAGUGGUGUGUGUGUACUACUUAAGGUGCUCAGUGUAGUCUGAAAGUCAGCAUGCCUUUUGGGUUGGGCUGUUGUUGGUGGAUAAGGAAAAUCAUAGAGUGGUUAAAAGCCGUUGGUGAGCCUUUGGCAAUAGUCUUGGUGUUUCUCCUCCCCCUUUCUCUCUAUCCCACGUCGAUUGUGAGUGGUGUGUGUGUACUACUUAAGAUUCUCAGUGUAACCUGAAUGUCAGCAUGUCUUUUGGGUUGGAUUGUGGGUUUCCCUUAAGUAGUGUGUGUGUUAUUUAUGGUUGUUGGUGACUCUUAACAAAAUUCAUAAAUUUUGGGAAACUUCAUAACUUUAUUAAAAUUUCAAGACAGAAAAUAUCAUUUCUGAAUGUAUGAAAUUAUUCUUUUUUUUUAUCUAAAGGGACAACUGAAAUCUUGGGGUGGCUGCCUUCCUUUCUCUUCCACUCUUGCAUCAACUCAUUUAUGCUGCAGAUUGCAGAUUGUGUACUAGACAAGAAUUUAAUGCACAAUUAGAAUUUCUACGGAUGGAAGUCAUGUAAAGCACUAUUAUAUUGCACUGACUAUCUGUCAGAGCGAGCUUCUUUGUUGAACAAAUGAAUAUUCAAACAGUCAAGCACCAACUUCAAAGUUUUUACUGUCGAUUGGUAAUAGGGGAAAGGAACAGGAACAUUAAUAAAAAAGAAUAGUGGGGGAAUAAAUGAAAGAAAUGAAACAGGAAUUUUGUUAUCUGAUUGGAUGAAGCGGACAAAUCGAAUGCUAUCAUCCAUUCAGUUGUUGCUACAACCUUAAUCUUAAAAUGAAAAAUGUCAAACUUGGCAAUUGGGAAGGGAACUUUCAUAAUUUAUCUCUAAAAUAUGCUACUAAAUUUCGCAUGUUUAUGCAUUUAUUAGAUUUGAGUGCCAAAAUCAAGAGGAAAGUUCCAUUUCCAAGCCAAAAACUGUCUUUCUUGCUGAACUGAAAAAGUGGAACAUGGUAAAUCAAAGCAUAUUGUUUCUCAAGAGUCCAGUUUUCUAAUGCAUAUCAAGAGCUGUAAUCCAAAACCCUUGUUGUAUAACAGCUUACUUUGUUAAGAUUUGGUACAACAUUAUAAAGUUUGUAAAAGUAUUACGAUAGAUAAUACCUUUGAAGGUUUCAAUCUAAUAAAAACAAGAUUUGUGCUCUCCAAUUACUCUUUUGAUCCACGUGUCUUCUUGAAUUGGUUCUAGUUUGAAGGUAUGCCAAUUUUGGUGAUGUGGGCUGUUUUUUUUUUUUUUCUUAGUGAACUAAAGUUCCUAUAUAAUGUGUUCCUUUCUUUUAAGAAAAUUUUUCCUCGUACUAGUUCAGAAGGUACCUAGCUAAGAUUAAUUCCUAGGGCAAGCAGGGCUAGUUUCUUGUCUUUGUGAAGGAAUACUCAGAACUUAGAUCUAUUUACAUUUCCACAAAUCAGGAAUGCAAUUUAGCAUAUACCAUACCUGCAAGUUAUUGUAUCUGUUGAAAGUCUUGAAACAGACAGGACAUGAGAACUGUGUUGGACCAAUGAGAAUCUGAGAAGGUGAAGGAAUCCAAUACUGGCCUUUGUUGAGCUUGUCGUUCAAGGGCAACUCUGAUAGUACAUUACCACCUUCCUUUUCUCUUUUGUCCCAAUUACAAGAAGGAAGCCUAGAGGAGGAUAAAUCAGAACUAGGGCUUGGAAGCCCUAUGUUUAGGGCAACGGUUACAAAAUCAUGAAGAGGAGGAGUUCCUGAAAGACUACUCUCAGUUUUAGUGCUAGUGCACCUAUCAUCCUCCAAAGCAUAGCCUGAGAAGUCCUGCUGCUCAUCUGGUCUAAAGCUUAGGUUAUUCAGAAGUGGAAGAGCUUCCUUUCUGGGAGGUGAAGGAGGCGAAAGAGAGAAUUCAAUUUCACUUGAAGAUAUACUGUUCACUGCAUUUGAAUUGGAUGAUGAGAAGUGAGGAUGAUGAGGGAUAAAGUUACACCAUCCAGGAAAGAAAUUAUAGUAACAAGGUUCAGCCAUAAUGGAGGCUUAGUCUAAAGAAUCAAGCAAGCCAACAAGAAGUGAUUGAUUAAGUAGCUAGAUUGGCUGCAAGAGUCUCAGCUUUUUUCAACAUAUAUAAACAGUCGGCAUUCUGGGGGAAUGGGGGAGAGAGGAGUAGGAAAAGAAGUAUGAGGAGGAGAAUUUGAGCAGGAAAGAUAACUUGUGAUAGUGAAAGAUCAGAAGUGUUUCAAAUGAUGGUAUGGAAAUCAAGAAAUUAACCCCACCCACCCCCCCCACCCCCCAACCCAAAAAAAAAAACAACCCCUUAAGGCUGAAAAAAUAAACCAUGAAAAAAUGUAGGUGAGAAUGAAGAUAAGAUAACACAAAAAAGGAAGAAAGAAAAGCCAUAGACUUGAGUCAGAAAGCUUUAUUUUACCACUAGAACGAAAUUCUAACAUGGAGCAGUUUCAUGUUGGUCACACGUGAGUAGUGGGUUCCACCUCAUCUGAUAAGCCCUGAAAAACUGCUUAUGGGUAAAUGGGAACUAGUUCUUCACUUCGAUUAUGUCUUGCUUAUUAUUUAUGUACAGUUAAAUGAAUAAAGUGUCGGAAGAAAUAGUAGGAGGUGAAGCAUGCAAUUGAAGCAAUAGGAAUUGCAACUUUCGUAGAUGAUACAAAAUUAAUGACCUGUUUCGUUUGUUUUUUGUGUUCAAUUCAUGCCUCAAUUGAUGGAGCCCUCAUAUGGCAAACAAGGUUUUUCAAUGGACCAUUGACGAUGACAACUCUAUAAUGGUGCAAGAUUGUUUAUUUUGGAUAGACACAUUCAUUUGCUAAGGAAGAGAUGAGACAGAUGGGUCAUUUGCAGGAGAUUAUAGAAGAAGAUUAGUGCUGUCAACUUGUCCAUGGUCAAUUGAGAUAUAGGUUAACAAAUUGACAAACAUAUUUUUGUUUGUGUGAGAAGAAGAUGGAAUCAUAUUGUUUACGUUUGAAAUUAACCUCAAUUUGAGAGGUAAAUAAUAUACAUUUUGGAAUGAAUGGUGAUAUAAAGUUACUACUUUUUCACAAGUACCCCAUGGAGUAUUAAGAGAAGAAAAUCCAAAAGCUCAUAGAUGGAUUGUCCAACUGAGUUUCCACUAUUCUUCAAAACUCACACGUGCAAGUCAAACUAUAUACUGUUAAAAUUGGUCAUAUGACAUUAAAGAAUGCCAACAACUAUACUUCAACAGUCAAUACAAAACAACUAUACUUCAACAGUCAAUACAAAACAACUAUACUUCAACAGUCAAUACAAAACAACUAUACUUCAACAGUCAAUACAAAACCCUCCUUGUUUAUUCUUUUUACUUACUAAAGCACUCAACUGGAUAAUGCAACGAAUGCGUCAAAAGUUACUGCGGACAUGCAUAAUAACAAAGAACUACAAUUUCGUUUCCCCUUUGAACAGCAAAAGUGCACAUGGUCAUGAGCAAUGUAGAGAGUGCUUUUUGUUUUUUCCUUCUUUGAUAGGUAGAAAUACACCUUAUUGAUCAAAGUAUUAAGGUAUUAAAUCUUCUACAUCUCUUACGUCUUAUCCUCAUGGUAUCUUGAUCUUUCCAAUUCCUUGCACAUUAUGUGAGACAGAGAGCAAUAAAUUUCGUCUUUUAUAAGAAGCAUCUUCUAUCUGACUUGGAAUGGAAUUAGGCUGAAUUAUAUAUAUAUAUAUAUAUAUAUAUAUAUUGAUAUGUAAAGGGACAAAAGGAAUGUACAACAGUUUCUGAAAUAUUUUUUCUGACAGGCGUAGCAAUAAAAUUAAAUGGAUGAAUAAUAAAAUCUGUUAAUGUACAAGCAAACCAAUAAUGCACAUGAACAGUACUAUGGUUUUGUUGAAUAUUUAUGAGGAUUUCAGUACGUGUAAUCAGAGAAUUAUAGAGCAAUGUCUUGUCAAAAUUUAUGAGAUUAAUAAUCCAUGAACAAAAAUCGACAAAACAUACGAAAACAUGUGAGGAAAAUGCUAGCUAGGUAAUAGUGAAUCUUUGAUAGUAAUAGUUCAGCAUUUGGUGCUUGAGAAAUUGUUAGCUAAGAGGUAGGCUGAAUGCUAUUGAAUGAAUCAUUUUCGCCAAGAACUCUAGAAAGUCCUUAUACACAAUAUACAUUUUAUGAAAGUUAAAUUUUAGUGAUUAAUUACUUCUUCAAGAAACAUGUGCGUGCCCAUGAGUUUUAAGGAACAACCAAUCAUACUUUGCUUUAAGUAGAAAAGAACAAACAAUAACUUGCCUCACUCCCUAUGCUCAUGAAUUAGUUCGUAUGAAUCACAUAUGGGACGUAGUAGGAGAUUUAAUCCAAACACUUCAAUGGACAAAAGGGUUUUAGCACAGCAUAUAUCUAUGUAUAUAAUUUUUUUGUAAAACCUAGGCUGUGGUUUCGGGAAACAUACCAGUAGUUAAUUUUAGUGACCAACGGUUGGAACUUAUAUAGGUUUGACAACUUUUGAAGAGAAGUGUUAAUGCCAAUCUUGAAUUCCUAAUUGAGGGAUUAAUUUACAAAGCAAAUAUGUUGACUAUUCUAGCCUAGUUUAUGCCAAAUUUAGCGGGACUAACAAAUCAUUUUCCCAAAAAAUAUUACUACCACUAGAACUACUUGCACGGAGACAAUUGGAUGAGGGAUUCUUUAAUUGGAUGAUCUUCACUUAAGAAUUCUCAAAAGGUUUGCAUUGUUUGCAAAAACCAAGGGUCUUUCCUUUGACUGGCAACUCAUGCUUUUGCCAAUUUCAAGAGUGCACGAGUGUGUAGUUAAUCUUUGGGAGCAAGCCGGUCUUGUCUUCAAGUCCCCACGUUUGUGAAUUGGUUUUGGUGGUUUCGAAACAUCUCUGCCUCCCAAUUUGCAAGUCCUGGGAAGAUUAAAUUAACGAGAUUUUGACCCUUUUCUUCUUUUUGCUCCAAUUACCAAAUUCAUUGUUGAUUAUUUGAGGGGUCAAUUGCCAGUACAAUCCAUGCAGAUAAAACGUUCGACACUGUGUAGAGCAUUCGACUAGGGAUUUGGGAUUUGCAGAGACGAGAUAUAUUGAGAUUACCAUUGCGGAAACAUUUUCAAAAGUGUCUGGGAACAAAAUCUAAUUCUCAGAUGUAUCAUCCAAAAAUAUUCAAUUUUCUUAACGGAACGUAUGACAAGUUCUGGAAACUUGUGGGAUCCAUCUAUGAAGGUUUGCUAGUUUUCUUGGACAUGCAUCUGUUUUUAGUGGCUACUUUCCGGCUAUUCCUAAAGUUUCUGGUCGCAACUCACAAGCAUAGGAAAUGCGAACUAUUUUUGUUCAGUUUUAAAGAUUUCAAUUCGCUGUCUUAAAAAUGAGAUCUUGUCACUAAUCAUCAAUAUUAUUCUUCAAACCUUUUUCCUUCCCCUUUUCCAAAAAAAAAAAAAAAAAAUUCCCCUUCCCCGUCUGGAGUUAAAAUAUACAAAACAAAAUCUCAUGAGAAUAUUAUCAAGAUAUUCAAGGUUUCUUUAUAUUAUUAUGAGUGCCUUUCGGAUUAUACUCUAGAUUUCUAACUAUUAUAAAGACAUAAACUUCAAAAAAGACCAAGAAUACAAGUCAUAAAGAUGUGCAUACAUCGCUAUUUAGUUAAAACAAAGAAGAUUGCUUGGUUAUAGUGUUAAUAUUUUUCAUGUUAUAUAUUUGGUUUAUAGUUUGCUCCAAAUGAUGUUUGUUGGCAAAAUAAAUGAAGUGUAGAAGUUUCUGUUUAUUUAUUUACUAGUUUUAUUGAAGUCGGCUUUUUCGUAUUUGUGUGAUUUAGGAAUUUAUAUUUUAUUUGGUAAUUUCUUAUGCAAGUGAUUUCAUAUUUGAUAAGUUUUAGUAAGUCAUGAAUAGGGCAUUAGUUGAGGUAUUUUCUAAAAAGAGUCUAAGAGCGUCUGUAAUGAUUUGUUAUAGUGUGAUUUUCUUCCAUUCUUUGAUAGUUCAAUAAUAGUGUGAAUUAUUAUUUUUCACUCCCACAUAAAUAUAUUUUGAAUAAUUAUUUUAUCCAUUCAAUUCUAUAACCUUACACGUACUAAUGAUUAUUAGAACCGUAAAUUUGGAUUCUACAAUUAGUACGCGAGCUAGACUAUGAGAUUAUUCUUGAGCGUUUCUGUUGUCAAACAAUUAAGGCACAAGAUUUGCUAAAAAGUACUCAGUUGAUCGAAUAAUACCUCAAGAUUGGUGUAGGAGUGUGCAGUUGGUGAAGAUUGGACCAUAAAUAGGUUUGAAAAUUGUCAGAUUGUUACAGGUGUUAUGACAAAGAUUAGAGACGAAACCUCUUAGAUUGUUGAUUGCUUCGGAUUGUCAUAUUGAAGGAUUUGAUUGGUUAAUCAACUAGAGAGGUCAGGAAAACAUGACAAAAGGGAGAGAAAAUUUUGUUUAGGGUAGGAAAGAAAAAAAUAUUUGUGAAGGUAGUAAAUUAUUUUCAAGUUGCAACAAAGAAUAGGGAAUUUGUCAAUAGUAAAAAAUUGAAAAAUUUACUCAUAUUGAGUACUCAUGAAGAAAGGUCAGAAUGGGUUGCAAUAAUGGAAAAAUAUCUUAAAGGUGCCACUUAGACGAUAUUCUCAAAAAUAAAUUUUGUUAGUGGUUUGUCAAAAGAAGAUAAGGAAAAGAAGGUCAAGUUAUUUUCAAGAUUAUGCAGAAAUCUAUAACAGAAGAAUAUUAUAUGAGAGUUUUUAUUAAUUCUCAAUUGCCUCAGUAGUUUUGAUCAGAUUUUUUUUUAUAUUUUGAUGGAAUUUGAAUAUGAGUAUGAUCAUAAGUCAAAAAUUCAUUUGACAUAAGAAAUUUAUUUGGAAGAAGAUAGGAUUGUUGAUGAUAUGAGUGUUUUUGAAUAUUUUGAAUCUGUUCACAAUUUUCAGUUAUAUAUCUUGUUUGGAGAAAUUGGAGUGAUGAAUUUAUUGAAGAAAUCAAUGUGUUUAUUUGGUAAAGAGAGAAGAAAAUUUUGGUUGGACAGCAAAAAAAAGAAAAAGAAAAAUGCUGUUGAAAAAUUUGUUGGCUCAAACUCUUCAAGAUGAUAGAAAAACAUUUGAUUUGAUUAAUAUGGAUUUCAUUAGAGUUGAAAAUUUUUGGAUGGAAGGAAUUCAAUACAUGGUAUAAAUUUUUGGAUGAUUGUGGUAGCCACUAUUCUGAAUUAUUUAGUAGUGAUAAUUUUGGCAAGAAAGUUAACUAUGAUUUUGUAUUUUUGGGCACUUAUAUUAGUGAUAAAUAUGAUGAAUGGGUUUGUAUAAAUGAGUACUUUAUUCAAGAAGAAAUUGCCGAGGAAUUGUUUGCGAAAUAUAAAAUUUGUCCACUGCUACGUGUCAAGACAUUGUUUUUACAAUUAUAGAGUUUUCAACUGUGAUUGUUGCUUAAGAUAGAGUUGGGCCUAAUGCAAUAGAGAGUUUGGUUUAAAAGAGACAAUGUUAGCAAAAUAAAUCAAGCCUAGAAGUUUAUAUUUAUUUAUUUACUAGUUUUAUUAGAGUCAAGUUUUUAGUAGUUAUGUGAUUUAGGAGUUUGUGUGUUAUUUAGUAAGUUCUUGUUCAAAUGAUUUCUUAUUUUACAAGUUUUAGUAAGUUAUAAAUAGGACAUUAGUUGAGAUAUUUUCUUAAAAGGGUCUAAAAGUGUUUGUAAGGUUUUAUUAUGGUAUGCCUUUUUUAUUAUUUGAAAUUUCAAUAAUAAUGUGAAUUAUUUAUUUUCUUCUCUCCCACAAAAAUAGUUUUGAGUGAUUGUUUCAUCCUUUAAUGUUGUGUGUUGGUAUUGAGAUUCUUUUUUUUUUUUUCAAUGAAAAUGCUAGCUGACUCAUUCAUACUCGAAAUUUAUUCCAGUUUGUAGUUAAUUUGCAAUGAAAUUGUCUUUACAUGUUGGUAUAUAUGUUGAAAAAGAGUCAAAUGUAAUAUAUACCAUAUGUCUAUGUGGAACUAAGAUUGGGAUCGUCGGGUUAAUUCUCUCACCAUUUUACAGGACAUACUGUAGUCUGUAACAUAUAUAUGGUAAACCAUAACAACUGCAUCGAAUUGUGUUAUAAACGAUGCUGAAGCACAAAAGUUCAAUGCCAAAUUUGCGAUUUCACUGGAAAAACUGCUAAAAAAUGUACCAAAUUUGAAAAUCAAAGUAGACCGAUCGCUUCGACCGGUUGAACUGCAAAUUGACUUGGUGCCAGUUCAUUUUUGUAGUAAACUCCAAAAAUCAAUUGAACUUGUUAAAUCCAAUCAAGAACAGAUUAAAACUAGUAACAAAGUGGACUUUAGAACUGUUUGCUACUUCUUCUUCUUUUUUUUUUUUCUUUCUUUGGUAUUUUAAUGUUAUCAAAGUUAUAGAGGAAUUAAAAUCUUUUGACCUAGGAUUAAACUGUGUAUGGGAAGAUCAUCCUGUUCAAUUACCAAUCCGGGCUUUUACUAGAUUAAACCGCAAACUCAAACAUGCACUUAAGGAAAAGUAUACCCUUGACAAGGAACAGCCCCAUGUAGUCUGUAAGCAUAAAUUUUACUAAAUAUAAAUUUGGAGUAGGUUUUAUCGUGUAAACAUUUUGUGUCUUUUGAAGUUUGUUAAAUAUUAUCCUUAAUGAAAACUGCUUAGUUUGGGAGUUUAGGAUAGAAAAGAAAAGAAGGGAAAGCUUAAGUUAUGAGAGAAGAGAAGAGAUUGUUAUGUUGUUUGGGAGUUUUGAGAAUUAGUUGAAUGAUUUUGGAUAUGGAAAUCAUUAAAUAUUUGUUCAGGGCAUUUUUAAGGACAAAAUAGGCAUUUUAGAAAAAUUAACAAAUUUUCUCCAAACUUUCUUUCCAUUUCCUUCCAAUUUGGGAGGAAAUAUUUUGGUCACUAUUUAUCCUCCCAUUUCCUUUCUUUUCUUUCUUACUUAAAACUACCAAACAAAGGAAAAUCAAGUUUUCUCUUCUUUCCCUUUCUCUUCCGUCCAAAUCCUCAACGCCCAAAGGCACCCUAAAUAACGUCCAUGACUAAAACUUCUCAUGAAUGUCCCUUUCUACUUUUAGCUUUCAUCUUUUUCUUGGUUCAUGUUUCUGGUUAGUCAAUGUUCUAAUUUUUCACAAGGAUUGAUUGCGCCAUUGCCACUAGCAUGCGGCAAGAGACUUUGGUGCGAUGUCACUUUUUGACUUGUCAACUUUACCCUCAUUUUCGUAAUUAUGUCAAUCCAACAUAAGGGUGAGUUUAUAACUUUAUUAUCUUGGUAAUAACUCAUCCCCAGUUCCCAGUAUUGUGACCAGUGGGAAUGGCACACCUAUGUGUGUGCGCAAAUCUAAAAAGAAAAAAUUUUAAAAGAAAAAUUUAUUAAAUUUUUUAGUAAUUUUUGGAGGUUUUUUUUUUUUAAUAUGGAAAGAAGUAUUGUGUUUUUCUUUUUUCUGUUUUUUAAAUUGAAAGUUGUUGGCAGUUAUUGCUUUAUUGGAAGUUAUGUUAUGCUAGAAAAAAUGGAGGUGUGUGUAUGUGUUUGUAUGUGUUUAUUUAGGAAGAUGACAGUACCAUUUUACGCUUUAUUUGGAUGGUAAAAUAGAAAUUAUAAAAAUUGACACAAAAAGUUUACACCAACCCUUUCCCUCUCCCUUUAUAUAUAGUGUACAAAUAGAUAUUAAAGCUAGGCUCUACUACUAAUAAUCUCAACGUUUAAAUUAUUUCUCACAUUUCACCAAAUGAAUUAUCAUUCUUCACUUUUAAAAUAUUAAUUUUACGUCCUUUAUAAAUUUAAAUUAGUAAAAUUUAAUCCCAACCUAAGUUUUUGAUUACUUUUUAGUCUAAAAUCACUAUAUUAUCCAUCUGCAAUCAUUUCUUAUGUAUAAAAAGGUUAGAUCCCACUAUUUUAGUGGCAAAAAUGAAUAUGGAUUAAUUGGGUCAGGUUUUACUUUUUUAUGAGAAAAAAUGAAUAUAGUUCAAAGUAGAUCCUACUUUUUUAGAGACAAAAAUCAAUAUAAAUCGGGUUAUUUAUUUAACUGCAAAUAGGAUUUAACAUUUUUGUCCUUAAAAAAAAAAUCAUGUGUGGGUCAUACGAUAGAUUCAGGGUGAAAAUAGUAAAAAAAUCUAGAUUGAGACUAAAUUUUAUCGAUUGAAUUUUGUAAGAGAUAUCGAGUUACCAUUUUAAAAAUGAAGGAUGAAAAGAUUCAUUUGGUAAAAUAUGAGAGACCCUUUUUUUUAUCAUUAUUUAUAGCAAUUUGUGAAAUACACAGUUCCACACCUACUGCUAUCAUUUUUUCAGGCAGGCAUUGCAGUCAUAUUUAGCUUUUGAUUUCACUGUAAAAAUCUCUUUGGAUGCACACCUAUCUACACUAGUGCAAAUUAAAUCCAAGUCAGUCCCAUAUAUUUACUAUCAUAAUUUGCACAGAAAUCCCAUUUUCACAGUAGCCAUAUUUUUCCCUUCUACCUUUCUGAGCUUUCUACUCCAUCUUCUGAAAAGAAAACAACAAGGACAGAGCUCCAUUAAUUGGUCCAAAGAGAGGCAACACAGAAGGCAGGCAGUUUGUGAAUGUGAGUUGUGACGUUGGGGAGUGGAAAUUGAACUUAUCACUAGUCGUUCUCAAGAGUCAUGAUGCAUGUAUAACCCAAAAAAAAAGUCGAAAUUACCGAGCUACAAAGCCAGCAAUAGAACCGAUCAGCUAGUGCAAUGAUUGGAACUCACUGUUCACGUACAAAAAUGAUGUCACAUAAAACUUAAAUUCGCAUUUGCUGAUCCCUUUUCCAAAUUGAAAGUGAUAGCCGGUUUUAAGGGCUCCAUCCUUCUCUUUCUCCUCUAUCUCUAUCUCUUUCUGGCUCUCUUGGAAGAAGAUGACCAGAUGAGGAUGCUUUUGCAUGAAUGAUUCCUCUUGACAGUAGUAUUAUUUGGUGGUGCCGAGUGCCGACAGGAGAUAUAAUGCAUCAUCACAAAGUUAACCACAACUAUCAGUUACAAAAUUCAUGCCAAAUCCAUACCCUUCAUUAACUGUCACUUGGUAUAAGUCCCAUCUGCAACGACAGUGACAUUUUUUAUUUUUAUUUUUUAUGGUUUUGUAACUUUGUUUUCUUCUUGUACUCAAUUUGUUUUUUGGAAACCAACAUGUAUUGCUGUAACACUUGGAAAUAAAAAAAAUUUUAAUAGACUUAUUUUUUUGUAUUAAAAUUUUGAAGGUUGGUUGAUAUAGUUAUUGUAUUGAAGUGGGAAUGUCAGCUUGAACUCUCUCCCGUGUUUGUACUUAGAAUGGUAAAUAGCUAGUUUAAUGAAUCAGGCAAGAGAAAACUUGGUUGGUAAGAUGUUUCAUCUAUGAUGAAAAAGUCACAAGUUUGAAUCAUUAAAGGGGCAAGUAGAAAAUUAUUAUUGAUCCUUUUCUUUUUUUCAAGAAAAAUGUUGAAUCAGGCAAGAAUUCUUAUGUUGGAUUUGAGAUACUUCUAUAAAAAAAAAAAAAAGUCCAUUUUGAGGGAUAACAACUUGUCCAAUAUUUUAUGAAACUGAAAUUGAAACUUACACUUGCAGUAUCUUGUGGAAUUCAGAGCUAAGUUAAUAAUUUAUUUGACGUCAAGUUUUUGUCAAUGCGAGUGUUGAUUUAAUCAUAUAACCGCUCAAUCUAUUAGGUCAAAGCUUUGUCAAAGGGCAUUAGUAGAUUGAACUCCUUGAUUAGCUGGAUGUUUGUUCAAGAAUGAGGUAGUGGUUCCUGUCAUUGUUAGGUUAAUUACCAAGGAGCUGGUUGCACUUUAUCAUGAAUUUGAGCUUGAAUGUUCUAGUGGUGGGCAUGAGUUAGCUAAUUUGGUAAUAGUAACUGAUGGAGAUGCACACCACAACUCAAUUGAAUUGUUUGUUAUCCCAUAGAUUUGCAUGAUUAAGAAUUUUUAUGCUUACUUCAGCUUAAAUGGCCUUAGCGAUCACCUCUUUUUUUUUUUUUAAUUUUAUUUCGAGACAGAUUAUUUGAUGUUUCUAAUGAACAUAUGCUUAACUAACAAAACCUCUAGACUUCUUUCAUUUUUGAUAACCCUUUCAUGAGUUAAAUCCAAUGAACUGUCAUUUAAGAGUUUGGCUUAGGAGAACUAAAAAUUAGUUCAAAUCUCUCCUUUUUCUUUGUGUACACAUAUACACACACCAAAACCAUGUUAAUAAUUGGUACAACAGAAGAAGUGUUUUAAAAAUUCCAAUAAGAAUUUAUGAUAUCUUAUUUUCAUUAAUUGUUAUAACUUGAAGUCUCCCGCAAAACUAAGUGUAACUUUGUUUGGAUUGUACAUUAUGUACAUCUUAUUUAUACAUACUGACUUACUUGCAUUGUCAAUAUAUUUUUUAAUCGUUUUUUAUCUCAUAUAUAUCACAUUAAAAAAAUGCUACAAAAUUUUUUUCAAAAAAUUAUUUCAAAUAAUUUCCUAUCUAAUUUAAGUACAAAGAGUAAAGAAAAUUUCAUACUCUUUUUUUCUUCCGAAACCCAAAGAACUUACGUCAAUUUUUAUAAACCUAAACCCCGAGGGAACCCCAAAAAUCGGUAUCCUUUAAGAUUCCACAGGAGACUUAUAACUACCAAUCCAAACCCUCCCAACCCCGAUAUGGGAUACAUUAAAGGGGAUGACACCCCAAACCUCCACAACGGAGAGCCUGCUGCUAAGCCCAACUGGAACCCAACCCCCUAGAGGCGAUAUUACAGUAUCAGAAAACAUCAUACUUCUUUCAGGUGACAGCUAGAAAAUUCUAUAUGCUUUCAAGAGACAAGAAAGAUAUUAUUUCAGUCUAGUCAUAAAAUGAUUGAUUUGAAGCCAAGUACUGAAUGAACUUCAUCGAAAGUCAUUCCAAGAUUUAUUAUCGUGGCUCCACACAUCCUAUUGUUCUUUUAAUUAAAACAGCAAUUGUCAAUUAUAGACCUCUAAAAAUACAUAUUUACCCUCUAUUUCAUAAGGUGCGUUUGGCUGAUUAUUUUUCAGGUGUUUUUAUAAAGAUUCUACUAUAGCUACGUUUUUUACAAAAGCAUUUGGCGUGGUGUUUUUAAUGUUUUCUUGAAAAUAUUUUUAGAGAUGGUGGUGAAACUUCUCCCCGCCUUGUUCGCCAUCCUUCACCAUCCCCUUUUCCCUUUCCCUCCAAAGCAUCGCUUGCCACUCUGGAGUCCCCCUAGGCAUCCCUCCCCUUCCAACCCCCUCCACUAAUACUCUUACAAUACCUUGGCCCUCCUUUCUCUCUCCCUCCCCUCCCACUUUUCCACUAGCCGUCCUCUCAUCCCUGCGAUUUGAUUGGGAAGGGAAAGGGAGGGGUCUGAGGUAAGGGGAAGGGAGGAAGAGUAAGGAAGGCUAGGGAUAGGGUGAUGGUGGAGCAGGCAAAAGUAGGAAAGGGGUAUUUAUGUCUGUAUCAGUGUAUGUUUUUGGAUAGUUUUGAGUAUUUCACAUUUUUCUAUUCGUGUUUUCUGAGACAUCUUUGGUUUUUUUUACUGGAACAUUUAUGCUAACCAAACUGACCCUAAUUUUCAUCUCCAGCCUCUAUAUGAAGUUCAUUGAUGAAUAGGGGUUGAAGCCCAUCACAAUUGCCGGGACAGAAUAAUAUCCCAACAUUUUGGGUGUCAAAAUGUGGUGCUGUCGUGGUCCUGCCCCCUAUAGCAAUUUCAAAUUUCGCUUUGAAUAUUUUUUGAACAUAUUUUUUAAUUAUUUUUUUUUAUUUUAGCAAUAUUUUUAUCCCACAUCACAUACCAGAAAGUAUGAUGGUGCUAAUUUUUCUUAAAAUACUUCUUAAAAACUCCCAAAGGAAGUCGUAAAAUGCAAAUUUCAAAAAAAUACAAAAUGCUCGAUCAAGGGUGCAAUCCCACAACUUUACCUGAUAGCUAUAUGAUUCUUAAAAUUUAUAGUGAUGAUAGUCAUGCAUUUCCACCACAUGAUUUACAAAAUUAUUCAUUUAUACCUUUAUGCUAGUGUCACUUUCUUGGUUAAUUUUUAACAAUUCAUAUACAGUUUCACUACCCUUUCCCCAAGAAAUUUUCUUAAACUUUCCGGGCAAAAAGUCAUCUCACAUUUUGCUCUUCUGGUCUCCAAAUCCUGGUUGCCAUCCAGAAAUUUGGAUAUACUUCGUCCCCAGUUGCCACUUGCCAGUCAAAAACAAUAGUAUCUGAAACAAAAUAUCCUCGACUAUUUAGAGAUUCAUGACUGAUUACCUACUGAUUCAUUUGACACACAACCAAAAAAAUAUGCUGAAUCAGAAAAAAAAAAAAAAAAGAAAAAAAGAACGGGCUGGAGAUUCCAUACCACCCUUUUCUCACGAUCAUAGUUUGUUUUUUUUUGGUGGUAAUUAGAGAUGCAUAGAAGUAAAUAAAGGGUUUUGCAAUCAGUUGCUUAAUACAGUCAUCUAGGAAUAGUUGAUCCCCUUAAAUCAUCCAAAAGAAAGGGGAGUACAAAAUCAGGGCAGGAAAAAAAUCUGGAAAUGUGCUCCAUUGUCUCCUCUCCAUUUAGCCAGCCUAUCUGCAGAGCGAUUUGCCUCUCUAAAAUUAUGGUAGAAACAUGCCUGGUGGAAUGUAGUCAACAGCUCCCUUUGCAGUUGCAAAGGAGUAUUACAUGACAUGAAAACACUGUCCAAAAUGGGCCUCUUUGUCUGAGUGGUAAUUGAGAUUUUUUUUGUCUAAGUGGUGGAAUGUAGUCAACAGCUCCCUUUGCAGUUGCAUAGGAGUAUUACACGACAAGUAUUACAUGAAAACACUGUCCAAAAUGGGCCUCUUUGUCUAAGUGGUAAUUGAGAUUUUUUUUAUACCAAAGGAGACUGUAAGCCUUACAAGAGGGAAGGGGAAAAUAGGAGAACUUGAGAGGUAAAUCAAACAUCUCGCGGUUAACUAACUAAUAUUUCUAUCAAUUAAGUUGGAUUUUGAGGAUUGGUGACUGAGAUAUGAAUACCGCAUAACGAUCACGCCCAUUAUUUUCAGUGCGAUGCCUUGAAGCUCUCUAAGCCAUCACAAGUGAAUGCUAUUGUUAAAUUUCUCAUUACAAGUGAAUGUUGUUAAAUUUCUAGAGUAAGCAUUGAGUUCAAGAGGUGUUUGGUUCAUAUUCAGAAUCAAAAUUAGAAUUAUAAAUUCCACUAUAACUACGUGGUUGCCCAUUCACUUUAUAUAUUUGGUUUUGAGUAUAAACAAAGACUUGAUCAAUUUGAAACCUAACCUAGAAUGAGACAAGAUCCAACAGCUUCAUUCUCAUCAAAUGAUGCCCGUGGACGUCUUCUGCCAAACAAUAGAUAAAGUUAUUAUUCAUUUGAAACCCGUUCGUACCCCUAAUACCAUUUGUCCCAAACAUUCAGUGCCGCAUAAUAAAUUCAAAUGCUUUAGUUUUGAUUAUCAAAUGCAUCUGAAUAUGUUAAGAUCUAAAUUGAUUCAAUUUAAGUGUCGAAUUGAAUUAUCAAACAGGAUCAAAUUGUGUCAUGAUAGUGCUAUGAUAUGCUUGCUUAUUGUCAUAAAAGUCCAAUCAUAUUCUUCUAUAACCAUAUGUCUAGUAUUUAACUAAAUGUAUAUAUCUACCACUUACACGUGGUGCCUAAUUAAAAAAAACAGCAUUUUAUUAUUUAAGAGAGGUGGCCUUAAAACUUAAAAGCCAUGCAGAAAGGCAUGUGCGGAGUGUAAGCCAAGAAAGGGAUGGUAUUACACAUGAGAUGUCACAGCUGCAGCAAGAAAUUCCACAGGACAACACUUUAUGGACAAAGCCGGCAGACGCUGUAGCAGCCUGUACUCUGUAGUCUGUCAACAAACCCACUCGAAACUAUAUCUCACUUCCCACAACACAAGGUUUAUAGUUAUCGCCAUCUUAUUAGCUUGGUGUGGCUCAAAAUAGACCUCUCAAUGAGCACGGGUGCAAAGAUGAAAGAGACAGCUUCUUUGAGCUUCGAGGCCAUUUGAGCCCCCCUUUGUUUUCCGUUUUCUUCUUUCCAAGUAAUAAUUUGAAGCCAAGAAGAAUCCCUCUUGAGCUGGAAGAAUUAAGCCUUUGAAAAGCCAAAAAAAAAAAUUUUUAAAAAAAGCCUACCUCAUUAUAACUUUAUAAGUGAAGAUGGUCAAUGCAUUUCUGCCAUUUUCUAUCCCCAGUAAAAAGCAUGACGAAGUGAAAGUGAUCAAUAAUGAUCAAUUUGUGUCACGUUUGGGAAGGAUGAAUCCCGCAAAUCCAGCAAGAACGGGACAUUCUGUGAAAGAGAUAUCUUGGCCAUUCUGGACUCCUGAGCAAGGCUUGAAUUAUUUGAUGGCUUUUUGGUUUUCGUGGUUUUUCAUCUUCUUGAUUUUGGCUUUUGGACUAAUUCAUAGAUUUUGACUGCUGCUGCAAGCUAGUUUUGUUCCGUAUUAGUAUGAUGAAUCAUGAUUAUUUUAAACAUUUUUACAUAGAUACCAAGCUUGAAUUUUUUGACGAAAGCAAUUAAAUUGAUCCUUUCUGGUUUCUUUUUUCUCUGGAAAAAAAAAAAUUUAACUAGGGAUGUUUUAGUUUUCUGUUUUCUUUUAGGGCGAUAAUUUUCUAUUUUGUCUUUUCUGGUUCAAUUAUAUCCCCCAGCAUAUAUUCUUGGCCUUUGGAAAGAGUAUCCCACGUAGGUCCUUUAAUAACAGGCCAGACGCUUGAAAAUGCUAGGCUGGAAAUCACUCUCCGUUUGAUUCUUUAAACUAGUCAGACAAAGCGAGUGUGUGAGGGCACAACUAGUUGGCUCAAGGCUGAUUGAGACCUAAUGGGCCCAAUGGAGCCACUAAAAUUUGGACCAAGGUUCAUUUGCUCGGAGAUUGGGUUGUUCUUGAACAAACAGACCGCAUUUUCUAAGAAGGAUGGCUUUCUAUAAUACGAUAAGUUACUAUUCAUGUAUACCAACAAUUUGGACCAAGACCUAGUUAGUCCAAGCCCAACUACAAAUUCAAGUUGCCAAAUUCCCAAUAUUAACUUUUUGGAUUAAUCAUUAUUGCACUGUUUGUGUAUGAGUAUAUCUUAUAUACACUGACAGUGUAUAUACUAUCACAGUUGGAUACACAAUACAUGUACAAUAUUUGGGUUUCAAAUUCAAAUUCGAAUUAUGUGUCAUGCAUCCAAUGGUGAAAAUAUAUACAUUGUCAGUAUAUAGAAGAUUGAUUCUUUGUGUAUACACCUAUGAAUUUAGAUGUGUAUCACAUCAUUUUAAUUUAAAUUUAACCACCAAAUUUUGUAUAUGUUGUAUGCAUCUAAGUUCUCUAGUAUAUACACUAACAGCAUAUAAAAAGAUUUAUCCUUAACUUUUUCUCUUCUAAAACUUUGAGUCUUACAAAAAAACAAUAGAAAAAUCAUGAAAAAUGAAAAAGAAUUGAUUACUGGCUCUUUAUCUUGCAUAAAGGUUGAUAACCCAAAACUUAGAAGUCUUAGAUUUAAAUAUCCCUUCCUCCUCCUAGUGUCUUAAAUCCCCCGUCCCUUUGAUAGAUUUUCUUUUUAAGAAAAAAUGUUGCAUGAACAUAUAUCCAAAGGCAAAAAAUACUUCUGUUUUCCUUUUCUUAAAUCCAUAGAGAAGUUGAAGUCUUACAUAUAGACAUAUUUUGGUAGUAAACUAAGGUUCUGUUUGAUAAAACUUAAUCUGAAGUCUGAAUUCUAAAUUUUGAAAUCUGAAUACUGAAACAAUUAAUUUGCUGAAUUUUAUGUAUUAAAAAAAAUAUAUGAAUGUCUGAAUUGUAAUGCUAAACCUAUUUAUACUGUUUGAUAAAUAUUUAUAACUAAAUGUUUAAUAAGUUUAAUUUGAUAAUUUUACCCUUACAUCCUUUCAUUCAAAAAAGAAAUAGAAUCUAUGAUUUAAUUAGUUUAAAAUUGUUAGGUAUGAAAAUGACAAUAUUUAUUUUUAAAUCAAAUUAAUAUAAAAGAUGAAAUAUAUUAUAUGGAAGUAUGGAGAAGAUAUGAAAGUCAUUAAAAAUGGAGAAAAGAGAAACUAAAAAUCGUUAGAUAGAGAAUAUUAUAUUGUUUAAUUAGAUAAGAAUUUUGAACAUAAUUAACAAAUAAGGGUAGAUUUGGUAGAUAAGAUAAGUUAGUUGAAAUAAUUCUAUUGAUUCUUAUCAGAAUUAAACAUUCAGUUAGGAUUCUUGUACUGAAAAAAAUACACACAGGUUCAGCACUGUUUAACAAGUUCAACAAAUAGAUUUUCAUUUAUCAAACACUCAAAACAUCUGAAUGUUUGAAAAAAUUCAGAUUCAACACUUUUUUAUGUUAUCAAACAGACCCUAAGGCAAAUUACAGAAAAUCCCCCUCAACCGUUUUUAUUUAAUUGCCUUGCAGCCAAGUUUUCUCUUGAGCUGCCACUUUACUAAGGCCUGAGAUUGCAGUGCGCAUAUAUAAAAAGAGUAAAUAUUAUAUACACUGUCCGUAUAUACAAUAUCAUGGUUGGAUGAAUGACACAUGAGUAAAUUUUGAAUUUUAAAUUCAAAUUUUGCACGUGUAUCAUAUAUCUAAUGGUGAUAGUAUAUAUACUGAUAAUGUAUAUAAUAUUAAUUCAUAUAAAAAUAGUGCUUUUAAGCACUAAAAAUACUUUUAGAACGUUUGGUAACUAAUGUUUUAUAACUUAAUAAGCUUAGUUUUUGAUAACUUAAAAGCACUUGUGUCAGAAGUGUUUCUUUAUAAGUCAUUGCAACUUCAAACGGUGCCUAAUUAACGUCUACAAUAAAGAAAAGCUGGUAAAUUUUGAGUAUACUCGAUUCCACUAUCAUCGGAGAAAUACUUCAAAUAUUUUGCACUAGAAUUCAAAUAAGAACUGGCCAGGUAAAUGCAAUGCACGAACUUCGCACGAGCACGGCCUCAUUAUUGCUUGGAAGCUUAUCUGGAUCAGCAAAUGGGAUCAAUUGUACGAGGAAACUUUGUUUUCCUUUAUAUAUUUGUACUUUGAAAGUUUUGAAUCAUUAUAGGCAUUCCUCCUAGAUUUGGUUUCGUUUGUAGUUUCAAUUAUUUUGUUAUAAUUUUGAAAAUUAUAAAAAAGAAUUAAUUAUACAAAUUUUAGACAUGCUAGAUCAACAAUCUUAUCGAACUAAUGACCUUUGAUCCGUAGAAAAAGUCUUUUUGCUCAUACAUGAGCAAACAAUACUGCGAAUUUUUGAAAAAUUGAAAUAUAUAAUUAAAAAAUCUAGUAUUUUUAAAUAGUAGUUUGGACAUGACAACACUAUCCAAAUUUCCAAUGGACGCAAUUAUUAACAAAUGCUCUAAAAAAAUCAUGAGAUAAAAAUUAUGGAAAAAAAUGGUUUCGUUUGGAUCUCCAAAUAUUUCAAAAACUGUAUUUGUAGUCCAAAAACAUGGCAGGAAAGUUUCAAACAUCUACAGUGCACCUUUACGAAAACGACACCGUUUUAUCAUUUUCUGUCUCGUCUCUGUUUGUGUGUCCCAAAUACGGAACGAGUGUCAGUACCUAGUAGUCAAAAGAGCACUUUCCUCUUCUCUCGCUGCCUUUGCCCAAGCUUCAUCUCUCCUCCAUUAUUGCUCUGGAACAACCACAGAACCCACAUUCAACUUGAGCCGAGCUUCUCCCUGUAGAUGGCACCGGAUGUACUUCUAAAGCAGGCCACCUACAGUAGGUGAAGAGAUAUCCUCCAGUAAGACUGCUGUUGCCGAAGCUGCAUGUUCUCCGCCAUUGUUGCCCUCGAACAACCUCAGAACGGACAUUCAACUUGAGGCGAGCUUGUCUGACCAUUGUGGCUCCAGAUCUACAGCAAAAUCAAAUCACUUGAGGCACCUUCUUCUACGCUGUUAAACGGCCGUCUCAGCUCAUCAGGUUAGUACUACCAGAAUGAGUUCUCAACAGUAUGUUUUGCAUUUCAAGUUUGUUUUUUAGCAAUGAUACAGCAAGCUCCAUCUUUCUCAUAGCCCCAUUUUGAGUAUUGAGACCUUCAUAUCAUCCCUGUAUUAGCAUUUUGCCCAAACACCCAAAUCCUAUCUGAUUUGUGUAAGCUAGUUCAAAAAUUCCAAAAUUUGAAUAUCUGUCCGUUGGUAUGUUAAUUGACAAGCCUCUGUGAAAUUAUUUGUGGUAUGAACAUACAGUUGUCUUCGGUUUGUCUUCAGCUUUAGACGUUAGCAAUUGGCAAUGGUUAUGCUUCCUGUUUAGGUUUGAUUGCACAAAAUGUCUUAGCGACUGCAAUUGAUUAUCUAAUAAAACAUAAUUUUACUGAGCUUAAUAAUCUCUUAUAUCAUUGGGUUUAGACCGAAGCUUACAUAGACAGUUGUAACUUCAGAGUGAAUUAUCCAUUCUGUUGUGGCCGACACUUUGCCAAAACUGUUAUUGCAGGGAGGUAGGCUUCAUUCUUAUAUGCACUAGCUUCUGAGUAUUGUCGCUGUCCUGUCUUUUUGGCCAUUUAGCAUGCCAAGUCUGUAUAUUCUCCACUAUAGAAGUACUUCAUUUAUAGCAAUAAAAUUUGGAAUUGUGCCUGUUGUACAGCUAUUUCUUUAAUUCUCAGAAAUUGUUACGUUUUGUAGCUGCUUUCACAUCUCGGAUAAUAGAAAAUAUGCUUGACAGUGAUAAUGCCUGCGGCCAUUCAAUUUUACUGCUUGACUGAUCUUGUUUAGAGGGAAAGGAUUUUGUUUUCACAUACUGGAAGUUAAUAUCCAUUAGUAUCUGCUCCUCUGUACAUGCACCUUCUACAAUUUCUAUGAAUUAAGAGUUGAAAAGUAGUUAUCAAUUAAAAUUGUCGGUUGAGCUUGCAUCUGCCUUCAUUUCAAAAGCUCCCGCUUGGGUCUCUUCGUUGCGACGAUGGUAAUCUGUGCUGUUAGCCAUAACACUGGUAUCUAAUAUGACUUUUCAACACUGUUAAGAGUCUUAUGGUAACAGCAGUUCAGUUGUUUCCGCAGAUUAAAUAGUCUCAUACUAGUAUUUUUAUGUAUUAAGUUUCGCUCAGAUUUUUAUGAUUAACCUUCUUCGCUUUGAGGUGAACCAUUUAGGUGAUACUUUUAGAAGCGUACUGCAACUACAUGCCCCCUGUUACUCGACGUGCUUGGAAGGGUAUGUUGUACUUCCACACUCUCCAUCUUUAUUUCGUUAUAUGAGUAUUUAUUCAUUGGUGAAUAACACUAACUUUUCUCACUGUCCAGGUUUUCAAAAAAGUAGGCGACUAGGCAGUUAUUCUUUGAAGUCAGCUUGUGGAGAGAACGAUUUGCAGCUGUGCAUCACCAACUACUUCAAGGUAAAGCUGUUGCUGCAAUAAAAAGUGUCUCGACCUGGUUGAAUGCCAUAGAUUAGAAAGAAACUAUGCCAUGCAUACUUUUGAGCUAAAAAAUUUCCUUUGCCAUGCGUUGUUUCCAUCCUAAACCCAAAAAAGAUGAGUCUACCACGAGCAAAGUAUUCCCAGCGUAAUACUUUCACCGAAGAACACGAAUUACAUUUGCCUAACAUCUAUUGAGUAUGCAUAGGAAGGGAGAAAUAACCCCUAACAACAUCGGGAGUCAUGUCAUCCCUGAAGUCAUGGCUAUGCUUAACGCUACCCUCGGCACUUCCUUUCCCAAAAACACCAUCAGAUCGAAGUACUACGCCAUGCAGAGCCUGACCAGGCUGUAUAUUUCAUUCAAGAGGCGAGGUACUGGUAUGGGUUGGGACUCUUCGAAGUACACAUUCAUGAUGGAUGAUGGCUGCUGGGCUGAUCUACUCCAGGUUGGCUAACUUGUACUUAUAUUUCCUGUUUCAUUUCAGUUAUUUUUCUGUUUUGUAGACUUGCCUAUAUGACCAGGCAGUGCAAUUCCUUUUGUACUUUGUUCCGAUAUUUCCCUUUAUUAUUAUCAGUACAUUUUUAGGUUUCUGUUCGAAAUCAGUUUUUCACUUCAAUUCCUUUCGAUUAUUUGCUGACUGACGACCAAAGCAAUAUAGCCUCACAGUACUUGCUGUCUUCAGUGUUUUAUGCAUAAUCUAAUGCUUGUUUUGAUGUAUUUUUUGAAGGUGAACAGCGACUUCACAAGGUUUUAUAAUAGAUCAUGCUAUGUAUUUCAUUUGUUUGAGGAAGUUUUUAUGAACCAAGGCGCUAUAGGGGACUACAGUGGGGCACAUGAAGAAUCACCCCUCAACACCGAUGAGGAGUUGGAAAUGGAGAAUGCGGCGAGAAGUGCUAAGCCCUCGGAUGUUGUUAACAUCGGCUCAUCGGGUGAAGAUGUUAAGAUGCCCUCGACUAGGAAAGGGAAAGGGAAAGUAACUAAGGAGAAAAAAAAGCGCAAAUCGGGAGACAUGUCAAAGGAUUCAUCCUUCUCAGGUUCUUCAAGGGAAUUCCAAUAGUAUAUGCGUGUGCUAGACAGCAUUGAGACAAAAUUGAGUGGUAAAAAGGGAGAUAGCAUGACUGGUUCGGUCUGUUCACCGUCGAAAAUUGCACAUCGCCCCUUGAAUGCUGAUUCUGAGCUAAAGGCCACGUUGGCACAGCUCCUCGCCCUGAAUCUAGACAUACAUGUACAUUUGGGCGUUAUUGAUAUUUUAAAAAAUGCUUCAGAGCGGGCAAUUUGAAAUACUUGCACUACUGAUGCUGCUCGUCUUGCAUUUGUGAGGUGCAGAGGGUUCUUACCCCCUGAGUAGAUCGAGACCUGUCCAUUUUUAUUGUAGUUACGCUUAUUAGAGCUCGUUAGAUGCUUGUGUUUUCUUCCCUGCUAUGCUAUUUGAGUGUUGACUUGGCAGUAGGUUUGGUAUGAGUAUGACUAUGCCUUAGUACCGGAAAACUGUUUUUCAUUAUUUUUUUCCUUAUUUUUUUCACACUAGCUUGUAUGAAACAAUUGUUCUCGCAGUUGUUAUGUUGCCUUUAAUUGUCCUAAAUUAUUAGUGUCGCAUUUAACUUAUGGAUUAUUAAGUGCUUUGCUUAUAGUUACAGCUGUCCGGGUUUUAAACUUUUCCAUGUACGCAGGUUUUAAGUUUGUUACGUUUAUUUCCAUAACUUUAAUAUGGUUAUUGGUGCAUUUGUGUAAUAUCUCCUAUCUCAUAUGCAUGUUAGGUGUCCUGUGUAUCCAUCUUGUGUGUACACAGCAAUCCAUCUUUAUUUCCUGUACCGAAUGUACGGGACUCGGGAAUGAAGCUGGUCAUGCUUCAAAGUGUAGAAGCCAUCAACCUUAACAUCAUUUUUCAUAUAAACUUUUACUGUAUUUCAUUUGUUAGCUACCUUAUGUUAACACCUAUCCUAUUACUAUGCUGUCUUAUGGUUGCAUGUAUUUGACGGAAAUAUAAGAUCGAGAUUGGAAAGAUAUUGCACUUAUAUAGAAAAUGUCUAUCCGCUUGCAUGCAUGGAAAUUAUUGGAUGUAAUCCAUAUGCACUAUGAGUCUAGAAACCAAAUCUGCAGCAUUCAUUACUGUUUUCAGUUUAUUUUUGAAAAACUAUUAUCGAUUGAUAUUGCAUUUCCCUGUGGAUGCAGGUUGGCUAUUUUCUGGAGCUCUAGCAACAGUAUGUCUCCGCAAAGUAACGAGUCUCUCUCUCUCUCUCUCUCUCUCUAUUGAUUACUAAUUGUCAGUGUUUUGUUUCGGUUGCACUCUUUAUUUGUCUCCUCAUAAUAUUUCCUUUCAUGCACGAACUGCAGCACGUGUUGACUGUUUCCAAAAUUUCAUAUUCAACUUUCAUGCUACAUUUUGACCCCCCAUAAACUACAGCUAGCAUGUAUUUUUGAUUAUGCCUACCACAUUAAUUGUCCUUACACGAAAAUGAGUAUUUAACAAUUACUGUGGUUUCAUCUCCGAGGCUAUCAAGAACUUGCCUAUUAGUUUGUCAAUAAAGCAUGAGUUGUUUCUUGAACAUAAACGAUACCGUCAAUCAUAUGUGAAUCUUAUUUGUAUCUACUCAUAUCAGCUUGUGCUUGGGAUAACACUGGUCUUGACAUCAUACUUAAGGGUUAUCUCAAUUGAUGGAUAACGACAUCCACGUUUAGGGCGGACAAUUAGACGAUGAGACAGACGAUCUUGAUCUCGACAGCAUACUCAUGGUGGUUAUUGUCAUGGGAAUGAUUUUCUUUGACCCCCAGAUUGAAUCAUAUUCCAAGAAGGAGAAGAAUCCGAGAUAGUGCACUUUCUGGCAGGGAUUAUGUACUUGAGAUGCUAAACGGCCAUCCGGAUCGAAUUAUCGAGAAUAUGCGCCUCUUUGUGCCUCUGUUCCUACACUUGUGCGACAUCUUGGUUGACCGGGGGUACUGGCACGCCUAUCCUUCUCAGAGGGUUGGGGUUCAUGAAUCCGUUGCCCUAACUCUAAUGUGCUUGAGCCAUGAUGAGGGUCAUUGGUUUUAGUCGAGCGUUUCCAACAUUUAACGGAGACAAUUGAUCGGCAUGUAAGAAGAGUUCUGCGAGCAUUAGUGAGACUCGGUCGUGAUUUUGUUAGGCCGAGGAAUGUUGGUGAGACACACCUCACAAUUUUGAACAAUGAACUGUUUUACCCGUGGUUCAAGGUAAAUACACAAACACCCAAUUCUUGGUAGGACUAUGCCGUUCGUAUAUCUGAUUUCCAGUAAUUUGGCAUGAUAAUUUUUUCAUAUAUAUGAAUAGCACAUUGCAUUCCUGCUAAAACAUCCAUAUGAAUAGUUUAUUAGCUAAUGUUGCCGUGACUUUGAAUAAUUUACCUCAAAAUUCAUAGGAUAACGUUGAUGCCUUAGAUGGAACCCACAUAUCAGCUUGGUGUCGAACAGAGAUAAGCAAGCGGUACAGAAAUAGGCACGGUGGGCUAUCUCAAAAUGUGCUUGCAGCUUGUGAUCAUGACAUGCGAUUUGUCUACGUUCAAGUCGGUUGGGAGGGCAGUGCACACGAUGCCAAAAUUCUUCAGGAAACACUGGACCAUCCAAAUUCAGGAUUUCCAUUGCCACCUCUAGGUAUGCAAUUUUUUUAUAUUCGGUCUAUUAGAAAACAAGUGAUUUUCAUUUGUGACAUUAGUAAAUAAUUAACAGACUUUUUAGUAUUGCUUCAAGGUUUGUUUAUUUAAAAAGUUUGAAAUACGCUGACAUGGAUUUGGGGCUCUCACAUGUUAGAAAAAUAUUAUAUGGUGGAUGCCGCCUACACUAACAUGUCUGGGUUCAUGGCAUCGUUUAGGGCAGCGAGAGGCAUGCAGCAUGAGCGCGCCACUAAAGCUUUAUUCAACCGGCGACACGCUUUUGCUAGAAAUAUUAUUGAAUCGAGUUUUGGGGUUCUUAAGAAAUGGUUUCCGAUACUAAAGAGUCCAAUGCAGAACUACCUCAUAGCAACUCAAAACAAUAUCGUGCUUGCAUGUUGUACUCUACACAAUUUCAUGAGAGAUUAUGUGCCUAAAGAUGAGUACUUCGGUGAAGAAGCUGCCCUCGGAGCCCAACUAGAUGCCCAGGAAGGAGGGAAUGAAAUCCAUAAAGUCCAACCCAUCGAUAUGUCGCAACAGGGUAUACAGAAUUGGAACGACGAUCGGCGGGCAAUAGCAGUUCAUAUGUAUGUGAAUCAACAGAACGCUUAAAGAAGCUCAAGACUAGCGUGUAGUACUACUAAGUAGAAACUUUGCUUGCUUCCUACAAUUUGACAACCAAAUAACUUGUCAUGUUAUCUGAUUUGUAUUUACAAAGGUUAACCUUUGGGGAGGUACUAAUCGGAUGGCCUAGUUCCACCUGUGGCACCUGUCAUCAAGUCUGAAUUUAAUAUGAAACUUUUUAUGCGCCUAUACUGUGUCUUAUUCAAUAACUUGUAGUUAUAGAUGGCGUUGAGACCAGAAUUGGUUGUAUCUUGUGUAUCCAUAUUUAUUCCAGCUGAGGUGCAAAUCAAUGGUUCGAAUAUAUGCAAUAGCUUUCCAGUCGAUCCCAAAUUAUUUCAACAAGUUGAUCCCAAAUUAUUUUCAUCCCAACUUCUUUCGGGAAGGAGAGCAUAUGGAAUGUAGAUGGUGAGAUUUUACAAGGGCAUCAACUUUCUGCUCAAGUAUAUCGAGGCCUUGGUAGUUUAUUUGCUACCGGCCCUGAAGUCUAGUCAAAUGGCACAUAAAUGAGCCAUUAUGUAGUGUAUUUAUUUGUAAUGAGUUACAAUGUAUUAAAUUCUUUGUUGUAAAAUUUUGUAGCAUAACUUCCUCAACGGUUCUAAUUUUGUUCCCCUGUUUGUGAUGCUUCUACUCAUAAUUUAUGAAAUCAUUGCUAUUCUAAGCCAAUUGUUACCGCACUUGGCUCGUACAUUCUUAUGAGACUGUUAGCUUGUUAGGACAUAGCAAGGUCCUCAAUAUUUUCCUUUUUCUAGGUCACCUGCACACGUGGAGUUCAGGGGGGGUCGGGAAUGAUGUUGUAGUUUUAGUACCUCGAUACAAAGUAGUUUACCAGUUACAGUUGUCAUAGCAGGUUUGUCUCAUUUCAUGGUAGUUUCUUAAGUAUUAUGAGAACUUGUUUAUGCUACAUUUUGACCCGAAUUCUUAUUCAAGUUUGAUGAGACAUUGAAGUAAAAAAAAAAAAAAAAGGUGUUUUUGAAAUACAGGUCAAUCCAAAUGCAGAUUUUUUCAAAUACAUGGAGUUUUUCAAUCCAAGUGCCUAUAGCUAUUUUUCAAAAACUGUUACAGUGGAGUUUUUGAAAUACACCUCCAAAAACAGGGGAUCCAAACGCAGCAAUAUAUAUUUUAAUGUCCAUCAUGAAUUAACAAUACUGAUUACAAUUUCUCAACAGAAUACUCGUGCACGAAGUUUGCACUAUUUUCAGAAUACAGGAAUUAUUUUGAUUGUCACCACUUCUAAAAAGCAAAAUGCUAUAGCUUCUGGAAAGAAAGAUAUUUUUUAUACUUAAUCAAAAGAUUGAAUUAGAGAUGCUAUACUUUUCAAUUUUCACUGACGAAAACUGAGCUUUAAUUUUGAAGUAAAAUUUGUUUUCAUACAUAAUUCAAUGAGAUUCAUACUUUAAUUGGAGGAAGCUGGCAUAAUUAUGCUGGAAAUGGGAUAUGAUAUUGAAAUGAAUAAAAGGGCAAAUUUGAUUGCUGGCUAUAUUUUUCACGAGCAGGAUAUUCUAAGUAUUAACAUGAAAAUUACACUGCCUAUAAUCAAUAGUUUCAUUCAAGAUAAUGAAAAAGUUAUAUUUGAUGAAAAAGAAGAACCUACUUUUGAGGCAUUGUCUGAAUUGAUUGAAUUUUGAUUGAUUUAGUGGAAACACAGUUCCCUGGUUUGCCAAAGUCUUAUGCGUUGCAAUAAAUUUUGUCAAGCAAAUUACUUUUUUUUUCUUUAGUAUAAGUAGGAGGUUUCGAACCCAUAACCUCUCACUUACACUUCUUACCCUCGUAUCACCAAUCCAAUCAUGCUUCUUUGUCAAGCAAGUUACUUACCAUUGAAAGAACUCAUCAAUCUCGUAAUUCUAAUGAAGCUGAAACUUCCUCUUGUAGUGAAGUUUCAAGAUGAAAAUGUUGUUACAUUGAAGAGAUUCAUCAAUCUUACUAAAACCUCACAGUUUAAUUUUUUUUCUUUUUGACUAAAAUCCCAGAGUUGAAAAGUCAAUUAGAAAUGAAACCUACUACUGCUAAUUCACAAGAACAAGAUCAAAGCUCUUUGGAAGCUUUUGAGUUUGAUCAGAGUCUUAAUCCUAAUGAAUGUUUUGAUAGCUUCUAUGAUGAAACAGGCCUUAAUCAGUUGACAAGGAAUAGUUCUAAGGAGCCAAAAGAUGCAAUGAUUUUAAGCUUUUCAGAACUAGUAGUAAGUCUGGUGCUGAUAAGAAUCCUUACCCAACUGGUACUAGAUAGACGGUAGAACUCUAGUUGCUAAUUACAUAUAAGAUUCUAUCUGAUGUAGGUCCCUAUUUCUAGUGUAACUCUCCCGUCUCUGUGCUGCUAUACAUGUAUAUAUUGGGUUACAAUGAAUGUGACAGACACUGAAAGAUUGCUCCAGUAAACACCUCUCUGUUUUAACUUCUUUAUGGUAUCAGAGCCCAUACCAGGCUCUUUAAACAUUCGGUCACACCCCUCCAUCUCCAGCAAUUUCUUCCUCUUUUCUAUAGUUCUAUGGCUGCGGAAAAUACUCAAGUUGUCAUCCCAAAUACUCAGGAACCCACUAAUUCCUUAACCAUGAUCACCAUCCACAACUCAAUCAAACUUACCCCCACCAACUAUCUGUCAUGGAAAACACAAAUGGAAGCAAUUCUCAUUGGAUAUGAUCUCCAGAAAUUCAUUGAUGGCUCUUAUCCUCCCCUUCCUCCCACCAUCAACACUAAUGAUACAGUUGCAUCCAAUCUUGCAUACCAAACUUGGUUACGUUAAGAUAAGCUAUUGUUAGGUACUCUCGUAGGCACCCUUUCACCCUCCCUUGUCCCUCUUAUCACUCGAUCCCAAUCCUCUCUUGAAUCCUGGCAAACUCUAGCUAAUACAUAUGCUCGCUCAUCCCACGGCCACAUCAAGCAACUCAGAGACAAACUGAAACACAUCACCAAAGACACUCAGUCCAUCACAGAAAUAUACAAUCCAUCAAAAUCCAAGCUGAUGAAUUUGCUGCACUUGGGAAGCCACUUGAUCAUGAAGAUUUGGUAGAAAAAAUGCUGGAUGGCCUUGAUGAAACCUAUCAGUCCAUUAUUGAUGCUGUCAAUGGUCGAAACUCCACCAUCUCAUUCGAUGAACUUCAUGAAAAACUCUUAAACAAGGAACUGUCUUUACGUAAUCAGUCAAGCUCAUCGUUCCUACCGGCAUCCGCUCAUGCUACCGCUGUUCGUUCCACUCCGUGGUAUGGAAACAAACGACCUCCCUGGUCUAUUCACAAUAAGUCUUCUAACCUACCUACACCAACGCCUGCCCAGUCUCAAGGCUCGCCAAACUCUCGAACCAACCGUGCUGCUCGUCCAUUCCUUGAUCGAUGCCAGUGGUGCAGCACUUAAGGCCAUGUUGUCUUCCGCUGCCCCCUAUUUCGCCAACAAUUCCCUCAUGCGCAACUACCCUCUCGUCACAAUACUGCAUCCUCCCCUGUCGCAUCUCCUCCUUGGCAGGCACAAGCUUAUGUAGCAACUCAUCCCACAUCAGAUACUCCCAACACACCUUGGCUCCUUGACAGUGGGGCUACUCAUCAUGUCACCACUGACCUCCGCAACCUCUCCCUCCAUAGUCCUUAUCAUGGAACGGAUGAAAUCAUGAUUGGAGAUGGCUCUGGUCUUCCCAUAUCCUAUACGGGUUUCAUUUCUUUCAAUACUCCUUUCUUCUCCUUUACUCUUUCUAAUGUCCUCCGUGUUCCAACCAUGAAACGCAACUUAAUUUCUAUUUCUCAAUUCUGCAAAUCUAACAACACUUCCAUUGAAUUCUUACCCUCUUCCUUUUAUGUGAAGAAUCUCCGCACGGGGCACUCCUUUUGGAAAGUCAGACCAAGAAUGGGGUCUAUGAAUGGCCGACCUCUCAUUCGAAGUCACCGUUGCUUGCCUUUUCUAGUGUCAAGGCUCCUUUGCCUACUUGGUAUCAUCGGCUCGGGCAUCCCUCUAUGUCCACAUUCAAGUAUAUUUUAUCAACGUCUACUUUGGAUGCCUCCUCUCCACCUGAUCUCCAUUUUAAUUGUAAUUUCUGUCAGUGCAAUAAGAGUCAUAAAUUACCACUCUCUUCCUCUUCUCUCUCUACUUCCUCCCCUCUAGAGGUUGUCUUCACUGACGUCUGGACAUCAGCCAUUAUUUCUGUCAAUAACUGUAAAUAUUACAUUAUCUUUGUUGAUCAUUUCACCAAAUAUAUUUGGUUAUAUCCCCUCAAACGUAAAUCUAACACAUGUGAUGUCUUCAUCAAAUUUAAGGCUCUUGUUGAAAAAUUCUUAACUCGCCUAAUCAUCACCUUUUACUCCGAUAAUGGGGGGGAUAUCAAGCUCUUUCUUCCUUUUUAACCAUUAAUGAGGUCUCUCAUCUUACAACUCCGCCUCACACACCUGAACACAAUGGGUAUUCCAAACGCUGUCAUCGUCACAUUGUCGAAACUGGUCUCUCUCUGCUCUCUCAUGCUUCCAUGCCUAUUUUAUAUUGGCCCUUUGCCUUCUCCACCGCCGUCUAUCUCAUCAACUGCCUUCCUACACUUACUUUACAACACGUCUCCCUAUUUUUUAAACUCUUUGGUACUCCUCCGAACUACAAUAAACUUCGCAGCUUUGGAUGCCUUUGCUAUCAUUGGUUUCGCCCGUAUACAUCCCAUAAACUUGCGCCAUCACGUUCUGUACCGUGUGUCUUUGUUGGGUACUCUCCCACUCAAAGUGCCUACUUUGCCUUGACACAUCCACCCAUCGUUUCUAUACUACUCGUCAUGUGCGUUUUGUCGAAACCAUUUUUCCAUUUGCAUCAUCUUAUACUUCCAUAUCUCGUGGCUCUUCGUCAGCCAUAUCCGAGUAGUGCUCUAUCACGCUACCCGUUGGCUCUUUUGGUCCCUCCUCCUUCUCAUCUCCUUCCACGACCCCCCACCAACCUUCAGGACCGAAUCUUCAGCCUCACACUUCUGCCAUCCCGCUGUCCACCCCGACAUUUGCCCCUUUUUCAACUAAGCACCGCCCCUCCUACACUACCCAUGUCCUCUUCGGCAGCUCCCCAACCGAACUUUCCCCGUGUCAUCAUUACUCGUUCCAAACAUAACAUUCGUAAACCAAUUCAAAAACUUAAUCUCUCGGUUGAGCUCCAACCCACCACUAUCACCCAGGCUUUGAAGGACCCCAAGUGACGACAGGCUAUGUCUGAAAAGUUUGAUGCUCUCCUUCGGAAUGGAACCUGGCAACUCGUCCCUUCCCAUCCUGAUUAUAAUGUGGUUGGUUGCAAAUGGGUCUUUCACACUAAAAAUAAGCCUGAUGGUUCGGUGGACAGGCACAAGGCUCGAUUGGUCGCCAAAGGUUUUCACCAACGUCCGGGUGUUGACUACUCCGAAACCUUCAGUCCUAUCAUUAACCCAACAACUGUUCGUCUAGUCCUUAGUCUUGUAGUAAGUCGAGAUUGGUUACUCAAACAACUUGAUGUUAACAAUGCCUUCAUUCAAGGCAGUCUCACUGAGGACGUGUUCAUGUCCCAACCUCCAGGCUUCAUUGAUCGUGAUCAACCUCAUUACGUUUGCAAGCUACGCAAGGCCAUUUAUGGUCUCAAACAGGCACCCCGUGCCUGGUAUCAUGAGCUGUGCACCUUUCUUCUGUCCUCUGGCUUUAUUAACUCUGCAGUCGACCCCUCAUUGUUCAUCUUCUCCAGUCACGGUGCUGUCCUCUAUCUCUUGAUUUAUGUUGACGACAUCAUUAUCACCGGCGACAACUCUCAGGCUGUGCAAACCUUCAUUCAGCAACUGUCUCACCGUUUCUCCCUCAAGGACCUUGGUCCCUUGUCAUACUUCCUUAGGGUUGAAGUUCUCUCUCACUCAGGUGGUCUCUUCCUCAGCCAACGCAAAUACAUUGUUGAUCUCCUUUAUCGCACCAAGAUGACUGAAGCAAAGCCUGCCUCUACCUCUUUGGCAACGCAUCCGCUUCUCACUCUACACUCUAGAACCACUCUAUCUGAUCCCACUGAGUAUCGCAAGGUCGUUGGUAGUCUUCAGUAUCUCUCCCUCACUCGUCCUAACAUUGCUUAUACUGUGAACAAGCUCUCUCAAUUUUUGCACCGCCCGACAACUGCUCAUUGGACUGCUCUCAAACGUCUUCUUCGGUAUUUAUGUGGCACCUUGGACCAUGGCAUCACCCUUUGUCGCGCCUCCCCUCUAGCAUUACAUGGCUUCUCUGAUGCUGACUGGACGGGUAACAAAGAUGACUUCACCUCUACCAGUGCCUACAUCAUUUAUCUUGGUCAUAAUCCUAUCUCUUGGAGUUCCAAGAGACAACGAACUAUGGCUCGGUCCUCCACUGAGGCGAAAUACAGGUCAGUAGCCUCCACUACUGCCGAACUUUGUUGGAUUUGCUCUCUUCUCAGCUAGUUCGGUGUCACUCUUCCGCAUAACCAAUCAUCUAUUGUGAUAAUAUUGGUGCCACAACUCUAUGCUCCAAUCCGAUUUUUCACUCGCGCAUGAAACAUGUGGCCAUUGAUUAUCAUUUCAUUCGAGACCAAGUUCAAAAUCAAAAUGGUCUGCUAUGUGUGUCCCACGUCUCUGCCUCUGAUCAACUCACUGAUGUUCUCACCAAACCUCUUGCUCGCUCUCUCUUUGAUUCCAUGAAGCUCAAGAUAGGACUUACUUCACCGCCGUCCAUCUUGCGGGGGCAUGAUAAGAAUUCUCACCCAACUGGUACUAGAUAGACGGUAGAACUCUAGUUGCUAAUUACAUAUAGGAUUCUGUCUGAUGUAGGUCCCUAUUUCUAGUGUAACUCUCCCGUUUCUGUGCUGCUAUACAUGUAUAUAUUGGGUUACAAUGAAUGUGACAGACACUGAAAGAUUGCUCUAGUAAACACCUCUCUGUUUUAACUUCUUCAGGUGCAACUAGUGGAAGAUAUAGAUAAAAAUGGGAUAAGAAGAAAAUAAGAAGAUUCAAUAUUUUUGUUCAACUUAAACAUUUGAGAUCAUAAGAAUGAAAGUAAGAACAAAUGGUACAAAAUAUCAUCAAACUAUUAUGCCAGACUGCUUUUGGUCACUCAACUUUUUUUGGCAGCUAACUAUGUCAUUUGCCUUUGUAAAACGUAGCAUUUUGGUCAUUCUUUUAAAUUUAGACAUUAAUGGCUCACAGAAACUGAUACACAUCAGUUGCAUGAGUGUUAUUGAAGGGUAGAGAGGUCUAGAAAUUCUUUGAGGGACAAUUUGAAACUUUGGUAGAGACUUUGUGUUUUUUAAGAUUUUUCUUGAUCCCCAGAGAGAAAGCUAUGCCUCAAGAAGGAAGAUAAUGAAGACAAUUUGUGCAAUUACGUGACCUUCCAGCAGUCUUAACACUUAAAUCUAACAGAAUGACUAGAUAAUUACACUUUAAAGAGUUGAGUGACAUUUUCGAUUAGAAAAUAUUGGGGAUAAUAUAGGAGAAAAUGGCUAAAAGUUACAAAGCAAAUGAUAAAAAAAAAUACAAAUCGUGACUCAAGAUCACUUUCCUUUUAGUUUUAUUUGUCUAGAAUUUUGUGUACAAAAACUUUGGACAAAUAUCCUUUGGGAUAAUUUGAAGGGUAUUUGUCUUAAUUCUUGCACAAAAUUAGACAAAUCUACUUGAAUUAUGAUGUGUUUUUGCAGAGAAUUCUAGUAGUAAAAAAUGAUCCUCUGCAGCAAAUCAUUUCUACUAGACCUUUAUAGAGUUGAAAUUGAAAAUGAUCAAGAGUUGCAAUCUUUCACCAUUGAUUUGUGUAUUUGUGUUGGUCAAAAGAUUUCUCAACAUCAAUGUAAGUGGUCAGAUAGUUUUUCAAUAUUUAAACACCAUUUAGAUGGUAAUUAACUGUCAAAAAUAUGAAAAGAUGCCAAGUAGAUUUGAAUAACUUCUGAGCAUUGUAGGAACUAGACAGUGAUGGGUCUUAUGUCGGAUCCUAAGACAGACCCCCCGUCUUGCAACCAAUCAAAUUUUGAAAAUAUUCAACAAUCCCCUGCCAUUUUCAACAUUUAGAAAAUAGACUUCCAAAAGUCACAGCAUAAUCUGACAAUCAUACGCAUAAAUAAUGGUGUUUUUCAAUUGAACCACUAUCUUAGUGAAGAUUCUUUAAAAUUAAUCAAUACAAAAUGGUAGACCAACUUAAACUACUUAUACAUUAGACUAGUCUAAUAAAUACAUCAUACAUAGAUCAGUACACAACUAUAUGUUCUCUGAUGAUUUAUUUUACGGGUUUGUAUCACUAUUCUUUCAUGAAUAUUUCAAAGUAAAGUUCUUAACUUUGUUGUUUGCCAAACUUACAUUCGUAUAGGCGACAUCUUAGUACCCCCACCAUUAAUGGUACUUUCAAAAUUCGUUAAGAGUCAAUAACUCAAUUUAACUAUAAUAAGGUGACAAUAAAACAUACUAUUUUACCUUGGGAUGAAAAACAAUAUAAUGCACCAACCAUUAGAAUCAUAUACUUUCACUUAUUGAAUUCAAGACUAGAUGCUAUAUCUAGUGUUGAAUUGAGGUUCCACUAUUAAUGGUCAUUAAGGUUGGAUUUUAAACUCAUCCCUCUUGAUGUUUUUAACACUAAGUUUUUUAAUAAUCCUUUCGUUAAAGGAUCACUCAAGUUUUUAUUAGACCUCACAAGAUCAAUUGAUUUGAUUCCAUUUGAAAUCAAAUCUUUCACAUAACUAUGUCUCCAACCAAUAUAUUUUGAUUUGCCAUUAUACACUUGACUAUAUGUCUUAACAAGUAUAGCUACACUAUCGCAAUGUAUUGAGAUAGGCGACAAUGAUCUUGGCCACAAUUGUAUACCAUAAAGUAAAUUUCAUAGCCAUUCAACUUUUUUACAAACUGAAGCAAAUACUACUAACUCAGUUAUCAUUGUUGAAUCAAUGAUACAUGUUUGUUUCUUAAAAUCCCAAGAAACCGCACCACCACCUAACAUAAAGAUCCAAUCACUCGUUGACAAGUGAUCAUCUUUAUUAGUGAUCCAACUAGCAUCUAACAAACCUUUUAAAAUUGAAGGAUAACCGGUAUAACAUAUACCAUAGUCUUUAAUGGCUUUCAAGUACUUCAAAAUUCUGAUUACACUUGUCAAUGUAACCUACUAGAAUUGCUUGUAUAUCUAUUCAAUAUACCAACAACAUACACAAUAUCCAAUCUAGUACAUGUCAUUGCAAACAUUAAGUAUCCUAUAAAUUUGGCAUAUUCUAAUUGAGAAAUUGAAUUUCUUUCAUUUUUUUUACAUAACUUAUUUUGAGAUCCAAUGAUGUUAAAACUGGCACACAAUCACUUUGAUUAUUGGCUUCUCUUGCUACCUUGGAACAUGCUAAAUUGUCUCUCUUCAAUCACAUGCACUUUUGUAGUAGAGUUUUUAUACUCUUCAAGGAUUUGAUUAUCCUUCUUUUUUUACAUGCGAAUUUCCUCUUUUAGAUGAAGGGAUUUAGCAAGAGUCUCAAGAAAAGAUUUCCUCAUUCUUUUAUUUGAGAUCUCUCUUAAAAUCUUUUCAAGAAGAUAGUAAUUUAUCUAUAAUGGAACACUCAAUAAUGGCUUCAUCUAUGUAUAAGUUGUGUUCAUUAUAAUGGUUAAGAAACCUUUCAAGUUUAGCAAAUUGUUCCAUAACAUGUUUAUGAUCUACCAUUUUGUAAUUAUUAAAAGAUGAAACAAUGAACUUCUUACUUGUUGCCUCCUCACACAUGUUUUUUGCCUCUAAUUGGUCCCAAAAUUCCUUUGCAAUUGCAAUGGUGUGGUAGACAUCAAAUAGUUUGUCACUCUUGGCAUUGAGAAUAUGUCCAUGACAAAUCUCAUCAUCAUUCUCUCAUUUUUGACGCUUUCAAAUGUCAUCAAGAGUCUCUUCAUUAGGAUUGAUAAUGAGUGGCUUUGGAGUGGUUAACAUAGAGACCACUUGCAGGGAUAUGAGAAGGAAAUGAACUCAUUUUUACCACCUUAUAAAGUUUCCUCCAUCAAAUCGAUCAAAUUUCACAAUGUUGGUUGCUAAUUCCUUCAAUGAAGUUGCCAUUGUUACGUAGGAAGAAUAAAGGCUAAAGAUUGUUGGGGAUAAUAUAGGAGAAAACGAUUAAAAGUUACAAAACAAAUGAUACAAAAAAACUUCAAAUCAUGACUCAAUAUCACUUUCCUUUAGUCUUUAUUUCUCUAGAAUUUUGUGUGCAAAAACUUUGGGUAAAUAUCCUUUAGAAUAAUUUGAAGGGUGUUUGUUUUAACUUUUGCACAAAAUUAGACAAACCUAUUUGAACUAUGAUGUGUUUUUGCAGAGAAUUCUAAUAGUAGGAAAAUAAUCUUCUACAACAAAUCAUCCCUACUAGACUUUUAUAGAGUUGAGAUUGAAAAUUAUCAAGAGUUGCAACCUUUUACCACUGAUUUGUAUAUUUGUGUUGGUCAAAAGGUUUCUCAACAUCAAUACAAGUGUUCAGACAGUUUUUGGAUGUUUAAACACUAUUUAGAUCAUAAUUAAUUAUCAAAAACAUGAAAAGGUGCCAAGUAGAUUUGAAUAACUUUUCAGUAUUGCAAAAACCAGACAAUGAUGGAUCUUAUGUCGGAUCCUAAGAUGGGCCCCGUCUUGCAACUGGUCAAAUUUUGAAAAUAUUCAUUAGGAAAAAAGUAUACAUUUUAAAGAGUUGAGUGAUAUUUUCAGCUAGAAAAAAGUAUAGUAACAAAAGCAAUUCAGUUAAUAAUUUGAUCACAUUUUGCACUACUUGCUCUAAAAGUAAUAUCAUGCAAUUUUGGAUGAGGACUAGAAGAUUAUUGAUCACAAGUAUGCUACAAAUACAGAUACAAUUGCUAAGGACACACCAUUAAGCAGGUCGUAAACAAAAUAAUAUAUAAACAAUUUUCUGUUGUGUUGAUUCAAUGCAUAAAAAGGGCAUAAGGACAAAAUUAUAUAAACUUCCCCUCUUUCGCUUUCACGUAAUCAAAUAAUGAAUAUAUUAACUCAUUAAUGUAUAAGAAGAUUUGAAGAACAAAUUUCAAAAUCCAAAUUCUAAAAUCUAAUAUAUAUAUAUAUAGUGAAUUCCCAUAUCUCCAAAGCAUAUAGAUUAGGUAAAUCCAUCCCAUUGUAGUACUUUCUUACCAUCAUAUUAUCCACGCCACAUGCACGCACUUCGCUCGAUAGUUUUUUCAGCAAAUUGCUUAGAUAAUUAUAAUUGGACACCAUCCCUCCAAUUGGGAUACAAAUGGUAUGUGCUGGGGAAUCUGCUUGUGAUCUAGUUACUCAUUGUUUCUUUUUGUUAUUAUAGAUUGCCAUUCCUUUGUUUAUUCUCUUAAAACAUUUUUUUUAACUUGCCUACAUGCACGCACUCGCUCGAUAAUUUUUUUCAGAAAAUUGCUUAGAUAAUUAUAAUUGGACACCAUUCCUCCAAUUGGGAUCCAAGUGGUAUGCGCUGGGGAAUCUGCUUUUGAUCUAGUUACUCAUUGUUUUUUUUUUGUUCUUAUAGAUUGCCAUUCCUUUGUUUAUUCUCUUAAAACAUUUUUUUUAACUUGCGUGCUUUUUGAAUGGCCUUGACCUCUGUAUCUGCCCGCCUUUUCUUGUAUAGACUUCGUUUGAUAUCUGGCUACUAUUUACUAGAGAAGAAUAUCUCAGAAUCCAUUUUGUGUUAUUUCACGAUUGAGCAUGGCCUUAUACGUAGUACAUAGUGUCAUGUCCAGCUAGACAUAAUCCUUCAGCAAACAAUUGUAAUAACGAAUACGAACUCAAGUCACUGAGUCAAUAGACACAUGUCAUAACCCCUUUACCACCCCCCUCAAAAAAAAAAAAACAAAGGGUUUGGCAAGCUGCUAAAGAUUAAGGCUAGGAUAAACAUCAGAACCCAAAAAAAAAAAAAAAACAAGAAGAAGAAGAAAGGUCUUGGCAAGCUUUUAGAGACAAGGCUAGGAUGAGCAUGAGAUCAAACAAAUUGUCUUCACAUGUUACUUACCUUAAAUUAGGAUAGAAACGUAAAGGGUGUUAAUAGGGGCCAAUUUGAUUAAUUAGGCCCUUUGAUCAUAUGACCAAUGUCAAAUAGCAGUUGAGAUUCAUUGAAACAUUCAAAUGUGAUCUCUUUUCCUGUUGGCAUUUAAGUUCAUAGUCAAGAAUCAUUUACGUUUUCUUUUUUAACCCCCAAAAAAUAUGAUUAAUUUAGUGUGGUGAUAUUGAUGGACCUAUUUUUUUUCUAAUCUUUUGUAGCUAUGAAUAAGUGCAAGUUUGAUUUUCUAAUUUCUUCAUAAGUUAGUCAUGGAAAUUACACCAAAGCUUCAUUCAGUAAAAACAGAUCCAAAAGUUUUAGAAAUACUAGAACAACUAGUUUUGUACCUUUUCUUGCAUUUUUGUUUACUUCUAUUUCCAGCAUUUCUUUUGCGAUUUUUGUUAUUUUUCAACUCUAAAUGUUAUACUCAUUAAUCACAAUGAAAUAAUGAGUAAAGUAGAAUUUCUCAAAUAAAACUUUGUUUAGAGAAGCCAUGUCUACAUAAGUUUUGAAACAAUAAAUUAUCUAUUGGUUCAAGAGCAGGUGACUAAACUUUUCCAAAAUCCUAUCUAGCUAAUUAUACUAUUUUUUAUGUCAAUUGACUUAUUUAACUCCUAAAGAGAUUAAUUAGGCCACCCCGUCUUGUUUAGUUACAAUAGAGUAAAUUCAUGGUAUGUAAGUCGCAUAUUAAAUUUGUCAAGGCAUUUUUGUCACUUCAUAGACAAAAAAAUAGUAAAAUUUUAGUGAUUGUUGCAUGGAGUUUUGCUCCCAUGCCUUGUACCUAUGGUUCCCUUUAAUGUUGCUGUGAUUUAUCUAGUCGUGUGCCCAUCCUUGUUCUUUUACUUCUUUUGCCUAUCGUUUGAUAUAAUAUUAUCUUCUUUUCACUACGUGAUUUUCUAUGCUAACAAGUGGUAUCAAAGUUUUAGGUUAAAGAGUUUGAUUCUAGGGUGUUUGUUGUGCCUAAAGGGUGUGCAAAUUUUGUGAUAGAAGGGCUCCUGCCAUAGAAAGAUAUACAAGUUGUGGUAGAGUACUAAUAUAUUGAAAAAUUGGAUCACGAGAAUUGGUCUUGGUGUACUCGUUUAUUGAUUGAUAAUUAAGGAAAAGGUAACCACAAGUGGAAAGAAGUCUUAAAAGAGGAGUCAGUUGAGAUUGUUGGUGUUGUGCAGUGAUCAAGGAAAAAAAUCAUGCUAAACUACCAUGGAGUUUGAUCAACCCUGAAGUUAAGGAGUCCAAGAAAUUCAAACAGGAAAGCAAAAUUGCUUAUCAAAGUACUUAAAUUACUUUCAAUUGCCAUGGAUAGGGAAUUUGUCAAUGGUGAAAAAGUUAAAAUUUUGCACACACUGAGUAUGUAUGAUAAUAGAUUAGAAUGGGAAGCAAUAAAAGAAAUAUCUCAAAAGAUGUAACUUGAAUGAAAUUAUCAAAAUAAAUUCUUUCUAUGGUUUGUCAAAACCAUAGUUAUUAAACCCAACCCGGGAAGGAACCUGGCGAAGGAGGUGGGUCAACGGGUUACUGGUUUAACCGGUGGGUGAGUGGUUGAACCGGUGGGUCACUACAUAUAUUUAAAUAUUAUAUUUCAUAAUUAUUUAUAUAAGAUAUAUGAUAUAAAUUGUAAUAAAUAAUGCCAUAACAAAAGCUCAUUUAAUUUAAUUUGUUAUAAAAUAAUUAAUUCAUAUAAGAAUCAAUCAAAUAUAAAGUUAUUUAUUAAUAUACCAAACUUCAAGUGUAAAAUUUUAUCUAUAUUUAGUGUAAUUAUCUAGCUUAUUUAUGAAUUUUAAGUGUAAAAAUUUAUUAAAAAUAAUAUUUGUCUUUAAAUGAAUUGUGUAAUAUGUUAUUUUUGGAAUCCAUUUUAUAACUUAUAGAGUUUGGAGGGUAAUAAAUUUUUAUUAAAAGAUUCCAAAUAAUUUGUUUUAGAGAAAAAAAGAUAGAAUUGAAAAAAUAUUUAUAUAUCAUAAUAAAGCUACUAUAUCAACAUAUAUGGAAGUAGUUUGGUGGUAAGCAGGCGGUUGUGUUAGGGCAGAGGUCCGAAGUUCGAGUUCCACCAAUAGCAAUAUAAUUUUUCCACAAAAUCCGAUUAGUGACAAAAUCGGCCAAAACCGGCCGGGUUUCCGGUUUAACCCGGUUCGACCGCCGGAUCGUUGACUAAGUCAACGGUCUCUUUGCACAAAUGAUCUGAUUCCAAACCCGGCCCCGGUCCAAUGACCGGUCCACCGGUUUGACCGGUUCGACCGCCGGGCCGGGCCGGGCCGGGUUUAAUAACUAUGGUCAAAACUUGAAUGAAAAUUAGCAAAAGAAGACUAAAUUACUUUUCAAGAUUAUGCAAAAAUCCAUAGUCGAGGAAAAUUAUGUGAGAGCCUUUUAUUGAUUCUCAAUCACUUGAGUGAUAUGGUCAAAUCUUUGCUAUAGUUUGAUGGAGCUUGAUUGUAAAUCUGAUCGUAAGUCAAAGUUUGGUUUGACAUAGGAACUUAAUUUAGAAGACAAUAUGUUUAUUGAUGUGGGAGAGAUUUUGAAAUUUUGAUAUGGUUGAAAAUUAUGAUUUGCACACAUUAUUUGGGAUGAUUGAUGAAGAAGAAUUUGUCAGUGAAUGCAUUAAUUUGGUUGUGGAUGAAUCUAUUGACAAGUAUGAAAUUAGAAAUUUUUAGUGUGAAAUUUAUUUACAAAAGGAAAGGCAUGAAUUAUUAUUUGAAAACUAUGUGGAUAAUUAUCAUGGAUAUGGAGGCUCUAACGGUAAAUGGGUCAACAUGGACGAAUUUUUUGAUCAAGCAAGAUUAGGUGUUGAAUUAUGUGCAAAGUACAAGCAUGUUCUACUCCCACUGGUGAAGGAGAUGAUAUUUAAAUUGGAGUUACAUGUAAGUUAUACUAUUACAAAGACUACAAAGACAAUUUAAACUCGUGAUGGCAAUGAAGAAAACAACAUGAAGAGUUUGGUUUAAAUAAGGUAAUGUUGAAAUAAUUUAAACCAAGCUAAUUAAAAUUCUAUAUUAUUUAGUAUUUUAGUUAUAUUAUAUAUUGAUGUCAAAUUUGUGUCAAGUUUAAUUAUUAAAGUUGCAUAAGAAUUAGUUUUCUAAUUGUUUGGGAAGUUGUCCACGUGGUACAUGGAAGUCAUAGCAGCAGAGCACAUUUGGGAAUUAGUUAGUUUAAUAUUCUAUAUAAAUGCCUAGUGGCCGGUUUGUAUCAAUUGAGCAAUUUAUUCAAUUACCUUGAGUUGAGCAAUUUAUUCAAUUACCUACAGUUCCUUUGAUAUUUUUGUGAUUUAUCCAGCCAUGUGCUCAUCCUUACUCUUUUGCUUCUUUUGUCUGUCAUUUGAUAUAACAAUAUCUUCUUUUCGAUUGCAUGAUUUUUUGUGCUAACAUAAUCUAAACAGUACAAAUGAUUAAAAAUGGAUCACAGGUAUGAAUUUUGAUCCUCAUAUAUAUUAGCUUUUUUCUCAUAUAUAAAACAUUAUACUACGCUUUUUUCUGGAAACUUGACUCUGUCACUAGACUAUGUUUUUUAAGUAGUACCAGUAAUUCAUCUUUUCAUAUUGUUACUUGAAAAGUCCAAAUAUAUUCUAUGGCAUCAUCACUUGUGUGUAGUUAUUUAUGUAAUAGGUAAGUAUUUCAAGUAUUGGAUUUAUCAUCUUUUCGCCAAUGCAGUUAAUGCACAAAAGUAUCAUAAAUAAAGGGAUUUUAUUUUCUCUGCAAAAUCUAAGUCGGAAUGGUCUAUUUUAGUGUGUCAUUUUGGCUUGCUGCCUAUGGUAGUUAAUUUUAUUUCCUGAGCAUAUAGCAGUUUGGAUAGGGAGAGCUUUUUAAAGUUCUCCUUGGAUGCAUUCUUAUCGAAGAUUUUUUGAAAAUUUCACCAACGAGUGCAAAAACACUCAUCUGAUUCGGUGACGGUUCAAUUUCCUUCGAGUUUUUCAUUGAUCAAUAAAAUUUAUCGUGUCUGAAUAAGAAAAAAUAUAACAGUUUGGAUGCUCGACACUCUUGCUCAACACCAACCAAUGGAACCAUUUAUUUCUGUUCUCCAAGAAUUGCCGGUGUUUAAUGAGUAAACUUCAACCAAAGUGGUACCAAGCCCAACCUAAUUGCCAGGUUCUAACGGACACAAUUAUGCUUACAUAAAAAAUGUGCCCUUGUAAUUAGAGGUGGGUAGCAAAUCACCUCCUGUAUUUGUGAAAUCCACAUAUUACCACCUGAAGUUGGCUAAUAGUCAAACAUUGACUUUAAAUUCCAUCCAUGCAACCAACAAAAAGACCAUCAUGCCAUUAGAUAAUUUUUGUGUUAACAAUUGAAUUCUUUCACUAACAAAGGAUAAAAAUUUUAUUCUAUAUUUUACCAUUCCAUCAGAGAAAUCCCAUCAUGUGAGAAUCAUAUGAUGGAAAAAAAUGUGAUUUUGCACAAUUUGUCUGAUAUGUAUGAUAAAAAUGUCAAUUCACAAUUUUCUGGUAGUUCGAGCAUAUUUUAGUUAAGCCCACAAGGGGUUUUCUUGAUAUUUUUGAACGAUAAGGGGGGUUUAAUAACUUUCAGUCAAACCACAACUAUCACUCAAACAGUAAAUACAAAUUUGAAGAAAUUUUUUCUAUAUGUAUUAUUUUAAAUCAAAGACCAACAUAAAUUGGAAGAACUUGCAACAACUUCUCAAGAUAAUACUCAUGCACGCAAUUUGCACGAUCUUGAUGAAACUGGAACUAUUCUGAUUGCCACUACUUCUCAAACACAAAAUGUCACAGCUUGGGGGAAGAGAGAUAUUUUCCAUGUUCUAAUCUAAUCAAAAGAUUAAAUUAAAUAAACUGUAUUUUUUGCAAACGAAAAUUGAGUAUUAAAUUCGAAGUAAAAUCUUGUUUUCAUGCAUAGUCCAAUGACAUUCAUAAUUAUAGGAAGCUGGGCUAAUUAUGUUGGAAAAGGGAUGCGGCACUACAACGAUCAAAGGGGCAAUUUUGGUUGUUGGCUAUAUUUUUAGCGAGCUGGAUAUUCUAAGCAGUAUCAUGACAAAUGCACUCACUUUAACCUAUAAUUCUACUCAAGAAAAUGGUAAAAAGUUAUGUUUGAUGAAGAACAAGAACCAUUGAUUGAGUUUUGGUUAACUUAGUUGAAACACUCUGCCUUGGUUUGCCAACGUCUUAUGCAUUGCAACAAAUUUUGUCAAGCAAGUUAUCUACUAUUGAGAGAGCUCAUCAAUCUCAAACUCUUAACGAAGCUGAAGCUUCAUCUUCAAGUGAAUUUUUAGGUUGUGGUAAAUUUGAUUUUUAUGUACUAUUGAAUGAAAUUGUUGUUUAAUUGGAGAGAUUGAUCAGUGUUACUAAGACCCAUGGUUGGCAAGUCAAUCAGAAACAAAUGCUACUUCGUCUGUCAACUCACAAGAACAUGAUCAAAGAUCUUUGGAAGCUUUGAGUUUGAUCAGAGUUUUAAUCCUGUGGAAGGUUUUGAUGGCUUCUAUGAUAAAACAAGCCUUAAUGAGUUUCUGAGAAACAGUUUCGGGGACUUAAAAGAUUAAAUGAUUUUGAACUUGGUGAAACGGAUAGGAAGUCUGGAGUAACUAGUGGAAGAUAGCAAAGAAUGGGCUAUGAAGAAAACAAGGGAAGCAAGUUCAAUGUUAGAGGCGGUUACUAUUUCUAAUAUGUGCCGAGAGAAAAGUCCUAUUGCUAACGUGCAAUUCCUCCAUUUUCAUCGUUCUUGGAACUUUUCUAGCUUUAGCGGGGUAGAUUGCAUUCAAUUUUGCUUCUCUAUCUUGUCUGCAGUCUUCUUCUUGGUUCCUUUUUGUUUUCUCAAUAUGUUUCUAAUAAUUUUUAAUCUAUCAAAAACUACCCUUGUUGCUCAAAUGCUGCUUGUUUAGCAUCUGUCUCCUCCAUGUAAUAUGGAUUUAUGGCAGAAGGGUCGUCUAGUGCUAGAUCUUGGAGGAGGGAAAAAAAUUUUGGAGAAUUUUUCCGCUCGGUCUACUACAAAAUAAUGUCCAGAGGAGGAGCAGAGUUCCCAAACUGUUCCUUUUGUUGGGGUAAAGAGGUGAAAACCUCUAAACCGGAUGUUGGUAGUCUAUCAUUGAAACUUGUUGCUCUUGUGACUAUCCAAGAACAAAUGUUUGUUGAUGCCAAACCAUUUAGCAGGAAUUAGAGUUCUAGGUUCAAUUUCUCCAUUUUUCCUUUUACUCCUUAAAUCCUACCCCUUUUCUACUAAUUUUAUUUUUGUUCUUCUUUAGAAAAAGGUGAAACAUAAUCAACUUCCAGUUAUAAUGAUCCAAUGCAUUAAAGGGCUUCAGGCCAAGAUACUAUAAACUUCUCUUCCUACCCGUUAAGGUAAUUGAUGUGAAUAAACUAAUUAAUUCAUGUUAUAAAAAUGUCUGGAGAACAACUUCAAAAUUCAAACACUACAGUCUCAAAUAAUUCUUGCAUAUAUUCUACUGAACUCUCAUAAUUCCAUUGCAGAUUAACUAGGUAAAUCCAAUCCAUGCAGUAUUGAAGUGGAUUUUGUUAAUCAACAUGCACGCACGUCGCACGAUAAUCCUUAAACACAAUUAUAACUGGAACUAUUGUGACUGCUACAUACCAUUCCCUCAAUUGGAACUUGUUCAGUAUUGUGAGCAGAUGGAAUUUGAUUGGGGGUUCUGAUUUCUACCUAAUUGUUCUUUGUUGUUCUUCUCUUUCUCUUGCUUUUCUCUCUCUUAAUUUUGUUGCAAAUAUUUCUUUAUUUGUGUUGCAAGUAAUUUUUCUUUUUUAUUUAUAAAAAAAAAAGGAAUAAAGUUGAGCAACUAUGGGAUAUGUCUAGUAGUUGUCCAUAACCAAUUACACUUAGCCAACUAGAUGAUUAAAUCCAUUUGUUAAAGUUGAUGUAAACUCCUCCAGACUGCCACUAAUAUUAAUUACUACUAACAUUAGUUACUACUAAUUAAAACUUUUAUAAGUUUCUUUUGAUUUUCUCAAAAUUUCUUUAGUACUUUUUCAAUCUUUUACUCUUUCUAGUGCAUCUUUGCUAAAAACUCUACAAAAAAUACUCAUAAUUUGUACAUUUUGUGCAAACAUUCUUUUAUCAUUUUUAUUCAAUUCUUUUUUAGUUUUUUCUGUAGUUUUCCUUUUUUUGUAAUCUAUGACAAUAUAUGAAAGCUCAAAAUUAAUAGAUUUAACAAAAACUUCUAUCAUAUUCUUUCACACGUCAUAAUUUUUACCAUUAAAUAUUGAUAGCUUAUUUAAGGAUCUUCCUAACAUGAUACACAUUAAGUUCUUGUGAAGAGGAAAAUAUUGAAGAUUUAAUGGAUGAAAAGAUUGGUAGAAGUUUGUACAAAAUGUUAAAAAGAGCAAAUGGCUUAAAUAAGACUUUAAAAUCUAAUUUGAAUAAAUAUACAUUAGAAAAGAAAAUGAGAAGUUAAACCUUGCCAUUGAUAAGUUAAGAGACUCAUAAAAAAGUUGAAGAUUCAAACAAGGAAUUGAAGAAAAGAAAUAAAAAAAUUCAAGGAUUAAGUGAAGGUUUAUGAAUCUUUAAAAGUUGAACAUAAGUACUAAGAAGAGAGCGACUGAUUUGAAUUUGUGCUUAAAACAGAAGAGUAAACAAUGGUUGUAAAUCAAAGAAAGACUUCUUGCAAAAAGAAAAAUGAACUGAAAAUAUCUAAUAAUUAUAUGAAAAAUAUUGCUAAGACUAAACAUUGUGAUCUCCAAAAAUAUCUUGUAAUUAUUGUGGUAAAAUUGGACAUAUAUCCUUCUAAUGCGAUAGUAAGAAAAAUACUAUGAGUGAAAAGGAAAUGCAUAUAGAUUAAAAAGAAAAAUCUAUCGAAAAAUCUAUCAAUGAUAAGAAAGUGACUACAAGAGUUUAAUCCCUCUGCCCCUCCUCGUUUCUUAAAUCCCCCAUCUCCCCUAUUGGAAAAAAAAUUAAAACAAAAACCAUAAGAGUUUAAUUAUGUAAUAAUGUUAAAAAUAAGGCAUACUAUCUUUAAAUAAAUUUAGAGAAAAUAAAGUUUUUUUUUGUUAAUAGUUGAAUGUAUAAUGGUCAUAGAAAAGUUUUCAAUCUUUAUGAAGUCAUCAAGAAUUUAAAAUCUAAAGAUUAUCAAUAUCGUUUCUUUUUUUUUUUCUUAGUGUAAGUAGAAAGUUACAAAACCUAGAACUUCUUACUUACAUUGCUUCUUCCAUACUGUUUAACUUAUCUCUUCCCCUUAAUAUAGUUUCUAUUGAUAUACAUAAAUACAUUCACGUGUUAACCUUUUUAGGUCGUUGAUAAUAAGUGCAUAUUUUGUGUGUUUUUAGUGUAUUUUAUUAUUUAGUUUUGGAGUAUUUUAAUUAUUUUUAUAACUAAUUAACUAAGUUUCUAGCGAAAAUAUACAUUUUGUGGUUUAAGUGUUAAAAAUUGCAUUUCUAUAGAUUUUAAUGAUGAAAACUUCAUGUUUUUGUAGGUUUGAUGAUUCAAUCAUCAAAUAGAGUGGGUUGAAAAAAUAAUUGGAUGAUUUUUGAUGAUUUGAAGUGGUUUUAAAGAUAGUAUGAAGUGCAAGAGAGGAAAUGCAAUUAAGGGAGGUUUCUAGCUUUGAUACAUGUUGGUAUUUUGGCUAUAUCUUGAGUUACAAGUAUCAGAUUGAGGUGAUUCUUGUGCCAUUUUGAAGCUAACACAUAGCUCUAUAUUUCUUGUGAGACAUUGAAGUCUAGUUCAGUCAUUUUUAUUGUCAAAAUGUCCAAAUACAGAAGUGCAUUUUCAUUGUUAAAAACUGAAAUAGGGGAUUAACCAGUUGAGGGUAUUUUGAUAAUUUCUCAGUCUACAGAACUCCAAAUUUGAUUAUUAUUAGGCAUUGGAAAGCUAACUCAAAGCACUACAACUUUUAUGUUUUAUACAAGAGCUAGUUCAGCCCCCAUCAUCGAGAAAAUAUUAGUUGAAGCUGGUACAAAAACAGAGUAAGGAUGAAAACUGACAAAAAGUGAGCAAACCUGCAAUAAGGCAAAACGGGGGUACAAUAUGCAAGGUAGGUUGGGAUUUUGGGGCUGCGUAUUCUUGUUUUGUAGCUGCAACUUACUCUACAACUUGUUCUUUGUUCACACAAGUUUUUUGACCAAUUUUUUGUAAGAAAUCCGGCUGGAAAUGAGCAAGCAAGUGUGGAAUCUUAUAGAAACAACUUUUGGAAGUUUCAAGAGCCAACUUUGUCAACUAGAAACAACUCAUUUGUGGCUUGAAUCUCUUUAUAAAUAGAAGCCUUGGAGAACAUUUUAACAACUUUGGAAGGCUAGAAAAACUUCAUAAAAAUGUAUUGUUCACUACUUUUUCUUAGUUCAUUAGUAUAGUAUAGUUAGAGUAGUUUAUCCAUCUUGCACUUGUAGUUAGAUUUGGAUGAAAAUUUGAAGAGCAAAGAUGGAGAGUGGGACGUCAUGCAAUAAGGGUAAUUUCUCUCCUAACAUUUUCUCUUUUGUAUUUGAUUCAUGUUUAGUUAUAAUAUAAGUUUGGUAUUUAUCUUCAUGUUUUGCUAAAGUUUAUGCCCAGAGUUAUGGAUGAACUUUCUAUAUCUUGUUUGUGAUAUUUAUUUGGUUAUUUGAUGAUAUUAUUUUGAACAAGUUAUUUAUCACUUUUGCUUAUCUAAUCAUGAUUAACCGGCCAUUAAUUGUGAUAAUCUUAAGGUGUUAAGUUUGUAAUGAGAAUUGAGAUUUAACACUAGUUCAAGGAAAUGAUAAAUCUAAAAAAUUCACUCACGAGAGUAGAGGAGCACCUUUGUGACUUUGGUUUUCAUGUAAUUUCAUAGAAGAAACGAGCUUGUAGUUAAUUUCAUAAUCGUGAGAAUAGAAAAAAUGAAACUUCUCUCCUAGCACUUUCUCUUUAUAUUUGAUUUCAUACUUAGCUAUCAUACAAGUUUGGAUUUUUUUAUCAUAUUUAGCUAAAGUUUAUGCCUAGAGUUAUGGAUGAACUUUCUAUAUUUUGUUAGUAUUGUUUACUUGGUUAUUUGAUGAUAUUAUUUUGAACAAGUUAUUUAUCACUUUUGCUUAUCUAAUCAUGAUUAACUGGCUAUUAAUUGUGAUAAUCUUAAGGUAUUAAAUUUGCAAUGAGAAUUGGAAUUUAACACUAGUUCAAGGAAGUGAUAAAUCUAGAGAGUACAUUUACGAGAGUAGGGGUGCACCUAUAUGACUUUAGUGACUUAUUUCAUGUAAUUUCAUAGAAAAAAUGAACUUGUAGUUGAUUUCAUAACCACGAAAGUAGGCAUGAUUUAGUUACAAGUAUAGUUGAUUCACUAUGAGAGUAAGUUUAACAUACAUUAGGAAAUUACACCAUAACUAGCCAAGAUAAUAGCAUUUAGUUAACCGGUAACUUCAUUUGCAAGAGUAGUAAGGAAUUCCAAAUCUCUAGGAACUUAUUAUUUUUUUUUUAUUACUUUUUUCUCAUAUUUGUAGUGUAGAUUUAAUUUCUUGCACUUAUGAUAGUCUAAAUAAUAAAGAAAUUCGAAAAUCAUCAGUAAUUGACAUUCUUUCCUGUGGGUUCGACCCUUAAUACCCUAUACUCAAUUACGACUCGUAUACUUGCGAAAAAUCAUGUGUGAGAUAUUUAGGAAUUCAUAAAUAUAAAACUUGACUGUGGAUGAGCUAAUUGUUAUAUGUAUACCCCACGCUUAUCAGUUGAAAAUGCUUAUAUUUCUUGAAAAUAUAUAUGGUUGCAGUAUGAUCUUAUAUGAUUAAUUUGAAGAUGAUAAGUUGAAUGAAGAAAUGAAUACAAAAAUAAAUAUUGGAUGAAUUGGUACAUUGACUUGGAAUUGAUUAAAUGUUUAUUAGUUCAAUUAUCUUCUGAGUUGAAAAUUUGAAUGCAUUGCCAAAUGAAUAUGGAUAAUAUUUGAGAGUGAAAAUAUUUUUAGAAGAUUUAAAUGGGUUUGUUUAAUUAAUCUUUGAUAGUCUAAAUAUUCUUAUAUCAUUCACUUGAUAUUGAUGAAGAAAGAAAAACAACAAAAAGUAUGAAAAACCAUACUUUCAAAGUUGCAAAGAAAUAAAGAAAGAGAAGAAUGGUCAAAAGUACAUAUGAUAAGCAAAUAGAAACAAAUAACAAGCACUUCGUGGCACCAAAUGAUGAGGGAAUUCUAUCUCUCAAUUAUAGAAAUUUUGUUUAUAAAUUAAAUGAUGAUGAAUUUGGAGCUUUCAUUUGUCACUUACAAGAUAAAUUACUAAAAUCUUAAGGUCAAAGAGUAGAUGGUUAGAAAUCAAAACAGAAAAGCUCAUAUGACGUAAAAACAAAUGCAUGAAUUUGUGAUCUAUCUUGUUUAAUUCUUUAUAGCAUGUUGAAUCUGAGACGAAGUUGAUUUCACAAAUAUAAAUUUGGAUUUUAUAAAAAGGAAAAGAAUAAUAAGUUGUGUUGGAAAAAACUUAUAUGAUUCACUAAUUCUUACUCUAUUUUACAAGAUAUUAAAAAAAUUGUGGUUCAUUGCCUAUUAGUAUUAUUUUGAAAAGAAUGCAACAGAUAUGAUAUUUUGAACAUUUAAUGAUUUUUCACAAUUAAAAAGGCAAUACAAUUUUUUUUGAAUUUGCUUGCUAUGAAAUUUAAGUUGCACGUCAUUGUUGUGAUUUGUGCAUGCUUAUAUAAUACAUGUAUUUUUAGGCUAUAUUUGGAUUGAGAGAUUUGACGAAGAAUUUGAAAUCCUCUCAAAUUCCUCUUGUUGCUUUGAUUAUUUAGAAAACAUCUAGAUUAUAAAUUACUAAUUAUUCUAGUGUUUAAAAUGUAUUUAAAUAAUUAGUGAAUUACAAUUUCAAAUGCAUUUUAAACAAUCCAAACAACUAAACCGAUUUAAGUGGAUUUCAAAUCCUUUGUCAAAUUCUUCGAUCCAUAUGAAUCCUUACACUACUAAUACCUACUUAUAUAAAGUACUUUUCUUAAAAAUUGUGUAGUUUGAGUUUAGAUUUUAAAAAUAUAUAAUUCCUCAACCCAAGAUAAUCAUGCUCGAGCCGCUCAUGAAAAGCGAGCAUUCAAAUGAUUUGAUGGUUUUGAAAGUUGAAAGGAAUGAUGUUCUUAUCUACUAAGUUUAAAUUCAUACCAGAGAGUAGAUGAAGAACUAAACAAGUGGUAAAUCUAACAUCUUCCUUAGACAAUAAAUAUUAUAACUCUUAAAAGCAGAUGAAAAGUUGCAUCUAUAAAUGAUAUUUGCUUUUAAAAUUUAACUACGCUACCUCAAAUUGUGUAUGAGGUAAAUAGGUCAGAUUUAAAUGCUUUUUUGAGAUGCACCCUAAUUUUCAGUAUUAUGAGAAUUAAAGAUGUGAUUUUGGAAUGUCUAACUCUUUUGAUUUUCUAUGCAAACUUGUCCUGUGUACAAAAUGUGAUUUGAAAUUUGAUUGGACAUAUGGAUGCCUAAUUGAAAAGAACCCCUUUGUUUUGAACUGGUUCGUAUGUUAUAAAAGAGAGGAGGAGCAUUUUUUAUCCCCAAUGUUUGGGGUGUGGACUAAUUUCAUUCCUAAAUUUUUAGUCAAAACACAUUUUGUCAUCAUAUUGUCAUAAUUUUGACUAAUUAAGGAUAAUUGAUGGAUUGCCUAUCAAUUUAGAUGGAAUUAGAGUUGCAAACGAGUCGAAUUAAGUUGAGUUUUGGCCUAAUCGAAUCUAAUCUCGACUUAAUUUUAUCAAACUCAAACUCGAGAAACUUUCAAUGUAAAAUUUGAGCUCGAGUUCGACUCAAAUUCAAGUCGAAUCAAGUUUGAGCUCAAACAUAAAAUAUAAAAAUAAUUAUUUUUAUUUUUUAAAAAUUGAAUAAAAUGAUAAUUUUUCUUAACAAAUAAUAAAAUAUUAUGGAAAUGUAUGUAAUUUCACUGUUAAAAUAAAAAAAAUAUAUAUAUAUAUAAAAUCGAAUUGACUCACGGGCUACUGAGAUGAAUAUAUUUGAACUCGAGUUUUGAGUUCGAGUUUGAAUUUGAUUUUGACUCGAGUUACUUGCGAGCGACUCAAGUUUUGACUCGAGUUGCUUGUAAGCGACUCGAUUCACGUACCGCUCUAGAUAGAAUGUCAUCACUUUUCUUUGGAUAAAUAAAAAUUUCAUUAACAAAUUGUUGAAAAUCGUCUAAUACAAUUUGAUCUACAUUAUUGCCCUAAUGGCAGGUUAAACAUACACUAAAAAUUAUAGAUCUGCAAUUUAACAAAUACAUAAAUUCGAAAAACUAUGAAAAGAUCUAAAAAAUACAUGAAAUUUUUAAAUUAUCUUCUAAUAGAUAGAUCACUGCAGCUCCCUUCUAUGCAUGUUGCAAUCGUUAGAUCUACUAACUAAUGGUUUAAAACUCCAAUAAUGAUAAUGAGAUCUAUCAAAAUAGAUUCAAGAUCUAAAAAAUUUUCAAAUCUAACAACCAAAUCCGAAAUAAAUUUAGAUCUAACAAUACAAAAGAAAAAAAAAAUCUCCAUAGGAAUUCUUAGGAGAAUAGAAAAUUCUCACUAGGAAUUCCUAGGAGAACCAGAAAUCUCUCACUAAGAAAAUCGAGAAAAGACUUUAUUAGAAAAACCAAAACAAAACGAAACAAGGUUCACGAGAUGGUCUCCCUCUUUAAGGGAAGGCCUCUCAAAAGAGGAAAAGAAAUAGAGAGAAAUUAUAGAAUGUCAUCACUUAACUAGCAUGUUCUGUUAGUAAAAAAUGUUCGAUUGACAAAAUCGCUUCUUAAUUCAAGUUCUCCUCGUCAGCUCUAAAAAGCGGUGGAAAAGAAAUGACUUUAUCACAACCAAUUGAAGAAAACUCUUACUGCGAGAAAAGAGUUCAACAAUAGGUCAACUCCAAGAUAUGGUUUUGUUUUCAUAACUUAAAUCAUGAAUUAAGCCCUAAUAAUGUAAUUACUAACGGGGCAUGCUGAUCAUUUGAUGAUACUCCAUCCAAAUUAGUUGAUAAUUCUUCAAUGUCCUCAAUUGAUCGAAAUUAUGAAACUAUGAAGAUGUAAUGUAGUUUGGCUAAUACUUUAGGAACGGAAUUGAUCCACAACCCAAAAAUGAGGGAUGAAAAGUGCAUAAUUUGUUGUGGCUGGAGAGCAAGAGUUCUUCGAUAAUCGUCUUAGAGGCGCCUCUAUAUGCAUAUAUUUACUAUUUGAAUAUACACUCACAUUCAUCGAUCCUGUCGAGAUUUUUUUGUUUUACUUGACCUCAUUUUUUGAGAAAAAGUCCUGGCUUUAAGCACUUAUUAGACAAACUCCAAAUCCAGAAGUUCUUCACCUAAACUGAAAAUCUGUUACUAAUCCAAAUAAAAAGUAAGAUUAAUCUUUAAGAACAUCUAUUGUUUUGAUAAGUUUCUUUCUAUCAUUUUCUUCUUCUUUUUUUUUUUUUUGAGCAAACAACACCUUAGUUUUAACAAAUCCCGUACAACUGUGUACAUAUAGCAAUAAAGGACUAAUAAACAAGCCAAUUCAGUGGACAAAGAAGAAUACCAUUAAUACUAAUGCCAGCGAAAAUUUCGCCUUCAUUUGCCAGAAUCUUGGUCAAUAUCACAGCAGUAAAGAUUGCACCAUUUAAAUAAUUUGAUUCCUAGACAAAUCCUCGAGCGAUAUACUAACCAUUUUAAGAUAAUUUUAUAGACAAUAGAUCUCUCAAAGUUUUUUUUUUGCGUAAAAACACUUAUUUUAAAAAACACAUGUUUGAGUAAUGACAAUUUAAGUCCAAAAUAUAAACAGACUACUUAAAAUUGGAAAAAUUCUAAGACUAAACAGGAAAAGUAAUAAAUAUUCCCAAUACUUACGGAAAGGCAUUUGUAACUUAAAUAUGCAAUUGUUACCAAAAUGAUAGAAAUGAUAAGACUUAGAUCCUCAAUUAAACGUCAAGACAACCACCCCUACUUUCCAUUUGGGAAUUAUAUUUCAUAACCACAGACUUAUCUUUUCUUUCCAUAUCUUAAACCUAAAACCGUCCGUAGAUUGUUUAAAUUGACAAUGAUUUAAUCUUGCUAAAAAAAUUAAAACAUAAUUUAUAUGGAUUAAUAUUCUAUACAUGGACAGUGUAUACACUUUCACUAUUAGAUGUAUGAUACAUAAUUCAAAUUUGAAUUUGAAACAUAAAUUUUGUAUAAAUGUCGUGUAUCCAACUGUGAUAGUGGAUACAAUGGUAGUGUAUAUAAAAUUUACUCAAUUUUUAUGUGCUAAAACUUUAGGUGCCAGUUGAGAAGUGCAAACUUUGCUACAUCUGUUUGCUCUUUCAUUUAUUAGGUAGUUCUAUUUCACCUUUCUUAAAGCAUAUUUGUUGAAUAAGAAGUGACUCCAAUAACAACAGAAUUAACUAAUAUUGAAACCCUGAUGAAUUGGGGAAAAACAAAAGAUUUAGGUCAAGAGUUAAAAGUUUCACAUUCUCAAUUUUAUAAGGUGGCAAUUAAAUGGAAACAAUUACAUUCAAGUUCAUGAGUUAUGGCUGUUGAAUGCUCAUUUUUUCCUCUUUUUUUUUUUUCAAAAAAAAAUCCUUCUCUUAGUUUUUUUUCCCCUUCUGUAGUGUAAAGAGACAUCUACCCUAUUACCCACUAUGUUGUGGCACUAUUGUAAAAAAGAAAUUAGACAAUGUGAUUUCUAGCCCUUGUUUCGUUUGCUAUUGAAAUGUACUAAACUAAGCAGCGCAGGAUCUUAGUCUGCUCGGAUUUGCUUGUAUGAGCUGUUAAGCCACUCGUAGAAGCGAGUAUCAAGAAGAUCUAGAGAUUAUUUGAAACAAUUAUUAUAACAUUUUUUACGAUAUAAUGUAUGUAAGAUAAAUAAAAGAUUGAAAAGAUAAAAAAGUAUGUUAAAAAAUAUAAUGUGAUACAAGAAAAUAAUUUUUUGUCGACAAUUCCUAUCCAAAAAAAAAUGUCUUCCUUUGCAUUCACUUGAAGUACCUAAACUACAUUAUCAUUGACAACUAGUGGCUUGAGAACAUUUAUCAUCAUAUUUGGAAUUGAACAAUAUCAAACAUAAUUGAAAAGAGGUGCAAAAGCAUUAAUUACUCUUUAUCCAUCUCUACAUCCGGACAUCAUUAUAACUAAACUAGUUUUCACUUAUUACCAGCUAUGUUUUUAGAACCGGACGGGGUAUCGACUCGGUCGAGCUCAGGGGUGAAUGGGUUCAACCAGAUUCGAUCAGGGUUGAACGGGAUGAUGUCAUAAAUAAAAAUUAUUUAAAAAUUAAAAUAUUAUAUGUAAAAUAUCUAAUAACAUGUGAAUACUAAUAAAGAUAUAUUCAUAUAUAUUUGAUGUUUCAAAUAUAUUUAACAAGAAAAUACAAAGAAAUUAGAACAAUCAAGUAGCAAUUUAUAUUAUUUAAUGAGCAUUAACAAGUUUAGAAUUAAAAUUAUAGACUUAAUUGAAAAAUAACACCAAAUUUUAAGACAACAUUUAUAGAGUAUGAAAUAUUUGAGGUAUAUUAAUAAUUUUUAACAACCUAGGGGUCAAAACAUAAUAUUAAAAAUAUUUUGACCUUUCAAAAAAAAUUUAAAAAAAAGAGACCUUGUUCUUAAUUUUCCGGUCAAACCCGGUUUUUGACCUAGUUUGACCGAAUUUUUAAUUUUCUGGUUUUUAUGGUUAACUCGGACUGAACAAUUGGCCGGUCCGGUCUGAGUUUAAAAGCAGAGAUUACCAGCUGUCUGCAUAUCUCAAAGGCUGUGAUUUAGCAUUUUUUUACAUAACUCUCCUAUGGUUUCAAAAGUUAUAUAUAACCCCAUCAUAAUUUGGAUUAAAAUGUCAAAGUGACGAUGGGAAUGAUCAUUCGUAACGGAGUCAUCUAAAAUGUCAAAAAUACCCUUAUGUAAAGUUGAAAAUUAUUUAUUAAUCUAGGGGAGUUAUGUGUAUAUAUUUUGAAAACCAUAAUGGGGCUAUAUGGUAAAGUAUUAAACUAUAAGGGGGUUAUAUAGUAAAAUAUAAAAAUUAUACGGGAUUAGUGUGUCAUGUAUUUAUAAGGGUAAUUACGACAUUUCUAGAAGUUCCGUUACGGAUGACUAUUUCCGUCACUUUGACACUAUAAUCCAAACUAUAAAGAAGUUAUAUAUAGUUUUUAAAAUCAUAGGAGGAUUAUGUAAAAAAUAUUAAAUCACAGAGGGAUAAAAUAUAAUUUGCCCUAUCUCGAAUCAUAUGGUGAAGGUUAGCUGUAUUGGCAGCAAAAUAGAAACCAUCUUCUUUAACCAGCAAAUAGCAUAUACUGUCACCGCCAUCACAUUGUUCCCUUACAGUUUUAUUGAAAACAUCAAAUCUUGUGUCCUUCAUUCUCCAGUAAAAGUGACAGAAAAAUAGUGUCGACCAAAUGAAGAAAUUCUCAUGAAACGUCCACCGAAACUCGUUAUUCAUAUAGAGGGUGUGAUACCCUAAAUCAUCAUCUCCAGCUGAUUGACAACGAAGAACUAAAGGGUUGGAAUUAUCAGGAAGGCCAUUGACUACAUGAAGAUGAUAUUUACCCGUAAAAACAUCCCAAAAUGAAAAUGAUGCUGCGAGGACAAAGCAAAGUAGUGCAACAAGCAAGCUGAAAAGGCUUUUCGCUGUUGUAAUGACUCACAUUGGUCAUGAUAUGCUCUGGUGAAUUAGGAGUUACCGCGUUUAUAUAGAACAGGGAAUUAUAUACAAGAGAAGAAGUGAGAAUUUGGUACGUGGAAAAAGACAACAAAUAAUUGUGCCUUGAGCCAGCAUUUCUUUUUCCCAUGUUUAAAUGGCAAGCUAUUAUUAAUGAAAUAAUUCGUUACCAUGUCAGGAGUACUGAAGCAUCAUGUCUUUUUUCUCAAAAUUUUUGUAAUUAAUGCGGUGAAGAUGUUAUUCAGAUGUAAGCUUUGAAAUACGAAAUCGUCAUUUUUGGAAAUAAAAUAUAAUCAGAGAUGUAGGCUGCUCUAGUGUGUGUGUGUGCCCAUCCAUAUAUACAUAUAUAUAUAUAUAUAUAUAGUGUGUGUGUGUGUGUCAUAUAUACAUAUGUGUAUAUAUAUAUAGGCUGCUUUAGUGUGUGUGUAUAUAUAUUUCACAAUGUAAACCAUGAUACAAUUUAUAAUUCAAUUGUUAAAUACAUGGUGUACACCUUCACUACUCACUUCUCUAAAAUAGGCACUCGUCAAUGAACUUUUUACGUUUUAACUUUUUUGUUUGGACAUUUCUUUAAAACAAUCUUUUUGUGGAACUGAAAUAAGCUGUUGAACUAAGCCAAAAUGCACUUUGGUCGUCUUAUCAUUGCGUCAUAUAGACCGGAAAAAAAUAUGGUAAAAACAAAAUUCAAUAAAAAGCACAUUGAAGAAACUUUAGCCAAUUGAAAAAAAUAAAUAAAUCAAACCUAAUUUGAGCUUAUGAACAAAUUUUAGGGAUACGACCUCCCGCAUCAAGAAGUUCCUAAUUCCUAUGUGUCUUUCCUUCUAUUAUUGGAUCGUAAUUCAUCCCAAUAAAAAAGAUUUCUCGUCAUACUUUAAAAGAAAAAUAAAGCAACAAUAGUUUUACUUUUUGGUUGACAAUAAGUAACCAAAUUUAUAAGUUUAAGAAUAGAAAGGGGCAAAGUGCCCAAAUAGUCCUCUAAUUCAACAUGACAAAAAUGUUUGGUUCUCGUUUACUAAUCUUGCAUUGGGUUCUUUUGGAAUAACAUUCAAAAUAUUGGGACUAAUUUGUAGACAGCAGUAAUAUCCAAUCAAUUUGUGUCCUAACAUUUAAAUAGGACUAAAUGCCCUAAUAUUCCCCUUGGGAUUGUUCGGCUGAAUCCACAAGUACCCUGCGUUGCCUCGUGGAAAGUGGCGUAUUUGGUCUCGUCGGCUGCUGGCCACAAUUCCUGGAAGGAAGAUUGGCCCGCCCAAUGCCGACCAUCAAUAGUCGUCUUUGGCAACGUCAAAGUUCAAAGUCCACGACCCCGUAAUUUCCUCGAAUUUAGAUCAACACACUUGAACUUUUGUGCUAUUUUUUUAAUCACCAACUGGAGGAUUUGAAUGUGGCAUUUGGAUCCCUCAAAAAAAAAAAAAAAGAUAAAAUUGUAAUGCUUAAAAUGUGACCCUUUUGCACAAUAAUUCACUUAAAUUCAUAUUCUAGCUGAGGCCUUGACAUUUCUCUACCAUUGUUUAUCUCCAAUUUUGCUCCAUUUUUUUAGUGUUUGACGAGACUAUCCAAACAUGAUUUUAUGCAACUCUCAAGUGAGUUUUUUUUUUAUUGAUGACCUUAGUAAUUUUAUCAAACUGUCUAGUAAGCUUUUUUUUAUUGAUGACCUUAGUAAUGUAAACAAAGAGUAGAAAGUGAUCAUUCAACAAAAAGUCUUUAUUUAUAUAUAACCUAUGUGAACUAUAUACAAAACUAAUCACAUGACCUAUAUAAUCACUAUUUAGGUCAUAUGACAUCUCAGGAGAAGAUCUAAAAUUUGUCUUUGUCCUUUAAACUUUCCUCCAAUAUGCCAAAUAAUGUAAAUAAUAGUACCAACAAUUCUAGCAAUUCUAAUGAAAGAAUGCUUGAAGACAAUCUCCUUUCCAACCUUUCACAUUUGAUUUGCAGACUUAUUAAGCUACUAAACCAAUAAAGUUAUAUAUAAAUAUCAGAGUCUCUUACCAAAAAAAGUUUUAUUGGACGCCCAGAAAUAAAGAUUUUCAACAUACAAUCUUCUUCCUAUUUUUAAAUGGAUUUUUUCUUUCUCUAAUAAUCGAAAAAUAAACCAUUAAUGUUUUCAAGAUACCAUUUCUUCUAAAUUUUAAUAUGAAAGAAAACAUUUUUGUACAACUAUUUUUUACUUUAGCUCCAAGCAAAUUGAUGAUAGUUAAUGUCUAAGAUUCUUCCAAAAGCAAAAGAAAUAUGAUAAAUUAACAUGCCAAAAUUAAGUCAAGCACAAAGGGUAAAAAUGUUUGAUUCCUAAAGGUGUUGUGGCUGGUAACAAUUACUUGAAUUUGUCAACCAUCCAUUUUUUUUUAACCAUAACAAGAGAAAAAAGAAAAAGGGAAAAUUACGUAAAAAUUGUAGGCGUGGAAAAUGACACCUCUAUAAAAACCAUAACCCUGAUUCCUCGCUUCUUGCUCCGCCUUUCGCCUCCCUUUUUCGGCUCCUUCACCUGAGAACCAGCCAGGAAAACGCAAAGGUAGAGGAGCGCAGCCCAGCCCGGCCCGGCCCGCUUGUUAGAGACUCUCACAAAGUCAACAUCUCAGCUUAUUACUACGAUCAGGUAGAUCAAUCGAUCAAACACUUGCAUUAUUGCAUUAUACAAACGAAUCCCACUCUACUAGGUGCGGAUAAAUUCAUGGAUCUACCGUUCUUUUCUUCAUUUUAUUGAUUUGGAAUAGAUUAAAUGCCUAUAUUUCUUCAUGGAUGUUCUCAUUUCUUCAUAAAAUUGUCCCUGAUAUUCAGUUACCUUGAUGUCUGUCUGUAGAAUUUUUAAUUUUUUUCUGGGUUUUUGAUUUAGAAGAUUUGGUAUUCUGGGUUGUUUCAUUUGCGGAUUUUAAGUUCAGAUCUGUUAAUCUUUUUUGGGACACACUUGCAUUAUUGCAUUAUACAAACGAAUCCCACUCUACUGGGUACGGAUAAAUUCAUGAAUCUUCUUUUCUUCAUUUUAUUGAUUUGGAAUAGAUUAAAUGCCUAUAUUUCUUCAUGGAUGUUCUCAUUUCUUCAUGAAAUUGUCCCUGAUAUUCAGUUGUCUUGAUGUCUGUCUGUAGAAUUUUUAAUUUUUUUUCUGGGUUUUUGAUUUAGAAGAUUUGGUGUUCUGGGUUGUUUCAUUUGCGGAUUUUAAGUUUAGAUCUGUUAAUCGUUUUUGGGACUCUUUUUUCGUGUUGCUUAAAGGGUUCCAAUUUCUUGGGACUGCUCUGUUUUUUCUGUUGCAUAUUAUUAUGGAAUUUAUAUAUGAAGUGUUUGGAGUUUGACUAGUAGAUUCCGAAGGGUAUGAGUCUCUUGAUGUCAGUUUGCGGUUUUUGCUCCGAUUUAGUCUUUUUGGGAUGUUUGAUUUACUACAAAUAUGUUUGCGUAUAAGUUGUGACAGAGUUUUGAGAUGAGGCUGUGUUUGGAUUUUGUUUCAAUAUGAAUUUGAGUGUCGGAGAAUUGAUUCAUUUGCUUGAGAGAUGUCAUGUUUUUUUAUUGUCAGUGGAGUCAGCUUGCCUCUGCUAACCAAUUUCAUUUACAAAUGGGUUUUUUUGUUGUUCUAGGAAGUGAAGAACAGAAAUGGUUUCGUUUUGAAAAUGAAUAUAUGUGUAAGCGGCUUCCAAGUACAGUUUUGAUUUUACGAUGAUGCUGCUGUUUAGCAGUGGGUGCUUGUGAGAGUUGAUAAUAAAUAUUGCUUUCGUCUAGAUACGGUGAUGGAUUUUGAUUAGGAUGAUGAUUUUUAUUCUUAGAGAAAAGAUCUGUAAGAGCUGCCCUGCUAGAUAUCUGAUUGCUAUUUUGCAACCUUGGUGGCAGUUGAGGAUAGUGCAAUAGUGGCAAUUGCUAUAACAUCUUAACUCAGUCUUUUUGUCUAUGUUACUCUCAUAUUUGUAUGGUUAUCAACUUGUCUUCUUUAAAGUUCUCUGCCUUUUCUGGUUGGAAAUUGGACUCUUGAUCUUCAUUGCCAUGGUUGUGCCUUGCUUUUAAUCUACCUUUACAUAAUCAUUUUGUCAAUCUUACAGAUUAAGGUUUUGUCAAUCAUUUUGAUAAUCUGUCAAUGUGUGCCCUCAAGUUUGACAUUAAAGUUCUAUAUGUAACAUCUGGGUUAGUUCCCUAUCGUGUUGUCAGUCAGUUUGUGUCACAUUAUCUCCUUUUCUUCCAUCAUGUAUGUAUAUACUUAUAUUCUAUUCCUUAUUUUCCCCAUAUAGCCUAGCUUACACGCGGUGAUAGUUGUUUUUUUCUUUCGUGGCAGAAAAAAUGAUGAUUGAUCAGACACAAUAUCCCACUGUCGCUCAGAAGAUGGCUGCCAAGCUCCAUGCACCGACCACUGUUAAAGAUCUUCAAGCCUGUGAGGGUGGUUUCCAGAAGCCUUAUCUGCAUCAAAGAAAAUUUGCUUAUGGAAACUUUGCAAAUCCUGCAUUCAAAUAUCAGAUGCUACAGUCAUGUCAAGCAACACAAAACCUGUCUAUGAUAGCAUCAUAUGCAUCUCCAGUUUCUGUCCAAGCCCCCUCAGAAAAGGGAUUUGCCAGCUUUGCGAUUGAUUUUCUCAUGGGAGGGGUCUCUGCUGCUGUAUCAAAAACAGCUGCUGCUCCAAUUGAGCGUGUGAAGCUAUUAAUUCAAAAUCAGGAUGAAAUGAUAAAGGCUGGUCGGCUUUCAGAACCAUACAAGGGGAUUGGUGACUGUUUCACACGAACAGUCCGGGAUGAAGGUGUUGUUUCUCUCUGGAGAGGCAACACUGCUAAUGUUAUUCGUUACUUCCCUACUCAGGUUGGUCAACUCCCGUGUUGUUAAUCCUUAAUUAUGUACUACUUCUCUUCUCAAUUUGCCUGACUAUUUUAUGGAUUCUGUACAGGCUUUGAAUUUUGCAUUCAAAGAUUACUUCAAGAGUUUGUUUAACUAUAAGAAAGACAGAGAUGGAUACUGGAAAUGGUUUGCUGGAAACUUGGCAUCAGGUGGUGCAGCUGGUGCUUCUUCCCUCGUCUUUGUCUUUUCCCUGGACUAUGCCCGAACUCGAUUGGCAAAUGAUGCCAAGGCUGCAAAGAAGGGAGGAGAGAGGCAGUUCAACGGCUUGAUUGAUGUCUACCGUAAGACCUUUGCUUCUGAUGGCAUUGCUGGACUUUAUCGGGGAUUCAAUCUUUCUUGUGUUGGAAUCAUUGUUUAUCGUGGUCUCUAUUUUGGACUGUAUGAUUCUGUGAAGCCAGUGGUCCUCACUGGCAAGUUGCAGGUAAAUAAUCGAUGAGACCAGUGCUUGUCAUCAUCAUUUGUCAUGAAGUAUUGAUUGACUGAUUGUGAUUCACAUUUUCAUGAAUUUUUUUUAAUUAUUUUUGUGUUAUAGUGUUUCUCUUCUAUUUGCUUUGAGCUAGUAGCUAAAUACAGAGGACAUGCAAGAAGCAAAUAUUGAUGCAUGUGAUCCUUAUUAUGCUCUAGAAUUCCUUUACUACUACAAGUCCAUAAUUUUUGUAUCUAGCUUCAUUGUACCUUCUCUUUUGCUGUUUCUGGUUUUCAGGAUAGUUUCUUUGCUAGCUUUGCCCUUGGUUGGGUGAUUACGAAUGGUGCUGGCCUUGCGUCUUAUCCAAUUGAUACUGUCCGAAGAAGAAUGAUGAUGACAUCUGGUGAGGCAGUGAAGUACAAAAGCUCCCUAGAUGCAUUUACUCAGAUCGUGAAGAAUGAGGGUGUAAAGUCUCUCUUCAAGGGAGGUGCUGCAAACAUCUUACGUGCUGUUGCUGGUGCUGGUGUGCUUGCUGGCUACGACAAACUGCAAGUGCUUGUCUUAGGAAAGAAGUAUGGAUCUGGCGGUGGUGCUUAAGAGUUGGUUUUUUGUCCUCAAGAUUUUGAAGAUUAGGCAGUGAAAAAAUCUCCCAUGUGUGGGACCUUAACCAGGCUUUCUGAUUCAAUAAUUUGACACCUUUACAGGUGUCACCCUGAACCUUUUUUUAUUGAACCGUUCAUCGCUUUCUACAUCUUAUAUUGUUGCAGCCGCGGAUGCAGUUGCUAGUUUUUUGAGUUUCAAUUACUCAAGAGAGGCUUGUAUGUCAUGUACAAUGCCUGAAUUGCUUUCCAUAGUGAGAGAUACAACUGUGCAACUUUUUGGCCUUAUCAUCCUGGCAAGUGCAUACCUGAAAUUAUAUGCAUCAGUGUCUAAACUGCUAGGUCCUUUAUGUUUCGUACUAUUCUCUGUUUCUUUAUUUUAUACUUGGGGCUAAAUCACUUCAAAAUUUUAUUCCUUGUAUGCGAAAUGUCUAUGCUGAUUUUCAUAAAUAGCAAGCCUCAAGGUGCCUGCGCAUGUCUUUGAGUGUUUUGUACUUUCAACUGCUGCAAGGCCAAUCUGUUAAGCUGUCUUCAACUGCUGCAAGGCCAAUCUGUUAAGCUGUCCUCAAUCUUGGAUGCCCCUUUAUUAUAUCUGUUUCAUUUCUACAUGUCCAUUCUUGGAUACAGAGAUGUAAUGUGUUUAGUUAAACAUUUUAAGAUCUAGAGAUCAAACUGGAAGCUCUCGAUCUCGACUUUAACCGACUCAAAACUGAAGUAAGCUAUGAACAAGAACGAGCUGGCCUGCUUGAAGAGUAGCUCAAUGUCCAGCCUUCGAUAAAUGAGUAGUACAUAAUGGUCUUUCACCUUGGGUGAUCGUGUAGCAAUCCAGUGGAAAAUGGUUGAUGCUGUUUACUGGCAACUAUAAGGGUACCUGAAACCUAAUAAGCUGUAUGAGCCAACGAUGAGAUUCUGAAAUUCUGCUUGGAUUGCUUGUUUCCGUCGGAAAAUAUUGUCAUUUUCCGUAAUCACAUUUUCCUAUCACCUUUUUUCCUCACAUAUAUCAAAUCGCUACUCGAAAUCUUCAAGUAGGGGUGUUUUUGAAUUGAGUCAAGCCCUGGCACUGGUGUAGCCAAGUUCAAGUUCAAAGGUAAUUAAUCACCUAGCUUAUCUUUAAUUUGAGUGAGGUUUGAUGAGUAUCAUCCAAAAAAAAAAAUUACUAGUGGUUCAAGCUCAAGAUUAGCCUACUUGACAAGAUUAACUCGAGUCCAAGCUCAAGCCUAAACUCUAGGGCAAUCAAGCUUGAUAGAGUGGUAAAGAUUGUAAUUUGUCCAAAACAAACAUUCUAUAAUUUCAAUAGUUUCAUAACUAUAUAUAAAUAACAAUAUAUUACAAAAAUUAUAAAUUUAUGAAUAGUUGAUAAGCUUGAGAAGCUCUCAAUAUUAUGUAUGGACACGGAAGUUGAUCCGUAUGACAACUUGAAUCGUUGGGUUUGAAUUUUAUCGAAUUCAAAUCAAUCUUUGAACGAAGCGCUGGUAAAUAAGUCGAUUUAUCAGUAGCUCCUAGUCCAAUUCCUAUUCCAAACUCACGCUGUGAAGCUUGUUCGUAUAAGGUUGAGUUUCCUCGAGAUUCAACAAUGCAUUCUACCCACAAGUCUUUCUAUGGACGCUUCUUCACCUUGUGUGGAGGAUCGUGAAAGCUGUUAAUAUCUCUCAAGGGUUACUUAGCCCUUUUUCUGGAAAUAGAAGUAUGCCAAACACUCACGCUACCCUAAAGGCCAAAUUGCAUGAUAAACAAUAAAGUAAUAAACAAUAGGCAUUACGAUGGCAAUCAUUAAAUGGGCUUUCCAAGGAGGCAAAAGCCCAUUCAUUAUUUGCUUUGCAGUUUUGGGCCUCGUUUAGUGAACUGAUUGGUCCGCAGUGUAGACCAUUUGAAAUACAAACAUGAGACAAUAAUCCUAACAAAAUGUAAGACUAUUCUAGUUUUUUCUUCUUUUUGUCUUGAUAAAUUAGUUUUUAAUUUUUGAAAUUCUUUCCUUUUUUUUUUAGAUAACUUUUAUACGCAAAAGUAAUUGAUCACCAACCUUGAACGCAUGCAUGAAACAACUCAACAUAGCAAUAAAACUUUAGAUCAUUCAAGUUAAACAAACAUCUUCUACUUUUGCUGAUGCUGAUAUUGUUGUAAAUUGUCUUAAAACCAAAGGGAUAUUACUCCAGCCAUAUCUAUUCCUUCAAUGCUAGUAACAAAUACUUAUAAAUACAGUUAUAGUUCCCUUUCUAAAUGUACAAACUCACAAGCUCGUCAUUGUAAUUAAGUCCCACCCUCUCAUUUCUUGAACCUCAAUUGUUGUAAUUAUUGGUGUCAAAUGUCAAUUGUUAGCUCAAUUGAGUUCAACUCGAAUUCAAGUCAAAUAAUAGUCAGACCGAUCCCGAGCUCAAUUUUUAAGGAAAGCAAAUACUUUAGCUCAAAUCAAGCACAAGGAAAGCGCUAUACGAAUUCAACCCACUCGCUGUGAGUUUGAAAUGCAAAAUUUCCUAUGAUCCUAUCUUCUUAAAAUUCUUGUACAAAAAAAAAAAAAAAAAAGUGAUUGAAGCAAAUCGAUAACUCGCAUAUACUAGUCAAAUCACAUGCAAAUAAUAGUUAGUGGAUUUUGGGACUAAGAAUGAUGAAGGUUUAUUUUCUAUCAAUCCGUAACUUCUACAUUAAUCCUGCUCUCACUCCUGUUUCAAUCUAUCUAAGGGAGAAUCUAACUGGACCAAAGAGAACUAAAGGGAGUGACUCUCAUCUCAAGAUUAAAAGGGUGCAAUACUGCAUACGCUUUGAAUUUGGUAGAUAUCACGUAAUAAUAACAAUUGAUGGGAGACAAAGUUUCAACCUUUAACAUUCCAACUUAUAAAGGCAGUUAGAGACAAUUGAUGAAGUUGUUUUUGUUAUUUGACCACUUUUGAUGGUCUCAUAUAGCGGAAUGCUUCUUUACAAUCUGGACCCGGGUAUGACUAAACAAUGGUAAAAGAGAAAGAAAGAGAAAUGGAGGGAAUGAGAGAUCAAUUCCUUGCUUGCAAAAUGUGUCUUGAGCGGUCCCAUGAUGUAUCUCAUCCCACCAUCUUGUGCAGUUUUUUCAGUUGCAGAUGGCAGAAACUAGGAGGAGAGCCUUUGCUUUAAUGGCUAUGUCUUAAUAGCUUUCUAUAUUCACUGAACAAAGAUCUUUGCCAUUUUCCGUAUCUAGUAUGUGACUUUGUGGCCUCCAUCAAUUUUCAAUUGCUUUCUUAAAGAUCUUAUCCAUUUAAGUAUGCUGUGCAUUUUGUCUCCUUUUGUCCGUUUGAAUUACGGACUUGAUCACCUCUACAAUGACCUGUGCCAAUUUCUAUCUUGUACCACUAGCACCUCAACAAUUGCUUGGAAAGCCAUUUUCUACCAAAAAAAAUAUUUACGUUUUUCAUAAAUAUAUUUUUCAAUCACCUUUUUAUCUCAUUUAUAUCAAAUCGAUAUAGUACAUUUUUUCACAAAAACUCCAAAAAAUUACAAUCCAAACAAGAAUUAUCUUCCUCCACUUCCAGUUGUGUACACGAGAGAAUUUGACUCUACAAUUUUCUUUUCAAAUUGAAAAUUUAGCCUAUUCUUAACUAUUAUUUAUCAGGUGAUUGAUUCCAACCCUAGUCCAAUUUUUCUUUUGUCCAAGUGUUUCUUAUAGCUCUCGUAAAGCUAAUCACCCUAACAACAAAAAAGAAAAAAAAAUCACAAAUUGUAAUUUCAGAUAAUUAUUUUAUCAGGGAUUUGGAAGUACUCAACCACUAAGUUAACUAUUUGUGAGAAGGCAUGAUGUCUACAACAUUAACCUUUCUUUCUUUCUUUUCUUUCAAAUUGACAUAUGUAUCAUUUAUAGUGUGUUUUAGUUGUUAUAACCAAAUUCCUCGGGCCUUUAAAGCUAAAAUUAUAGAGAAAAUACAUAAGAAGAAAUAGUUUUUUGUGUGGAAAUAGAUAUCAUUGAACUUUUCCACAUUGUGGAAGUUCAUGUAUCUUUCUUAGAUCAUUUAGAACAAAGCAUUCAUGGUUGGAGAGAACAUGUCCUGGAAAUAAAUUCUAGGCAGUGCUCUUGUGUGGUUUUUAUCUAUCUUUAACCCAAUAAAAACAGUCAGAGAAUUAUUUAAGCCACUUUUGAUAAAGGGUCAUCCACAAAAGUUUUUCACCAUAGAAGUGGGGUUGCUCUCGGAAUCUGGUCCGGGCUAUGUGGUCCUUGUGCAACAGUACAAGGAAAGGCAUAAAAUCACAUCUUGCCCGUUUUCAAUCCAACCCUUUUGCAUCUUCAUUUUGUCUUCCCUUUUUCCAUAAUUUGGAGGGCUACUAAUUCUCAAUCUUGUUUCCAACGAAUUCAUUUACCUCUUUCUUUUUUUGUUAUUGAAGAAGAGGUAUUACUUGAACCAAUAAUUGGCAGGAUGAACAAAGAAAAUCUUAGCAUUUCUAUUGAAGCUAAAAAUGAAAUUGAAUAACCAAUGCCAUCUCUGUACUACCUUGAAAAUUCCUUAGGUUCGUACUUACCAAUCAAAAAGCUAUACAGUAUUGUAGCAAUAUCUAGCCUUUUAUAUAGCUGCAAAUUUGCACUGAAUUGUCCAGUCUUUGCAUAGCAAUACGUACUGAAUUAUCAACUACAAAGGAAGGAUGACUUUUUCCAUAAUUAAUCAUUAUCUUUUGUAAGCUUCCAUUAGUGACAAAUUUCGUAGGCCUUCAGAAAAUGUUUGUUUCCAGUCAAUUUCACUGCACGAAAAGGAGAGCUAUGGUUAUUUCUCACUUGUUUGGUGGCAAAAACUUGAAUGGUUAUCCAUCUUGAAAAGACAAUGGAGGGUUCUUUUUCCUGUGGAAGACAAAAGUCUGGUGGAUUGUGGGACUGAUAUGGUAUAUCCUUCCAAUUUCCUCGAAGCUAUAUCAAGAGUAUCAAAGUUUGCUCAGAUGAUUACUAUUUUCACAAGAAUUCUGUUGUUUCACAUUUUCUUUAAAUGUGUAUUUGAAAUAAAAAUAGUUCAAGAACGUAUCCGGAGUUCGAAAGCUUGUAAUUUAUUCUCUAACACAUUAUUACAUAACCGUUUCAAUUUUAAGUUGAUGAAUUAAACGACAUAUGUUAAAGACAAUGAAAUGAUCAUGGAAGAUCAAAUAAAAUAGGGGAAAAUGCCCCAGUGGUUGUCAAAUUAUUUCAAAGUUUAACUUUUGGCCAUCCAAUCAUUAAAUGGGUACUUUUAACUCUCUAACGAAUUAAAACAUAUAUUCAUAGCGUUUCAUCAAAUUGAAUCGUUAUUUCAACAAAACAGUGUAGAUGGUUUUUAUCACUUUUGGUGCUGUUUCUAUUAGACAUUUUCUUCAUUCUUUGUAACAGUUCUUUACUUGGGAGGCUGGAAUCUUUCUAUUCCGUACAUAUUCGUUUAUGAGAUAUUUGACAUAAAUAAAGCGGGUAAAGUUUUUGGCCCAGUAAUUGGUAUCUCUAUUACAUUAGCUAAAACUUAUUUGUUCUUGUUCAUUUUUAUUGCAACAAGAUGGACUUUACCAAGGCUGAGAAUGAUUUAAGUUGACGGAAAGAUUAUGAGUGCAAAUUUUAAUUAAUUGAAAGGUUAAAAUUAUUUAUUUAAUAAUUGAAAAGUCAAAAUUAAAAUUUGUAAUAGUUUAAAAGCAUUGAAACAUUUUACCCGACAAAAUUUAAGCUCCCAACCUAGUAUACGAGAGAGCUAUACAAGAUUCCCUUGCGAUUCACUCGCUAAUUGUAUUGGAUAUGUGUUUUUUUUUUUUUUUUUUUUUUAAAAGGCUAGUAUCUAUAUGGGGUUUUCAAGGUAAGUUGGGUUUUCCAAUAAUUAAGCUUAUCCCCAUUGACUGAGGAGGAUUGUUGUGAGGAGACCAAACAGCUUGGAUUGUGUAGGGACCAAUAUACUACUCUUCCUAGACUCCUAGUAAUAGCAGAUUAUCAUAGAGAGGAGUACUUUUACAACUUUGCUGCUGGGGUUGCUACAGCUGUACGGCAAAGAUCACGCAGACAGGCUUCUGGGAAUGCGGCUCCCAGCCUUCCACUCUGUCUCACGCACACUUCUCAGUUCCUACCGGCUGUUAAAACGGCUUUAGUUUCACAUGCUUAUUGCUAUGCGGUUUUUCUUUAUCAAUUUUCCCUUUCUUUUUUCACCAUCUCGUGGUAAUUUGUAUUUUAUCAUACUCCCUCCGUCCCACUUUGAUAGUCCUGUUUUCCUUUUUUGUCUGUCCCAAAUUGCAGUCCACUUUCCAAUUGAAGAAUGUAGUUGUAUUUUCAUUUUCCUAAAAUACCCUUAUUCAAUACAAGUUGUUGUUGCUAUAAACCUACCCCAUUUAAUGAGAGUUGAUUCUUUUUUUACCAUCAAUUCAAGUUCCCAUAAAGUUGUACUCUAUUUAAUGUGAGGGUAUUUUAGGAAAAUAGCAAUCUAAAUUUACUUUUCCAACAAAGUUAACUACUUUUUCUUAAACUGUGUGAAAAAAGAAACAGGACUAUCAAAGUGGGACGGAGGAGUAUCACUCAAGUGGCAUUCGAUUUCAUUGUGAAAGUAUCCUUUUAGAGUGAAAUGAAAUGAAUGGGUGAACGAGAAAGGAGUUGAGUUGAAUGAUAAAAUGGAAAAAAUUAUAACUAAGAGGUUUUAGAUUCAAAUUCUCUUACUUAUAAAAAGAAAAUAAAUGAAUAAUUUUUAUUAGGAUGGAGGAACAUUCAAAUGGAACUAGACAAUCGAAAGCUGGUAGAAGCCAUAAAGAAACCAAGUCACAACAAUCAUCUGAUGGCUACUCUAUUAGAGGAUAUAAGGUCCAUUUGUAAUCUGUUUCAAAAGUGCUCUAUCUCUUUUGCUAUUUCAAGGAAAGUAGAAUAUAUUAAGUUGAGCUUACAUGCUCUAAACAUUUGGAUAGAUGAAGAAUGGAUGAAUCCCAAUAUUAGAUGUUAGUGCAUCAGUAAGUUGCUAGGACAAUUUGUUCCUUUUCUUUGGACAGUUGUCCAAACACUGUACAAGUUACGGAGAUAUAUAUAAAAUGCUAACGUUUCGGAAAAAAAAAAGAAUAAUUUUUACUAGGCAAAUUUAUAACCACGAGACUAAAGUCAUUAUACUAUAGUAAAAAUCAAAAUAGAACUAUAGAACUAUUCAUCCUAAGCUUGUUUAUGAGGGCAUUUAUUUAGGAUUAAUCUUUUCUACACCGACAGUGUAUACACUAUCAGCGUUGGAUGAUUGACAAUUUAUGCAAAAUUUGAAUUUGAAAUUCAACUUUUGCACACAUAUCAUGAAUCUAACGAUGAUAGUGUAUACACUAUCAGUGUAGGAAAGAUUUACUCAUUUAUAUUUAACUUGAGAAAAGUCAUUAAAAUUCCAACUUUGACAUAACGCUAAUGAUUGAGCAAAUGUUGGAGAGAGAUGAUGUAAAUUUGAACCCAAAAUGGUAGAUCUUAUGAAACCUCAAUGCAAUAUGUAAUGAGAAUAAAAUAAAUAUAGCAUUUGCUUUUUGGCUGUUCAAGUCAUUCUUUCAUAAAUUUGUUUGGGUUUAUGAAGCUAUACAUGUCAAAUAUUCUUUUGGCCUUGUUCAACAACAUUAAACUAUACAUGGCUCGCGAGAAAGCGCAGAAAGAAAAACAGAUACCAUCAUUGGAAUUUGGAACGAGUCUUUACAUAUUCAAGGGUUUCAUACAUUAUGUUAAAACUUAAAACCAAAGGUAGUCUAGCCACAUUAAUGAUCAGAUUUUGAGUCACUCUGCUCAGCGUCAAUUAGUUUUGAGAUAAAAAUUCAAUUUUUUUUUAACAUGAUACUAUAAUUGGGCCACAGGUUUUGUUCAUCAACCUCACCUGCUUACAAUUUCACCUAUAAUUUGAUCAAUUACUUGUGACUUCAGGGUUUCUAGGGUGGGUUCUGUUCAUCUAUACCUCAAGUUUACAAAUCCAAGCCUUCUAAGGUGUUACUCCGUCCAUUUUUUCUAAUUUGGAGGGUUUUAGGGUUCUGUUCACUCGUACGUUGCAUUUACAAGUCAAUGAGUUCGAAGAUUUUAGGACUCCGCUCACUUCUGCCUUAAGUCAAAAUCAUGUGUGAGAGGAGAUGUUAAGAUUAAAUAUCCACAAUUAUUCCUUAAGAAAUUCCAAUUACAUUCAUAAGAUCUUAGACCACUGACUCAUGUCAUUAUCAAUUGAUUUUGAGAUGAAAAAUAAAGCUCUUUAAUACGUUAGAGGCAGCUAGAGAAAUGAUGGAUAAUAGAUUCUAAAAUUUGUUAACCUAAUAAACUAAUUCAUCUACGAAAAUAAUGUCGUUGAAUACAUUGCUAAAUCCAAGCACUCUUUAGUAUGGUGGAUAAAUGGUCUUAUACAUUUCUCAUGGAAUGUGAUAAUAUUUCACUAAUUACAAAAGCUAGUUAAUCUUCACAAAAUUUAUAAUUAUUCAAAUAUUCUACAACCUUUCCUAUUGUUACUGAUAACUAUUCAAUUUUGCUAAGCCAUUUGACAUAAGCUCUGAAGCAUUACACUCUCACUUAGUAGUGUCUUUUUCGAUAAAUAACUAUUAAAAUGUAUUCAAAUUUAAGAUUUUAGGCAUUACAGUUUUCUCUAAAUUGUCUUUUUUUAUCUUUAAAUGAUGCAGUCAUGCUUUUAAAGAAAAUGCGUAUCUACACUACUCAACAUUUUCUACAAAAAUAGCAUACAUUGCAUUUCAAUCUAUGUUAUCGUUAUCGAUUCAAAAUAACUUAGUGUACAUUACAUUUCAAUCUAUAUUGUCUUUUACGAUUCAAGAUAAUUUAAUAUACGUUACACUUUGAUCUAUAUUGUCUUUUGUGAUUUAAAAUAACACACUGUAAGUUACAUUUCAAUUUAUAUUGUCUUUUCCUAUUAAAAAUAAUCUAAUUUAUGUUACAAUUCAACCCAUAUUGUCUUUUCCCAUAGAAAAUAAUUUGUUGUUGUAUAUAUUUCGAAUCUUUAUCGUGUUUUCCUAUUCAAUAAUGCCUAACCACCUUGCAUCAUAAAUUUUGUCUAGUUAUAUAAUUAAUAAAAAAAUUAUAUUUGUAGUUGCAACGUAUAUACAUAUAUCACAUCAUAAAAUUUGCUACACUUUUAUUUCAAAUUUUUUUUCCAAAUAAAUUGAGUGUAUUUGGAUAGAGUAUUAUUUAGCUUGUAUCAUAAAUAUAAUUUUCAAUCAACUUUCUGUUUCAUAUAUAUCAUAUCAUAAAAAGUGUUAUAGUACUAUUCUAAAUAAUUUUUUUUUCAAAUUAUCUCCUAUCCAAACACGCUUACUAUAUUAUUUGAAAUAAUUAAUAUAGCAAAUUUUGUGAUGUGAUGCAUGUGAGGCAAAAAAAUAGUUAAGAAUAUAAAAAAGGGAUUGAAAAAUGUAUUUAUGAUACAAACAAAACAAUAUUAGAAAUAACAUGUGUUUAAAAAAUGUUCUAGCCAAACACAUUCAUAUACUUCUCAAUUCAGAAAAUCAUACUCCUUAUAUCACAAAAUUCAUUCCUCUAUAUCUCAUGAGAAGAUACACAAACAAACAUACACAAUGUGCAUAAACUAAUUUUAAAAGAAUUAUCUAAAUCUAAGUUUAAUGCUUCAUGUUUCAAAAGCUUGUUUACCUAAUAAACUAAUUCAUCCAUGAAAACAAUAUCAUUGAGUAGAUCAUGAAAUUCAGUUGUCUUAUAUGUUUCUAAUAGAAUGUGAUAAGAUCUCAAUAAUUACAAAAGCUAGUUAAUCUUCGCAAAUUUUAGAAUUUUUUAAAUAUUCUAUAACCUUUCUUAUUGUUACAAAUUACUAUUCAAUUUUGCUAACACAUUUGAUAGAAGCUCCCAAGCCUUACACUCUUUUUUGACAAAUAACCGUUAAAAUGUAUUCAAAUUUGAGAUUUUAGGCAUUUUAAUUUUCAUUAAAUCAUCUUUUUUUAUCUUUAAAUGAUGCAAUCAUGCAUUUAAAGAUAACACAUAUCUAUACUACUCAACAUUUUAAAGAAAAUGCGUAUCUACACUACUCAACAUUUUCUACUAAAAUAUCAUACGUUACAAUUCAAUUUAUAUUGUCUUCAAUGAUUCAAAAUAACUUAGUGUACGUUAUAUUUCAAUCUAUUAUUGUCUUUUAUGAUUCAAAUAAUUUAAUGUACGUUACACUUCAAUCUAUAUUAUCUUUUGUGAUUCAAAAUCACCUAGUGUAUGUUAUAUUUUAAUUUACAUUGUCUUUUGAAAAAAAAAAAUCAUUCAAAAUGUAUCUCAUAUUUUGUAAAAUGACUUUUUAUAUGCCUUACUUUUAAAAGUAUAAUUUUACGUCCCUUAUAAAUUCACAUUAGUCAAAUUUGUUUCCUAUCUAGGUUUCUGAUUAGUUUUUAGUUGGAAUCCAUCACGUGCCUUACACAUGAUCAUUUUUAGGGGCAAAAUUGUCAAAUAAUAGUUCACAUAAUCUGAUCCAUAGUUCUUCACAUUUAAUAAAAUAAUUUUUUUUUGUCUAUCAUAUUUUACAAACUAAAUUUUUUCAUCCUUCAUUAAUCAUGUGUAUGAAUAGGUUUUUUUACAUCCCAUAUAUAUGUUUAUUUGAUUUCACCUGAAUAAUACAAAUAGCAUUUAAUAUAUAUUUCUAUUUGAUUUCACCUACAACUACAAUUAGCUUAUUUAGGUGAAAUCAAAUAGAAAUAUGUUAUAUGAUAUACAUACUAUUCAAGUAAAAUCAAAUAAACAUGUACAUGAAUUUUUAAAAAUAAGAAAAAAGUAUUCAAACACAUGAUGAACAAGGGAUGAAAAAAAAUUCAUUUUGUGAAAUGUGAGAGACGAAAAAAUUUAUUUUAUAAAAUGUGAGGGACUACGGAUAGGAUUAUGUGAAAUAUUAUUGAGCAAAUUGCGCGAAAUGUCACUAAACUAUUUCAAAGUGCCGGUUCUGGUCACUAAACUUUUUUAUUAGCGCGAAAUGUCACUGAACUAGUAAAUCUGUACCGUUUUGGUCACUCCGUGUAUUUGUGCCGCCAGGACAGACGAAAAUCAACUUUUUGAGGGGCAAAUUCAUCUGCACAGCCUUUUCCUUGAAACUCUCUACCAUAAAUCACUCUCAAAUGUCAGACAACUCGUAAGUUCAAUUAGGAAGUGCAAACCCUUAUCCUGUAAUAGAUUUCUUCUGCAAAUAUGGAGUAGGAGGGACAAUAUACGAAGUUGCAAUUUGCUGGGAAUGUGUUGAAGCUUCAUUGGAGGAAUACCUAAGAAAAGAACUUCGAUUUGCAAUUUGCUGGGAAUGUGUUGAAGCUUCAUGAGAGGAAAAGGCAAGGAAACAACUCCGACCUGCUCUUGUGGCAGUAAAACCAAUUUGAAGACUUCAUGGACUGAUAGGAACCCAGCAAGGAGAUAUGUUGAAUGUGCUAAUGGCAAGGUAAGUGUGUGAAGAUAUAGGAAAUUCGUUAAAUUAGGUUAAUGUUUAAUUGUUUAGACAUUUAUCGGCUAAAAAGAAUUUGGAUAAUUUUUUUGUAGGUUGAUGGCUGUGGUUAUUGGAAUUGGUAUGAUGAAGAAAUGUGUGAGCGUUUGAAACAAGUCAUACCCGGUCUUUUAAGAAGAAUAAAUAGGGUGGAAACCGAGAAUGAAACUUUGCGGCAACAAAUUCUCAAGUUGCAAAAGAAAACUGAGAAAAUGGAGGAUAAAGUAAAAAAUUUGAAGGAGAAGCUUGGAAGAAAGAAUGUGAAAAAAUGGUCAUUGUUCUUUUUGUUAUAGCCUGGACAAUUGUUAAUGCAUCAAUGUGGAUUUGGGGGCCUAACAAGGGACAGAAGUUUGGAAGGCUGCAAAUUGAUGGCUACUAGAGUAUUGUUGUACUCCAAAUCCUAAAUCAGUGUUGUCAAAUGUUUUAAUACACAGCUCGUUUUUGUUGAGGUUGUAGUGUUUUUAUAUACCUCGCAAUUUUGGUUGGUGUUGUUUACACCAUGGAUGUUUGAAAUUAUAAUUUAUGAAUAAAAGACUGAAGUAUUAGUUCCAACAUAUGGGUGGUGCAAAAGAAAAGUAACUCACAAAUGUAGAAAACAUAAAGCCAAAUACAACAAAAGAGAUAAUUAUCACUAUCAUUCCAAACAGCUGCUUUACAAAAGAGAUAAUUGUCACAAAUGCAGAAAACAUAAAGCCAAAUACAACAAAAGAGAUAAUUAUCACUAUCAUUCCAAACAGCUGCUUUACAAAAGAGAUAAUUGUCACUGUCAUUCCAAACAACUGCCAACAAAGUUAGCCAUGUUUCACAUAUAAAUAAUCUGGAAUUGUCCUAGACAUAGAAUACAUCCAAACAAAAGCUAUGCAAACAAGUCCUUUAAUCUGAUCUUCCACUUCCACUUCUACUGCUCCUUGAUGUUCCAGCCCAUCUACCAAUCUUGAAUGGAGGCUCUUUGCCCAAGUACUCAUAGUUGGUGUUGAUCCUUAUCUUGUCAAUUUCAGACAGCUUUCUUUUUGAAUGAAGAGACUGUUUGUUGGCCGCUGUAGUAGACUGGUCGGUAUCAUUGACAGGCCUAACUCUCCUCACCUGUACACAAGUACAAUAAAUAUUAACAAUAGCUAUUUACCAUAGUAAAAUUAAAAAUAAAAUUAGAAAUAAAAUUUACACCUACAGGUGUCUUAGUCUUUCUAAUCUGCUGCUUUUUCGUACUACUAGUGGCAGCUUGUGCAUUACGUUCAGCAUGUGAACUAGUGUCAUUAUGGGAAGUAGUUUGCUCUUCAGCUCCAUGUGGCUGAGAAUUGACACAACUUGAAGAAUAUCCUUGAACUUCCACAUGAGCAAAAUCAGGCUCCUGAGAAUUAGCUCCAUGUGCUGUGCUUGAGCCAUUGUUGGUGCCUUUUGACUUUCUAGCAUGUUUAGGAGCUGGAGCAGGUUGACUGCAGCCUUCACCUCCAUUAUUUUCUGGAACACUUUUGCAGGUAGCAGCAUUGUGGCCUGCCUGACCACAUCUUCUACAGUGCAUGAUCACAUGCUUUCUUAAUUUUUGCACAUUAUUCGUUCGCACAUGAACACCACUUCUAUUUUCAGAACUAUCUUUUCUUCUUGCUUUCUUGGGCCUACCAGGUUGGACGCAUGCAAGUGGAGGAUCUAAUAUGGGAAUAUCACUCUGAGACCAUAGAGACUUUCCACUAAUUGGAUAUAGUACAUUCUCAUAUAUUUGAAAGAAUAGAUCUCUACUAUAACACUGAUCGGCAUAGUCAUUUGAGUUCCUACCAAUUUUUAAAAUGGCAAAAAUUGCAUGGCAGCAGGGGAGCCCACUAAUUUGCCACAACCUGCAUGUACAGGUUCUGUCUCUUAAGUACACAGCAAAUUGUUCCCCCUUAGGUCCCCUAACCUGAUAUCCCCCUUUUCCAUUUGAUAUUGACUUCCACUUCCUAGAAAACUUUUCCCUCUCCUCAAUCAAAGCCUUUAUUGCUGGUCCCACAGGACCACUAUAUUUUCUCAUCCAAUACACCCUAUUUGAUAUCCUUUCCAUUAUGAAUUGUCUAAUCCACUCAACCAUCCCAAUCACUGGCAACUCUCUAGCAUUUAAUAUAUGAGAAUUAAAUGUCUUUGAUAAAUUAUUAACCAGCAUGUCAGAUUUCAUGUGAAGUGAAAAAAAAGCCUUACACCAGUGAUGAGGUGGUGCAGCUCUCUUGACCCACGCGUGAGCUUGCUGGUCAUAUGCUCUAAGCUCUUCCAACGCUGCCUCAUAGAACUCUACUGUUGAUGCUACUGCAAUGCUCCAGAAUUUUUCUUUAAACACUUCACCAGGGUGCUUUUUCUUGAAAUUUCUGUACAUAUGCUGUACACAAUAUCUAUGGCCAACUUCUGGUAAUAACUCCAGCAGUGCACUAUCAAGACCCUAUAAAAGAGUUCUAAGUUUAGUCACUUACAAAAAUUAUCCUAUACAAUACAUGCUAUAAGGAUAAAGAGCAGUACUCCUAACCUUCUGUUGGUCUGAAAUAAAAGUGUAUUCACUACUAGUUGCUGGUAUUUCUAGAUCACCAAUCAGUAAAUUCAAAAACCAAAGCCAUUGUUCCCGAGCCUCCUUCUCAACAACUGUCCAAGCUAAUGGCCACCAACCAUUAUUUGGAUCUGCCCCAAUAGCAGUCAACAACUGCCCUGGAUAUGCCCCCUUAGUGUGACAGCCAUCAAGAGCAAUAAGGGGCCUACAUCCCUCUCUAAAUCCCUUUUUCAAUGGUCCCAGACAGCAGUAAAAUCUCAUGAAUCUGGGAUUACUUUCAGGAUCAGCUCUUGGUGAAUACUUGAUGUCUAUAGUGGUGUCAGGGUGAGUUUUUUGUAGUUCUGAUGUGUACCUCCCAACAUCAAUAUACUGCUGAGAUGCUGACCCUUUGAUAGCAGCCUUAGCCAUUGCAAGUGCUUUGUAACCUUUGUUUCUUGUGAUCUCGCAACUAUAUUGCUCAUCUAUGCUCUGUAACAAUUGCCUAACAGGCAUGUUCAUGUUGGAUCUAACAGACUCUUCAAACUUGUCGGCUACCCAAUUGGAUGUCAUGUUUUUGUUUCUCCAAGCAUGGCUGCAAUUGGUGUGGACAUCGUAAAUUGUUUUAACUACAAAGUCUUCAGUACCCAAAGCAGGAACGUGGCUAGCAUAAAUGUACCACUUACACGGAUCUGCACAUUUAGCUCUCAUUCUUGUUUUGUCACUUGUAUACAUGUAUACAGGUCUUCCACUUAUAAUUGCAUAAUUUCUGAGAGCAUCUCUGAACUAUUUUUUGGUUCCAAAUUUUUGCCCAACAUGAAAAUGGGGAUCUGUUCCAUCUCUGCUAGCAUUGAAACUAGUGUAUCUCACAGGAACAUCUUCAUCUUCUGAAUCUGGAUCACUAUUUAAUUCCCCUUCCACAAUAUCAUCCAAUAGUGGGUUGUGUUCCGCUCUAUUUUCACAUGCUUCAGCUUCAGUUUCAGGACCAGCUUCUGUUUCAGCUUCAGUUGCUGCACCUUCUCUAUUUUCACAUGCUUCAGCUUCAGUUGCUGCCCCAGUUUCUGUUACAGGUUCAGUUGCUGCUCCUUCAUUUGUUGCACCUUCACCUACUGCACCUCCAUUUGAUGCACCUUGACCUGCUGCACCUCCAUUUGAUGCACCUUCAGUUGCAGUACCAUUAUUUGAUACACCUCCUUUUCUAACUCUUUUUGUAGCACCACAAAGGGCCUCCGACGUACGAGAUUUUCUCCUAUCUCUGUUUCUUCUAUUCCUGGAACUGUCAUUGUCCCUCCUAUUCUGACUUGAUGGAGUUGGGUCAUUAUCAACUUGGCUAUGCAUUUGUGGCUCGGACUCCUGUGUAUUGUUGUUGGCCUGCUUACAUCUCCUAGAAGAAUUUUGGUAUGCAUCUUCAUCUUCACCAGCAUGGUCAUGUGUCCACUCUAAAGCUGCAACUGAUCUACUAGCUUGGACUCCUUUUCGUUGUCUAUGAGGUAUUGCUGCCUGUUGUGUAAGAAUUUCACCAUCAUCAAAGAUCUCCUCUAUUACCAUUGAACUCUUUGUCUGUGAUAACUGUUCCAAUUCCUUUUUCUUCUGCAACUCAUAUAUUUCCUCAACUGUUAAAUGAUGACAGUAUACUUCCAUCAACUUGUACUCAUUAACCCAACCACAGAAUUGCAUAAUGUCUUCAUCCGUUUGAAGUUCCAUCAGUCCAUGGUUCAAAUCCCCUCUAGGGUCAAUGUAAUAAUAUAACAUAGUAUCGUUGUGCCCACACCUUUCCACCAUUUUAUUUAUUUCAUGAAUCGACAUCAAAUCAGCAUGGCAAAGAUCGAAAUAAUCAAUCUCUCCACCCACAUAACUCUUGUAUUUCUCUCCUUCAAUUUUACCGCCGUGGUGGAGUUUAAUCGAAAAUGCAGGUCUAUCAGGAACUGCAACAACAACAACAAAGGCAAACAACAUGAUUCUUGUUAAUCACCAUUUUUUAUUGUCAUACAUGCUGUUCUUCUUAUAAAAAUACUUAACCCCCAUUUGUUAAUUAACCCGAAUCAGACAACUGCAUUUUGAAAAAUUUAUUUUUUAUGAUUAAAUUACAAGAUAGAGGGUUCUUGUAGGACCCUUUGCAACCCACUUAUACGACAAAAAAGGAAGUCAAUCGUUCUUAUGUCAUUUUCUAAACAACCGGAUCACUUCAGCAAACCCUAAACCCAAUAAAAACUCUCACUAAAUACUUCUUUAUACUCAAAACACAAACAACACCAUUAAUCAUAGGAAAUGUGUAUGGAUUGUAAUAUUUCUUACCGUAUAAUGUGUACGGAUCAAUGAAUUCAUCCCUUUGCCUUUUCACCCAUUUCGCUAUCAUCGAUGACCGAUUCUUCACUGCUAAUCUUCGUCUUUUGCCGGUUCUUUGAGUCUUGUCACUGAUUACUGUGAGAAGAAUGGAUCAAUUUUGAUACUUUUCACUGUCAUUGUCCACAUUUCCAAAAAUUUUACCAGCAUUCCAAAGCCCCACAGUUAAACCUUUCACUUACCAGAUGAAACUCUUCCCACUAAGGCUGUACAGACGAAUUUGCCCCUCAAAAAGUUGAUUUCCGUUUCUCCUAACGGCACAAAUACACGGAGUGACCAAAACGGUACAGAUUUACUAGUUCAGUGACAUUUCGCGCUAAUAAAAAAGUUUAGUGACCAGAACCAGCACUUUGAAAUAGUUUAGUGACAUUUCGCGCAAUUUGCUCAAUAUUAUUUGACAAUGCUAAUCCUAAAAAAUGAUCACGUGCAAGACACGUGGUGGAUUCUAGCCAAAAUUUGAUGUAUGUGAAAUACAAAAAAUAGUUAAGAAUAUAAAAAAGUGAAUGAAAAAUAUAUUUAUAAUACCAACAAAACAAUAUUUGAAAUAAUAUGUGUAUUCAAAAUGUUCUAACCAAACAUAUUUAUAUACUUCUUAAUUAAAAGAAUCAUACUCUUUAUAUCUCAAAAUUUAUUCCUCUAUAUCUCGUGAGAAGAUACACAAACAAACAUACACAACGUGCAUAAACCAAUUUUAAAAGAAUUAUCUAAAUAGGGGUUUAAUGCUCCAUGUUUCAAAAGCUUGUUUGCCUAAUAAAAUAAUUCAUCCAUGAAAACAAUAUCAUUGAUUAGAUCACUAAAUCCAAGCGCUCUUUGAUAUGGUGGAUAAACCAUCACAUAUAUUUCUAAUGGAAUGUGAUAAUAUCUCAAUAAUUACAAAUGCUAGUUAAUCUUCGCAAAAUUUAGAAUUUUCAAAAAUAUUCUAUAACCUUUCUUAUUGUUACUAAUUACUAUUCAAUUUUGCAAACACAUUUGAUAGAAGCUCUCAAGCGUUACACUCUUUUUCGACAAAUAACUAUUAACAUGUAUUCAAAUUUGAGAUUUUGGGCAUUACAAUUUUCUCUAAAUCGUCUUGUUUAUCUUUAAAUGAUGCAAUUAUGCAUUUAAAGAUAACACGUAUCUAUACUACUCGACAUUUAAAGAUGACACAAUCAUGCAUUUAGAGAUAACAUGUAUCUACACUACUUAACCUUUUCUACUAAAAUAGCGUACGUUACAUUUCAAUAUAUAUUGUCGUUAAUGAUUCAAAAUAAUUUAAUGUACGUUAGAUUUCAAUGUGUAUUGCCUUUUAUGAUUCAAAUAAUUUAAUGUACGGUACACUUCGAUUUAUAUUAUCUUUUACGAUUCAAAACAACCUAAUAUACGUUACAUUUCAAUUUAUAUUGUCUUUUGGAAAACUCAUUCAAAACGUUUCUCACAUUUUGUAAAAUAAUUUUUUUCCAUGUUUCACUUUUAAAAGUAUAAUUUUACGUCCCUUACAAAUUCAUAUUAGUCAAAUUUGGUUCCUAUUCAUGUUUUCAACUAGUUUUUUGUUGGAAUUUACCACUUGCCUUGCAUGUGAUAAUUUUUUAACGGCAAAAUUAUCAAAUAAUAUUUCACAUAAUCCAAUCCAUGGUUCUUCACAUUUUACAAAAUGAAUUUUUUUUGUCCCUCACAACUCACAUUUCACAAAAUGAAUUUUUUUGUCGCUCAUUAAUCAUGUGUAUGAAUAGCUAUUUUUUAACCUAGGUACAUGUUUAUUUGAUUUCAUUUGAAUAGUACAAAUAGUAUGUAAUAUAUCCCUAUUUGAUUUCACCUACAACUAUAAUUAAUUGUAGGUGAAAUCAAAUAGAAAUAUAUUAUAUGCUAUUCAUACUAUUCAAGUGAAAUCAAAUAAACAUGUACAUGAAUUUUCAAAAAUAAGAAAAGCUAUUCAUAUACAUGAUUAACAAGGGAUGAAAAAAUUUAUUUUGUAAAAUAUGAGGGAUAAAAAAAUUUAUGUUGUAAAAUAUGAGACACUAUGGAUAGGAUUAUGUGAAAUAUUAUUUGACAAAUUUGACCCUAAAAUAUGAUCACGUGCAAGACACGUAGUAGAUUCUACCAAAAAUUAGUUGAAAACUUAGAUAGGAAUCAAAUUUGACCAAUGUGAAUUUGUAAGAGAAGUAAAAUUAUAAUUUUCAAAGUAAGGGACGAAUAAGUUAUUUUAUAAAAUGUGAGAAAUGUUUUGAACAAUUUUUCCUUGCCUUUUCCUAUUGAAAAUAAUCUAAUUUAAAUUACAUUUCAAUCCAUAUUGCCUUUUCCCAUAAAAAAAUAACAUGUCUUUGUAUAUAUUUCCAAUCUUUAUCGUGUUUUUCUAUUUAAAAUAAUGCUUAACCACCUUGCAUCAUAAAAUUUGUCUUGUUAUAUAAUUAAUAAAAAAAUUAUAUUUUUACUUGCAAUGUAAAUAUAUACACCACAUCAUAAAAUAUGCUACAUUUUUAUUUCACAAUUUUUUUCCAACAUUGAGUGUGUUUGGAUAGAGUUUUAUUCAAAUUGUAUUACAAACAUAAUUUUUAAUCACUUUUCUAUCUCAUAUAUAUAUAUCAUAUCACAAAACGUGUUUAGUGUUAUUCUAAAGGGAAAAUCGUCCGAAACGUCCCUCAUAUUUUAUAAAAUGACUUUUUUCAUCCCUCACUUUUAAAAGUGUAAUUUUAUGUCCCUUACAUAUUCAUAUUGGUCAAAUUUAGUCCCUAACUAGGGGCCUGUUUGGAACCUGAGUUUUUUGGGAGUUUGUCUAAAACUUUACUAUAGUGCACUGUAGAAGUUUUUCAAAAAAUUUUGUAAAAGUUUUUUAUAAGGUGAAAAUUUUUUUUGUAAGGGAAAAACUUUUUUUCCUUUUCUUUUUUUUUCUCUUUCUCUUUUUUUUUUUCUUCUUUUUUCUUUCCUUUUUCUUUUCUUUCUUCUUCUUCCCCGUUACCUCUGCCUCCCAGCAGCAACGCAGCCUGCUCCACCCCCUACUCCGCCACCGGCCCCACCUCUAGCACCUCCGGCCACGAUGUUCCUGAUUUCGCACCCCAACAGCUGCUGCUCCACCGUGUGCCUCUCCACACUGUCCGUCCCCAUUCCGUCCUCCAGCACAUUGAAUAGCGCCGAGUAGUAAUGCAGCGCCUCCACGAACCGCCGCAAGAAGCUUCCCCCGUGGCUCAGGUCCUGCUGGUUGCUGGCGCGUCGAGACAGUUCAUGGCCACGCACUCGGCGCAUUGCAGGAGGAGGCCCAGGAGACAGAGGCCGGAGGACUUGGUGUCGCCAGCUGCUGCUCCACCCAAGGAGGCGGUUGCGGCGGCGGCUUCGAGCUCAGCAACAUCGUCGUCCUAGUUGUCUAAGUCGAUGGUUCUAUCAGCGGAGGUGGAAGGGUUGUCGGGGCCGAGGGAGGAGUUGCGGCGUUUGAGAAGGAGAGGUCUUCGUGGUGGGCAGAGGAGGAGCGCUUGGACUGCAUAGAGGAGGAGGAGUUGGAGGAGGGACGAGCGUUUCUGCUGGGGGGAAGGAGAAUGGGAAUGGGAACGGAAUUAAUGGGGUUGGAAGCAGAAGUAGCAGUGGAAUUGGAGUGGAGCAAACUCUGGAGCAUGAUAGAUGGAUAGAUUGAAUUGGAAGCGGUAAUUGAACUGGAGUCUAGCCCGGAGAGGUGGUGGUGGGUUGGGAUGGGAGAGGAAGAAGAAAAAAAAUGGAAGGAAAUUUUUUUUUUUUUUUUUGUGUUUUGUAUAUUUUGAAGUGGGUAGGUAAAAAAUUUAGAGAAGUUUUUUGGGGUUCCUGUAGCAAAAGUUGUUAAAAAACUAGUAGGUAAAAAACUUGCUUAAAAACCUGACUUCCAAACAGGCCCUAGGUUUCCGAUCAUUUUUUGGCCGGAAUCCAUCACGUGCAGGGCAUGUAAUCAUUUUUAAGGGUAAAUUUGUCAAAUUAUAUUUUUCAUAAUCUAAUCUAUAGUCCUCCACAUUUUAUAAAACAAAUUUUUUCGUCCCUCACAUUUUAUAAAAUGAUUUUUUCAUCCCUCACAUUUUACAAAAUGAAUUUCUCAAUCCCUCAUAUUUCAAAAAAUGAAUAUUUCCAUCCCUCACUAAUUAUGAGUGUGAGGGAAACCCUAAAAAAUAUAUAUAUAUAUGUGUGUGUGUGUGUGUGUGUGUGUGUGUGAAUACAUUUUGUUUAAACACAUGUAUAUGUCUAUUUGAUUUUACUUAAUAAUAUGAAUAGCAUAAAUAUAUGUAUGUGUCUAUUUGAUUUCACUUAACAAUACGAAUAUCAUAUAUUAUAUGCGAUCAUUUGAUUUCAUCUGGUAUUAUCUAGUAAAAAAUCUUGCAUUCAUUGUCAAGUUGGCCAAUAAAGCUAUUUUCGGUCAAAAUACAAUAAGAAUAUGCAAAUUAAAAUUCUAUUGGUAAAUAUUAGUCAUAAUCAUACAAAAAAGAGAAGAUAGCCCACAAGUCGGGGCCAAUUACAUACAUGUGUUUAUGCUAUUAUUAUUAAGUAAAAUCAAAUAGACAUAUACAUGUGUUUAAAAAAAAUGUAUUUACACAUAAUUAGUGAGAAAUGAAAAAUUCAUUUUUUGAAAUGCGAGGGAUGGAGAAAUUCAUUUUGUGAAAUGUGAGGGAUGAAAAAAAUUAUUUUAUAAAAUGUGAAGGACGAAAAAAUUUAUUUUAUAAAAUAUGGAGGACUAUAGAUCAGAUUAUGUAAUAUAUAAUUUGACAAAUUUACCCUUAAAAAAUGAUCACGUGCCUUACACAUGAUGGAUUCCAGCCAAAAAAAGAUCGAAAACUUAGUUAGGGAUUAAAUUUGACUGAUGUAAAUAUAUAAGAGACAUAAAAUUAUACUUUUAAAAAUGAGAGACGAAAAAAAUUAUUUUAUAAAAUAUAAGGGACGUUUUGGACGAUUUUCCCUUUACAUAUUUCUCAAUUCGAAAAACCAUACUCAUAUCUCAAAAUUUGCUCCUCCAUGUCUCAUGAGAAGAUGCACAAACCAACACACACUACACUCCGCACAACGCGCACAAACUAAUUUAAAGAAAAAAUUAUCUAAAUCUGCGUUUAGUACUUCAUGCUUCAAAAGCUAGCGUGUGUCUCAAGUCCGACAUAAGCCACUGAGCCUCUCCGCACACACUCACACAGUCUCUCUCUUUCUCUCCCCACAUUCCACAGUCCCAACAGUGGAGAGAGAAAUGAUGAGAUGAGAUGAGAUGAGAUGAGACAGAUUAGAGAUACAGACACUGCCAUUACUGACGUCUACGGUUUCCUCUUCUUCCAACUAGCUCACAGCCAAAAAGCAACGAACACAACAAAGUGAAGCAUACCUCCGUUUCUCCCUUUUGUCCCCAUUCUCGCCUCCGUACUCAUCCUCAAAGUGUCCGUUUUCUUCUUCCAUAGCUUCAUCCUCUGUCUCUCAUACUUGUAUAUAAUUCUCCUUGUAAAUCCCAGUCUAUGUUGUUCACAUUUUGAGAUAUCUUCUUGUAAAUCCCAGUACUUCUUUUUCUCAUUUUUACAUAAUUUAGUUGCAUAUUUCGAGUAUGUAAUGGAGUAUUUUAGUUUUGUUGUUGUUGCUGUUGGUAGGUUCUUUUGUACGACUGCCCAUUAUUCUAGAAGUCCCCUGUUUUUUUUUGUUUAUUUUUUUUCGCUUGCUACAAUUUGUAAAACAAUGACCUUUUUGAAAUUUGAGUUUACCAUUCAGGCCAAUCUUGGGCUAUUAGAAAAUUGAGUUUUUUUUUCCUUUAAUUUAUUAUAUUGAUAUAAUGGGAUGAAUUUGACAGAGGAAAGAAAGAAAAUAAAAGGGUUUAUGAAAUGAAGACAUGCUUUAUUUUUUGGUUGUUUGUUAGAUUAGUUCUGAAAGUAGGAAGAUGCAGGGGUUUCUAAGGAAACAAGAACGAUGCAGAAUUUUCUUGAAGUUUAAAUACUCUUUAAAGAUUCUAGACUCAGAGUUGUUGCUCUUUGCUUCUUUUUUUUUUCAGUUUUUUUGAAAUGUAAUGGGGGAUUUUCUGGGUUUUUAGCUUUCCUUUUUUUUUUUUUGGUUCUGUGUUUAAGAGGAUAUACUGAAUUGUUCAUUUUGCAGCUGUUUUGGGUAAUUGAGAUCAGCAGUCAAAGAAAUGGAUGGAAAUCAUCAAAUGGAGGUGCAUUACAUGAAUACUUUUGGCUAUCCUUAUAAUGCUUCAGACAGUUUUGUGGACUUUUUUGGAGGUCUUCCACAAGCCCCUUUACCUUAUGUUCACCCUCCUCCACCAAUGCCUCAUGAUCAUCAGGUAAUCUUUUCCUUUCCUUUUUUUUCAGGGCCCAAAUUUUUUGCAAUUUCUGUUUGCAAUUUCCUUUCCUUUCCUUUUUGGGGGGCACUGCAAUUUCCUUUCCUUUUUUUGCAAUUUUUUCCUUUCCUUCUUUUUUUCAGGGCCCAACUGUAAUUUCAUGAAAUAGUGAUGCGCAGUGCUUAAGAAUAAUAACUAAAUGUUGUUCUGCUCUAAAACAGAAAAGAAUGUUGUUUUCCUAGUUUAGGUUGUCCUAUCAGAUCUUUUAUGAAAGCUAUAUACAUAUCAAUGCUCAUAAUCGUUUCCUUAGUGGUGGGAUUCUGAGGAUAUACUACUUCACUAUUACAUGUCCAUAUAUUUCUGCUUGUUAGUUGGAUAUCAUUUACCUGAAUUGCUUGAAAGAUGUAAAGCUGUUAAACUAUGAUGCCUGGCUCUGCUUCAAUGUUUUAUGGUCAAGCUAAUGAAUGCUCAGCUCUAGUGUAACAAGUGGGAUACGUGUUAUGCUGUCUCAUUGUUACAUUUCAUUUCUUUUUCUUAUAAAAAAUUUGACCUAGUUUGUUCCGUACUUGUUCAUUACAAUGAGAUAUAUGUAGCUAUCUGCAGUUUGUUAGUGCAAAUGUGUCAGGAUGCCAUUGACUCCAAAGUAUAAUUUUGAGAGGAAAGAGUCUUGGUUUCACUUUUAUAUGGUUUUUUCAUAUGAGAAAGGGGCAAUUGAUGCAAAAUAAAUUGUCAAUUUGUAUACUGCACUUGCACGAUUGAUUGUAUUACUUUUUGAAAAUUUUACUGUUUAUUGUCUUUGCUUAAACACUGCCGAGCAUUUGAGAUGGAUGGGAAUGUGUAAGUUUCCUUUGUGAUGGUGAAUGUGUUUCAUUGGUGUUUUAUUUGCAGGAAUCUGCAUAUUGGUCAAUGAAUAUGAAUUCUUACAGAUUUGGGUUAUCUGGCCCAGAAAAUGCUCCCUAUUAUAGCCCUUACAUUGUAAAUGAUGACUUUAUGAGGAUGGACUACAACCGGAGACCAUGGGAUUAUCCUUCUGUUAUGAAUAUACAAGAACCGCCAGUUGUAGAAAUGCCUUCGGAAGAGAUCCAAGCCCCCAGUAUGGAGGCAAACCCAACGCCCAGUAUGGAGGCCAUCCCAGAAGAAUGUGAGUUCCAGAUUUUGUUCUGUUGUUUGGCCCUUACAGUUUAAACAAAUGAAAACGGGGAAAAUAUCAUGUUGACUUUCUACGUUUCUUGGUCUUAAGGGUGUUACUUCCUUUGUUGAGGUAGAUCUCUUUUCAGUUUCAUUACAAGUUUUUGUUGCUUGGUAAUGCAAUUCUGACCUUAUCUUCGAUGAGUUGUUCAUACUUAGCAUUCUCAUUUUCUAUCCUUUGCACAGCUCAAACCUCUGCAGACAACAUUAAUCAGCAAGAUUCUGGUGGUACUCAGGUAUGUAAAUCGAUUAUAUACUUCUUUAUCUCUUCAUAAUUCUCAGCUUAUCACUUACGAAUAGGAAAUAUUAUUUUGCUUGGCUGUGAGGAAGAUACUGAUUUGUACUUUCUUUUUCCUACACUGUUGCAGGCUGUUUGGGAAGAUAAUAUUGAUCCUGACAACAUGACUUAUGAGGUACAAAUGUUUGAAGUUUUUGCAUUUUGUAAACUUAUAUUCUUUAUGUGCUACAAUGACCUGUGUUCUUAUUAGAACCUAUAAUGGUUGAAAUUCAAUCAGCAAGUAUGAGGCUUCUCUUAUGCCCUGUUCAGUGGAUAAGACUGUUAUUAGACUGUUUUAGUGCGAAAUGCUGCAUCAAAAAGAUUUUUGGCUGGUGAUUGCCAUGAACUUUGGUGAAUGUUUAUGCAAACUUCAUUUCUCGAAGUCACAUUAUUGGAAAAUCAAUUAAAAGAACAAAAUCUUCUCUCCAGAGUUCAACCAGUUGACCAGUUUUCGUAACCAAAGAAAGACGUGCUUGACGUGAAUAUCAAUCUUCUUUUAUGUAUUCUGCCAUGUGGGUUUUAAGUCCCAAACUCUUAAACUAAAUUCACAAGGAAUAAAAGAAAGGACUUCUUCAUUGUGCUUCUCUAACUGUUGCCGUUCUGGUAACUGACUCCAUAAUUCCAAGUUCUAUUCAUGGCUUUUUGCUGACUAUGUUGUUGAACAUCCAAAAUGGUCUUCAUUUUCAUUUCUCUAGCUUCUGGCACUAGAAUAGCAAAAUAAGAGUUCAGUAUUUGGUGUAGCUGCAUUAGCAACAGCAGGGUGAGUAAAUUUUACAAGUGUAUGAUUACACAAAAUGAGGAAUUUGCUAUAUUUAUUCCCUUUAGACAGAUUAAGUAAAACACCUGAUAUCUCGUCUCGGUGUACAGAUUCUUACAAGCAAAUGUUAAGAAUGACUAGACAAACUGUUUGGAGAUGAAAUCUAAUUAUGAUAUUAUUUUUAGGAAUUACUUGAGUUGGGCGAAGCAGUGGGGACUGAAAACCGGGGACUUUCACAAGAACUUAUUGAUUUACUUCCGACCUCAAAGUACAAAUCUGGGGGAAUUUUCUCCAAAAAAAGAUCUACUGAGAGGUAUAUUCUUACUAAGAUGUAUUUCACGUUGAAUGUGCCACUGUGCUUUCUUCUUGCUGGUGAGCCACAGCUGUUAGCCUCUAUCCUUUCUGACACUCUGCCUUUCUCUCUAUCUGUACCUGUUUACAUUGGUUACUUUUGUCACAUAUCAUUCAAAUGUGGUCAAAAAUCACUCUAUCCACAAGAAAUUAUGUUUAGCUGUGAAAUAAACAUUUGAGAAGUUCUUUGUAAGAUUCGUAUGGUACCCAGUCUAGUGCAUACAAUAACCCUUGGAAAGAGCAGUUCUGCUUGCUGCAGUAAUGUAGCCUCCACCUAAGCAUUCUCAACUGCAUUAGGCAGAAGCCCUGCGGAUCAGGUUUCCCUGUUGUUAUGCCUUGCCUAUGCAGGGUGAUCAAUUAUGAUACCCAUUAUGUGCUCACCAGCUGAUCACUGACAAAGCAAUGGCUUGUGAAAAUGAUAAGUAACACUAGUUGAUAUUAAUGCAGUUCCAUGAUUGUUUUCAAGAAUGCAUUUCAAGAUUUGAGCAAAUAAAUCAAGAAUGGGUUUCUUGACCCCAACAAGGAAAUCAGUUACCUAACCUUAUCUACUCUUUGGAAAAUAUACAGAGUCCCCAGUAUCACAAAUACCUGAUAAUGUAUGAUACUGCUGCAUUCAAUGUGAUACCAGAAUCCAGCAUUUCUGCUUCAUUUCCUUUGUAAACGGUAGCAGGUGCCUCGGUAUUUUUUUGUUAGUUUCUAGCUGAGGCUACCGAGCCUGUGUCACUCUUUUACUUGUGUUUUCUGUAAGACUAAGUACCUGCUAGGAAAGAGUAAUAGAGAUCUAUUAUGGGGCUGCCCUUUCUUUUAUAUCUAAAUGUGUUGGCCCUUGUCAAGUUCUGAAAGAAGAAAGAAAACAUAAAGAAUAGUGAAAGAUCAUGAAUGAACAAAAUUAGAAGGUUUCUAUCAUUCUCUGCUCCUCUCUCUCUCUCUCUCUCUGUCACACACACACACACCCACACACACACAUCUAGGUCAGGUUCACUCAUUUUGGUUGCUGCUUCAAUUUUUUUCGUCUAAUAAUUUAAUUGGUUGUCAUUUUUUUUUUAAAAUUUUUGCGACCCAGAUGUGUCAUCUGCCAAAUGAGGUACAAAAGAGGGGACCGGCAAAUAAAUUUGCCAUGCAAACAUGUAUACCAUGCUCAUUGUGGAUCGAAAUGGCUCAGAAUUAACAAGGUAUGGUAAAUAUUUUUGAGCAGAGUUCGCCUUAAAGUCUGAUAUUUGUUUGCUAAUACAUGUAUGUAUCUUGUUGGUUUUGCCAGACAUGCCCAAUAUGCAACACUGAAGUAUCAAGUGAAGAAUCCAACCAAUGAAGAUUUCAAAUAUCAAAUGGCAAAAUAGAUUAACAGCUGCAAUAGUUUUCCCUUUUUAACAUACAUAGAGCUAGUUUAUUUUUGACCUUGUUGUUAUAGUUGGGUUUAGAAUUUUGUAAUGUAGAAGUUUAUAGUAGCCUUUUGUACAAGGGAAGCAAUGGAACAGGAAGCUUGAAGGAUAUAGGUCCUUGAAUGCUUAUUGAUGAUUAGCUCCAUGCUCUCUUCAACAGUUUUAUUGAUUAGCUUGAUAGCUUCAGGGGAAAUAUAUUUCUUGCUGCCGGAAGCUAAUGGAAAAAGUUGAUCGAUUUGCUUCAUUUCUUCCAAAUAUGUACAUUGAAAUCACAGAUACCGCUUAGAACUGAAUACAGGGUAGGUGACUAUUAGUCAGAAGUCGUUUUUAUCAGUGUCCAUUUGCAGCCUCCCCCCCGCCCCCCCCCCCCCCAAAAAAAAAACAAAAAAAAACCAAAAAAGAUACGUAUACGUAGUAGUUGCUCCUGAUGUUAUCAAUAAUUUUGAGCUGUAGCCUGGGGACAGCCUAAUUGGAUAAAGACUUAAUUCUGUAGAAAUUUCCUCCAAUGAAGGCAAUUUGGGGAUAGUGUUUUGAAAAUUGGAUUAAUAGAUCGGUUCAACCAGUUGAAUUGCAAAGAGGUCAUGGUGUUGGUUUGGUUUCAUUUAAAACUUGAACAAGACAAAAAGAAAUUUUGUUUCUUGGAAGAAACCAAAAAAAUUGGUCAAAGAAUGGUUGAAUGGUAAAAAUCAGUAAAAUGUGGACUUCUGAACUUGUUUGUUAGUAAAAUUUCUCCUUUUUCUUGAAUUUUUAAUCGGAAUUUUUAUUUCUUAUAUACAUGAAAAAAAGUUGAACUUUUAACUUGAAUGGUUGAACUGUGAACAAAAAAUUACUCAUCCAGGUUUAAAAACGUUGCCGUGAAAAUGAGAAGUUCAUUUUGAAAAGGCCUAUACAGAAAUUUUCAAAUAGCUAAAGGUGUAAAAUCAUGGAGGAGGGUUAGUUUACUAUUUUCUUAGGCACAAGAUCAUUGUUUAUCCGUUAAUCAUGAUAAUCAAAAUAGAGUAUUCUUUUCAUGCACGUAUGACAAAAGCAUAUGAAGUUCAGGAAUAUAGUAAAAUGAUGCAUGAGAAAUUCCUUGUGAGAUGCUAAAAGGGACUUCAAAUGGGAAAGAAAAAAGCUUCAAAAAAAUUGGGAUGGUUGAAUCGGAAUUUCAUUGCAGACAUGAAACAACUCGCUCCUUUUCUUUUCUCUUUUUACAAUUACAAAUAGUAAGUCUUGAAUCUAAUUUGUAUAUUAAAAAAAAUUAUCAUAUAUAACACAAAAGCCUCUCCAUUUGUCUCUCUAUUUACCAUAUAUAACACAAAAGAUUACCAUCGAUUCCUUCUAGUCGAGCCUCUCGAUUUGUCAUUAUUCCUGAGACGUAGAAAUAAUUAAAGUCCUCAUCCCACCUAAAAUUCGAGAAAUUUGUUGAGAGUUGGAAUAAAUUUGUAAAUCGGGUUGACUAAUCCAUUUUAAAUGUAAAAUAUUUCUACCAAGUUAAAAUUGACUCACAGUAGGAUUGGGUUAAUUGUGAAAACUAGUGGGAGCCCAAUUAAUGCAUUCAGGGGUAAUUCUGAGCACUUUCAUACACUCAAGCGAACAUUUUCACAAAACAAUCUUUUCAAGUGUAAAUGUAGAAAAUAACUGGGGUCUAAAAAUAAAAAACAAAAAUGGUAACAAACUCAUUAUGGGUACCAUGGGCCAGGAUCACCUGCGAGCAAUCCACGUUCAGUCAUGACGUAGUCUGCUUUUGGAAUACCCAGACCCAAAACAUCCCACACCCAAAUUUACACAUGCUAGUUUUGGGCGGGCCUCUUCUUGCCAGGCUUCGAUGGGAGGUGCUCUAUGGAGGUCCAAAAUGUAAGACAUAAAAAUUCGUCAGAAAACAUACCAAAAUCAAGUAAAAUUUUAUCCCAUUUUGUGCAAUUAUUAUGGGUCCGUUUGGAUUAGCUGUUUUUGGGGUUGUUUUUCAAAAACAAUACUGUAGCAUUUCGUUUUUGAAAUACAAGUCCGUUUGGAUUAGUUGUUUUUGGGGUUGUUUUUCAAAAACUAUAUGAAAAACUUUUACUGUAGAUGUUUUUUGAAUUAUUUUUAGAGGUAUUUUUAAAACAUAUUUUUGAGUAUUUUAUAAUUUAUAAUUUAUAUAUUUUUAUAUUUAUAUACAUUUAUGCAUUUAUAAUACAUUUAUAAAUAUUUAUAAAUAAAUAUAUUUAUAUAUUUAUAUAAAAAUAUAUCAAUAUAUUAUAAAUGUAUUAUAUUAUACAUAAUACAUAAUAUAAAUAUAUUUAUAAAUGUAUAUUAUUAUAAAUGUAUAAAUUAUAAAUGAAUAUUAUAUAAAUGUAAAAAUUAUAAAUUUUAUAUUUUAUAUAAAUAUAUAUUUAUGCAUUUAUAAUACAUUUAUAAAUAUUUAUAAAUAAAUAUUUUUAUAUAUUUAUAUAAAAAUAUAUAAAUGUAUUAUAUUAUAUGUAAUACAUAAUAUAAAUAUAUUUAGAAAUGUAUAAGUGUAUAUUAUUAUAAAUAUAUAAAUUAUAAAUGAAUAUUAUAUAAAUGUAUAAAUUAACAUAUCAUAAAUAUAUAUUAAUAUUAUGUAUAAAUGUAUUAAUAUAAUUAAUAUAAAUAUAUAAAUGUAUUAAUAUUAUGUAUAAAUGUAAAAUUAAUACUAUGUAUAUUAAUAUAAAUGUAUCAAAAUACAUAAUAUAAAUGUAAAUUAUAAAUAUACAUAAAUAUAUAUAUUAUGUAUAAAUGUACAUUUAUAUAAAUGUAUAAUCUAUAUAAUAUAUAUUAUAUUAUAUUAUAUAUAAUUUUAUAAUAUAUAUUUUUUGUAUAAAUAUAUAAAAAUAUAUAUUAAAUAAAUAAAUUAUAUAUAUUAUGAAUAAAUAAAUUAUAUAUAAUAUGAAUAAAUAAAUAUAUAAAUACAUUAUUUAUAAAUAUUUAAUAUAUAUAAUAUACAUUAAUAUUAAUUAUAAAUAUUUGAAUAUUAAUAAAUAUGGUGUUUAUAUAAUAUUUCAAUUUGUAAUAUUUAUUGUAUAUUUCAUUAUAUAAAUAUUUAUAUAAUAUAUAAAUAUAUAAUAUAAAAUUUUGCAAUUUGUAUAAUAUACAUAAUAUUGUAUAUAUAUAAUAUACAUAAUAUACAUUUAUACAUUAUUACAUAUUAUGUAUAUUAUAUAUUAUACAUAACUUUAUUAUACAUUAUUAUACACAAUAAUGUACAUAAUAAUGAAAGUACAUUAAUAAUGUAUAUAUUAUAAUAUAAUGUACAAAAUAUAUUAUGUAUAAAUAUUUAUACAUUUAUGUAUACAAUAUUACAUACUAUGUAUAUUAUAUUAUAUUAUGUAUAAUAUUAAAGUAUGUAAAUAUUUAUAUAAUAUAUAAUAUAUAACAUAUAUAACAUAUAAAUAUAUAAUUUUCAAUUUGUAUAUUUCAAUUUACAUAUUCAAUUUACAUAUUUCAAUUUAUAUAUUUCAAUUUAUAUUAUAUUAUUAUAAAUUGAAAUAUACAUAUUAAAUUUGUAUAUUUGGAGUUGUUUUUGAUAUAAUGUUUGGAUAUGGGUGUUUUUGGAAUUGUUUUUGAAAUACACAUUUACUGUAGCAUUUGGAAUGUGAAAAACAGUUUUUCAAAAACAGGUGCAAAAACAAGGAAUCCAAACGAACUAUGUUUUUUGGGGUACGAUUAUGUUACGUUAUUAUAUUUAAGAACAAUUUUGUUAUAUAAAUAAAAUAUUUCACACAUAUAUUUAGUUCAACAAUUAACGAGGUUGUACGUCAAAAACUGUAACAUGUAUAGUAAUUGGAUAGAAAAUAACAGUAGUUACCUGUACUCUCUUUGAAAGUUACCAUGCAUAAAUCUCAAAUAUCAUUAAGAGACAACACAAAUUUUGUUCAAUAUUACAUGAAGGGAGUAUAAGAUUGCUGUGUAUGAAUUAGUAGUUAAACUAACUCUUUUGAAUUUAAAUAAAGUACAUAUUUUGCAAUAUCUUGCUUCAAAGCUGGAAAGUCAGCCCAUGGCUAUUCUUUGGCUUCUUCGCUAGAAGAACUUUUUUUGUCUUGGUCCCAAUUCAAUACUAAACAAGUCCGAACUAAUUGAAUACUUGUAUCAGAAAUUUCUCAUAUUGGUUUGCCGUUUCCAUAAAGGAUAUAAUUGACAACCUGAAGUCGAAUAUUGUCUCGUUCCUGCAACAAUGGGGGGGGGGGGGGGGGGAAGUAUUGCUAAAUUUAGACAGUCUCUUUUCUCAUAUGUAAUUACAGGACGAAUCAAAACAAAAUACCCCUUUUUGCUAGGUGUAAUCCGGUGGACCCUUGAGGGCAAAUCGCCAAUUUAAUCCCUAAACAAUUUCACUUAAAUCAAUUUCGUUCUUUAUGAUUAUUUUUCACCAAUUUGGUUUUCAAAUAAUUUUAUCAGAUUUAAUGUAGAACUUAUUGGACGAUGCCACCACAUUUUAUAUAUUUCAUAUGGCGGGGCAAGGGUAUAAUUGGAAUGACAAGUUCGACUGUCUAAUUAUAGGGAUUAUAACCGAGACUUUUAGAUGAUUAAAAACAAAAACCUCUGAAAAUUAAGAGAGAAGAGCACUAAAGAGAAACCCGACCAAGGUAAUAUUUUGGAUCCUUAUGGAGCAGCAGAGCAGAGUCGUGGCCGAAAAUGGUUCCCCAGAUGUCUACUGUAUCAAAUGUAUUUGGUUCCAGGGCCUUUGAGAGAUUCAGGUACGAUCUGACGCUACGAUCUGACGCUUUUAGAAGCAGCAUCCAGAAGCGACAACUUGGGCAACGCUUUUGCUGGGCUGGUCAAGGAGGCCACCGCCUUACUGCUCAACUCCGAUGCCCGGAAGGGUGAUUCCUACUCCGCUCGGGAAAUCAAUACUUUGGUGAUCUAGUCGCGAUGCCAAUCAAGCUUGUAACCACUUUCAUUUCUAGUUCUCUGGUUUUGAUCCUGAAUUUUUGUGAUCCAUGGUGGCAGCACCACUACCACCGUCACCAGAAUUUCCGCCACCUGAACCACUAUUCCCACUACCUCCCCCGCCGGAGCCACCAUCAGAUACAGCAAAGAGGCGAAAAUGAUCAGAACCCAGUUGUCUAAAACCAAUUUUAGAGUGACCCAAUUCUUUAUACACAGGAGUCGAGGUUAAAGAAAUUGAGUGAUAGCAGCUUCUAAAGCUGAAGCCCCUACUGCUUAUAGAAGUGGAGAAAGGUGGAAUUUUGGGGGCCCUCCUGAAAUGUGAAGUGGGUUUGGGAGAAAACUGUACAAAACGAUACAGCAAGGGAGAUUUGCGAACUAGUUUGGUUGGGCUUGAAGCCAUUGUUGCUUGAGUUUGGAUUGGAGUUUUGCAGAGGCUAAUGGUUUUAGAAACAGGAUAGCCGGAGGAAAUCUCUCCAAAUUGCCUCUCUAAAUUUGGGAAAUCUCAAUUUUAAGAGGAUUUUGUCUUUAAUCAUCUAAAAGUCUCGCUUAUAAUCCCUAUAAUUAGACAGUCGAACUUGUCAUUCCAAUUAUACCCUUAUCUUGCCAUGUGAAAUACAUAAAAUGUGGUUGCCCUGCCCAAUAAGUCCUAUAUUGAAUUUAGUCCUACAUUGAAUUUGAUAAAAUUGUUUGAGGAUUAAAUUGGUGAAAAAAAAUCAUAAAGGAUGAAAUUGAUUUAAGUAAAAAUAUUUAGGGAUUAAAUUGACGAUUUGCCCAUUCUUUGGAACUUUUACAACUUUCUUCAUCAUGUUAUUCUAUAUUUAGUAUAGUGUGUGUGCACUCGUAUAAGGUGGAGCAGGAGAAUAAUUAAUCAAGGCAAACUGGGGGGUUAAUGAAGGAUCUUUCUUGGUGGAGGAGGGCCCGUUGGCUGCAGCGGCAGCGGCGGCGGCGGACUGAAAAAUGAAAGUGGUACUGGUGGUGGUGGUGCGCAGAAGAUACCGAGGAGAGGUAUGUACGCCCAAACACAAGCAUUGGCAGUCAUAGACAGCAUGGAGAAGAGUGCAAAUAGCAGAUAAAACAGCAAUGCCCUGUGGCUUGCCAUAGCUCGAAAUUAGUGAAGGAAAUCCAUAGACUAUGUUCUACCAACAAUUACAGAUGCUGCUAAACUUUAGUUCAGCUUGAGGAAUGAGGACUGCUCUUCAGAUUUUAUAGACAUGUUUGGUGAAGAAGUUGAUCGAAUUUGUACAUUAGACUCUUAAAUUAGCCGUGUUGUGUUAGGCAAGUACUAAACUAUGCACCAAACAUAUUUGAAAAUUGGGACUUAAAGAGUUAAGAAAGCUGCAAAUAAAGUCUUGAUUUUCUGGUAAAAAGCCUGGCCUCAGCUAUGAAGUACCUGAAUGUAUGUAAAGAUUUAAUAUGAUCAUUGAGCAUUUGUUGAUGUAUUGCUGUCCCACGAAUUAAAUCUCUCCCAAAUGCAAUCUUCUUGAAGAAUUAUUCACUAAUGAAAUUCUUGUGUGCACAGGAAAAAACUAUUUAUUUAAUUUUGAAAUUUGACAAUAUCAUCCAAUUCUCAAAAAAAAAAAAAAAAUAAAAUCUUGAGUCUUACUUGUUCAUCUAUUUCCAUUUGUCCAGCAAAUUCUGGUAGUCUGGUUAAAUUUGUAAAUGAUUUUCUUGCCCUUCUUCUAACCUCACUCCUUUUUUAAAAUGUGGAAGGAGCUAGCUAUAAUUGUCAUCAACCUUAGCGGCUGCUUUUGAAAUUAUCCCAAUAUUAAUUAUUAUUUUGCUGACCAGAGUGUAAUAUGGUUUUCUAUCGGAUACAUUUCUUUUCUAAAACAACCGAAUGUAAACCAAACUCCAACCAAAUUACCCUAUAAUCUACCGAUGAAUACCCUAAAACUACAACUGCAAAAUUUUCUUCUUGAAGAUCAAAUGAAACCCUUUAUUUUAAUCAUCCAAGGAAAAAAAACCACAUUGUUUUUUAAAAUUAUAAAUUCAAAUUUUUAUGCUCAUGUGAGGUAAAAAGCCGAAGAAGAAGCUACUCCCCAUUGUCAACUCACGAAUGUUUGCUUGCUUCGAUAUCCCGUUAUAACUUCACUUUCCAUGCAUCAAAAUAUCGAAUAGGGACUUUUUUUUUUUUUCUAUUUCUAAUAGUUUACAUACACAGACCAAGAUUGGACCAACAUAUGUCUAGUUACCUCCUUAAAUAUCAAUAAUUCUGCCCAUUAACAUAUUUCUUACUUUCCUUAAAUUAAACUCGAACCUAACUUAAGCAAUUUGUUCACUUUUCUUUGUCACCUGCAGGGAUGGGGAGAGCUUUCAAGUUUUUAUAGCCAUGUUACCUGAAAAUUCAUUUCGAUGGUUGUUUAACUUUGCUAUUAGAUAUAUGGCAAUACAAGCCGUCCUGCACUUGCAAGUUCGUGCCGAACAUUUGACAAUUGGGAAGCAAAAAUAUUUCCAAAAGAAUGGUUCAUAAGGUCUAGCCUAAACUGUGAUAUGAAUAUGUCCAAAGAUUUUAAUAUGAUCAUUGACUAUGUGUUGAAAAAAUUGCUGGUCGACGGAUUAAUUCUGGCUAUUAUUAUAAUUGUAGAAGUAUACAUUAUUUCUCCCUUUUUGCUGGAACAAAAGGCACUUUGCCAUCCAGACUACUUUCAGAAUUCCACCCAACAGUGGCGGAGUCAGGAUUUUUUUCUUGGGGGGGCCAAAAUUUUUUCGAACAAAAUUACCUUAAUAUGUUAUGUUCAAAAUAAUUUUUAUUUUAUUUAAAUAUAUGAUAUCUUAAAAUAUCAAAUAUUAACUUUAAUUAUAAAGGUAUGUCUAUUUUAUAAAUAUGUAACAUAGUCAUAACUAAAAUUAAGACAAAAAAUAACCUUUGAUUAAAUAUCUUAUAACAUCACAAACCACCUAAGUUGCACAUUAUGAGAAGAUGCUCCAAUAUGUCACUUGUGCAAAAAUAAAAAUAUAAUUAUCAAUAUAAAUAUAACUAUUUUCAAUUAAAAAAAGAUAAAAGUUAUGUUAGCAUACAUUGAAAUUUCAUCCUUUUUUAUUAAAAGUAAAUUGAGAUUUACGUUCUUUUAUAGAAUCGAGGACACUAAAGACUCAUCAUGCUUUUUAUAUAGUAAUAGAUUUAUCCCAUGUAAGUUCAAAUAGCAAGUGUCGUCAUUAAAGUAGAAAAUAGGAAAUUAACAUGCUAACCACAAAUUGAACAAUUGGUUCAAGAUACAACUGCAUCACCUUUAUAGUAAAAUUAUUUGGGCCAGCCCUUGAGCCCUCGAUUAUAUUAUGUCCAGAACCCGGGAACCUCGUGAUUACUGUAAAACUCAAAUACUGCACAUGUUGUACCCUGUGAUUACUCCACAAGACGUUAAACAGCUAAACCAAAAAAAAAGUUCACGAAAUAUAUAUAGAACCAAACUUGCACUCAUGUGCUCUUCCAAGCUAAAGCUGAACAAAAGUCCACGAAAUAUCAAACCAAACUUGCUCGUCAUAUGCCCUUCCAGGUUGACAAAGGUGGAGUUUCAGAACUUUGCCAAGUGCUGAUUUCAGGCCCGUAUCUCUCACCCUUGACUCCAGCCGAAGUAAUAGAUUCGAGUUCUGCCAUUUCCUCUGCGGACAGUUUUACAGACAAAGCUCCUAUAUUCUGAUCGAGGUUCUCAAUCUUGGUAGUGCCAGGUAUGGGGCAAACAUCAUUGCCUUGGUGAUGGACCCAGGCUAUAUAUAGGGGGUUUUCCGGCGGCUUGGGGGGGGGCUUAAGCCCCCACCAGCCCCCCCUUAAAUCCGUGGCUGCCACCCAACUCAGUACUUUUUUUUUUUUUUCAACUAACGAACUCAAUACUUUUCCGAUUGACAUAAAAUGUUAAACCUGAGGUUCAAUUUGCCAUCUAUGUCCAUUUUUGCGGCAAACUGUAGUAGUCCGGUUGUGUGAUUUGAUCUAACGAAAAUGUAUUUCCAGCUGCUAGAAGCUAAUGGAAAAAGUUAAUCGGAUUGUUGUAUUUUCUCUAAAUACAUAGUGAAACUAUAUGUACAUGUGGCUUAGAACUGGAUACAACAUCAUAUACCGUAGAGGUCAGUAUUAGCUAUAAGUAGUUUUUUGUGAGUCUAUCUAUUUGCUUUUUCUUAGAAAUGAAGUGGGAUAAAGGUCGUCAGCUAGGUGUUAGCCCAAACGUAGACCAAUAGUGCAUUAGUUGCUGAUCUGUGUUUGGAUAAAGUAUUAUUUGAAAUAUUAUUUGGAAUAAUUACUGUAGUACUUUUUGUGACGUAAUGUAUGUAAGAUAAAAAGGUAGUUGGUAAUAUAAAAAGAUGAAUUGGAAAAUGUGUUUAUGAUGCAAGUAAAAUAUUAUGUGAAAUAAUUCAGCAAUCCAAACACAUUAAUUAAUAUUAUGAUUUUCUGAGUAAAAAGUUUUCAUCAGGUUAUACACUGGAAGUCUAUACACUGGUUGGUUGAUAAUGAUUCACUGAUUAUAAACUUUUUAAUAGUCCAAAUAUUAUAACCAAACACUGGGAAUUCUGGAAAUUAUUUUGGAGAAAUUAUUUUCAGUCAGAACAAAUUUGGAACUGUUAGAAAUUAGUCGUCAGAAAUUACGUCUUAUGAAGAUGGGAAAUUCUGCUAUUGGAAGGCCUUCGUCAGAAUUUUCAAGAGUUGAAAGUGUAAGAUCUUGUAGGUAGGUCUAUUUAUAAUUAUCGUAUAUCUACCAGUAGAUGUAUUUUGGAAGCUUUCUAAUACUCUGAGAGCAAUCUAUGUGUCAUCUACAAAAAGUUUAUGAAUCAUUAUAUAUUUUUUUAGUAAAUUUGAUUCAUGUUAGCUACAGCCACGGAUUUAAGGGGGGGCUGGUGGGGGCUUAAGCCCCCCCCAAGCCGCCGGAAAACCCCCUAUAUAUAGCCUGGGUCCAUCACCAAGGCAAUGAUGUUUGCCCCAUACCUGGCACUACCAAGAUUGAGAACCUCGAUCAGAAUAUAGGAGCUUUGUCUGUAAAACUGUCCGCAGAGGAAAUGGCAGAACUCGAAUCUAUUACUUCGGCUGGAGUCAAGGGUGAGAGAUACGGGCCUGAAAUCAGCACUUGGCAAAGUUCUGAAACUCCACCUUUGUCAACCUGGAAGGGCAUAUGACGAGCAACAGCCACGGAUUUAAGGGGGGGCUGGUGGGGGCUUAAGCCCCCCCCAAGCCGCCGGAAAACCCCCUAUAUAUAGCCUGGGUCCAUCACCAAGGCAAUGAUGUUUGCCCCAUACCUGGCACUACCAAGAUUGAGAACCUCGAUCAGAAUAUAGGAGCUUUGUCUGUAAAACUGUCCGCAGAGGAAAUGGCAGAACUCGAAUCUAUUACUUCGGCUGGAGUCAAGGGUGAGAGAUACGGGCCUGAAAUCAGCACUUGGCAAAGUUCUGAAACUCCACCUUUGUCAACCUGGAAGGGCAUAUGACGAGCAAGUUUGGUUUGAUAUUUCGUGGACUUUUGUUCAGCUUUAGCUUGGAAGAGCACAUGAGUGCAAGUUUGGUUCUAUAUAUAUUUCGUGAACUUUUUUUUUGGUUUAGCUGUUUAACGUCUUGUGGAGUAAUCACAGGGUACAACAUGUGCAGUAUUUGAGUUUUACAGUAAUCACGAGGUUCCCGGGUUCUGGACAUAAUAUAAUCGAGGGCUCAAGGGCUGGCCCAAAUAAUUUUACUAUAAAGGUGAUGCAGUUGUAUCUUGAACCAAUUGUUCAAUUUGUGGUUAGCAUGUUAAUUUCCUAUUUUCUACUUUAAUGACGACACUUGCUAUUUGAACUUACAUGGGAUAAAUCUAUUACUAUAUAAAAAGCAUGAUGAGUCUUUAGUGUCCUCGAUUCUAUAAAAGAACGUAAAUCUCAAUUUACUUUUAAUAAAAAAGGAUGAAAUUUCAAUGUAUGCUAACAUAACUUUUAUCUUUUUUUAAUUGAAAAUAGUUAUAUUUAUAUUGAUAAUUAUAUUUUUAUUUUUGCACAAGUGACAUAUUGGAGCAUCUUCUCAUAAUGUGCAACUUAGGUGGUUUGUGAUGUUAUAAAAUAUUUAAUCAAAGGUUAUUUUUUGUCUUAAUUUUAGUUAUGACUAUGUUACAUAUUUAUAAAAUAGACAUACCUUUAUAAUUAAAGUUAAUAUUUGAUAUUUUAAGAUAUCAUAUAUUUAAAUAAAAUAAAAAUUAUUUUGAACAUAACAUAUUAAGGUAAUUUUGUUCGAAAAAUUUUUGGCUCCCCCAAGAAAAAAAUCCUGACUCCGCCACUGGUUAGCUAAUACUUGUGUUUCCAAAGAACAAAGGGUAUAAUCAUACGUUUUUCUAAGUUAUAGAGAGGUAGCACGUACAUUCCCUUCAGUGGCAGGGCCUUGUUAUAGAGAGGUAGCACGUACAUUCCCUUCAGUGGCAGAGCCAAGGCCCUUGGCUUAGGGGAUUCAAUUUUCGACUUCACUUCAAUUAUGAUCAUAGUAAAUCUCAAUCAAAAGACAUUUAUGUUAAACUUACUUUUUUUUUCCGUUAUGUCAGUUACUUUGACGUCUAGGUUGUGUUAUAAUGUAUUGAUAGUUUAGAAUCAUCCAAAGUGCUUGUUCUUAGAUUUACGUAAAAAAUUAAACUUAAUUAGAUCUAACACUCCUAUGAAUUAAGAAUUAAGAAUUUUUGGGGCCAUAAGAAUUAAGAAUUUUUAAUUUAUUAAGGGAGGCCGAUGUAAAUAAGAAAGAGACAUUAACAAAUAUUAGAGGGGACAAUAUUGUUAGACUUGUGUGGGCCAGCCCAUUUGUGGGCCAACCCAAAACACAAGUCACUAAGACUUGAGGGUUUCAUGUGACAGUACAUAUUGAAGCAGCCGCAAGAAAGUACUUCACAUUUUUUUGAGUGAAAGAAUUACAACCGCCACUUUAGAGAUAAACGAAGAGAGAGAAGGAGUUAGAAAGAGAGAAACUUCAAGAUCUUGAUUGGAGGGUGAUUCGGAAUCCGAUUGAGAUGAAAUUUUACUCAUGGGAUCCUCUCGUUAGGCUCUACUCAGCUACCAGUUCAGAUUUCAGAUUUCCUUUUCGUUUGGUAAUAUCUUUCCAAACCCACUUCUUUAACAGUUGUAAUUUUUGGGGGUGAUUUUGUAGCAAAUUGGCUUGGUUGGUAUUGGUGAUAUUGUUGUCACUAGAAUACUUCGGGUAGAUCUGUGUAUCCCAUUAUUGUGAUAGUGGAGAUUUUUGACUGGACUAGAUUCCGUGAUUUUUUUUUUCAAUUUGGGUUUUUUACGUAAAAAUUUUGGUGUCCUAUGCUUUUUAUUUUUCUUACAUUUUAUUAUCACUGCUAGUAUUAUUAAUUGGUAAUAUUCCUAUUUUAACUGGUACUUGGAAAAAGAGAAAUUUGUCCUGAACUAACUCUGAUAUCGUGUGCCUGUACCAGUACCCCUUUCCCAACAAGUGGUAUCAGAGUAGUUAGGUUGGGUUGCUCAGUUGUACUAGUUAAAAAUAGAUGAUUCAGAUAGUGGUUGCAGGAUAAAAUUAAAUGCUACUAAUUAUUCGAUUUGGAAACCUAGAAUGGAAGACUACUGUAUUGUAGAGAUUUGUUUGAACCUGUUCUAGGGGAUAAAGGUAGACCAAGUGAUAUGAGUGAUGAAAAAUGGGCUGUUAUGCAUAGGAAAACUGUUGGUAAUAUUAAAAAAUGGAUUGGUCAAAAUAUUUCUCAAUAUUUUGCUAAUGACACCAGAGCUGAUGUAUUAUGGAAAAAACUUGAAAGUAUGUAUGAACGGAAAAUCGAUUUGAACAAGGCUAGUUAUCUGAAACAGAUUACUCGGAUGAGAUAUAAAGAUGGAGAAAAUAUGACUGAACACCUGAGUAAUUUUCAGGGAUUGAUAAACCAGGCAACUACGUUAAAUUUGUAUUUGGAUGAUGAAGUACAUACUUUAUUAUUAUUCAGUUCACUACCGAAUAGUUGGGAAACCAUGGUGAUCUCCGUCAGCAAUUCAACUCCCAAUGGUGUGUUGACCAUGGUUAUUGCAAAAGAGGCCAUAAUGAAUGAAGAGUUCAGGAGGAAGGAACAAGAAAUUGUCUAUGAGUCCCAGACCCUGGUGACAGAAAAGAAAGAAAGAAGAGGGAGAAGCAAAAUUAAAGAACCCCAUAACAGGAAUGACAAAUCCAGAGACAGGUCUGAGUCGUGAAAAAAUAUUGCAUGCUAUUAUUGUAAAAAGAAUGGACAUUAUAUGAAGGAAUGCAGAAUUUUAAAACGGGAUUAGACUGAGAGAAAGGGUAAGGGGAAGGAAAAAGAUGAUGAGAACACUACAGCAGUUGUGGCAGCUCAUUAUGACAUGUUUGUGUUCUGUGAUGAUGGUCAAGUGAAUAUCAUUUAUUAUGACAGUGAUUGGGUAGUUCCAUUUUACUCCUCACAGACAUUUUUUCUCAACCUACACCGAAAGAGAUUUUGGAUAUGUUAGGAUGAGAAAUGAGAUCUCAUGCAAAGUUAUUGGCACGGGAGACAUAUACUUGGACAUAGAUACCAGGUGCCAGCUGAUAUUGAGAAAUGUUCGACAUGUUCCUGAUAUUUGACUUAAUCUUAUUUCUACAGAAAAAUUUGACGAUGAGGGUUACUAUAGUUUGCAAGGUGGAGGCAAAUGGAAACUCAUCAAAGGAAAUCUCGUUGUUGCCAGAGGAAAGAAACAUAGUACCCUCUACGUGAUGCAAACCAAGUUGAGGAAGGAAGAAAUGAAUGCAGUUCGUGAUUUCUCAAUUGACCUUUGGCAUAGGCAACUUGGACAUAUGGGUGAAAAGGGGAUUCAGACACUUGUUCGCAAACAGUUCCUACCUGAAGUUAGAGGUAAUGCACUUAAACCCUGUGUUGACUGCAUUUAUAGGAAACAAUACAGAGUUGCAUUUCAAAAUUUUUCUCCAUCUCAAAAUUGAAUCUGUUAGAAUUGGUGCACACUGAUGUUUACUAUAUGAAAGAUAAGUCUCUUGGUGAUGCUGUCUAUUUUAUAACUUUUAUUGAUGACUUUGUUAGAAAUGUUUGGUGUUUUGUUUUGAAAUCUAAAUAUCAGAUUUUGGAUAUGUUUAAAGAUUUUUACAGCAAAAUUGAAAGAAAAACUGGUAAGCAAUUAAAGUGUAUACGUGCUAAUAAUGGUGGUGAGUACAGAGAACAAUUUGAAAUCUAUUCAAGUCCCGUGGGAUCAGAUUGGAGAAAAUUGUGCCAAAAACUCCUCAAGAGAAUGGAGUAGCAGAGAGGAUGAAUAGAUCCAUCACUGAACGGGUCAGAUGUAUGCUCUCUAAUGCUAAAUUGCCAAAAUCCUUUUAGGGUGCGGCAAUGAGGAUUGCAGUCAAUUUGAUUAAUCUUUUUCCAUCAGUUCCUCUAGAUGGUGACAUCCCAAAGAGAGUAUGGACGGGAAAAGAUAUAUCCUUUAAGUACCUGAGAGUUUUUGAUUGCCGGACAUUUGUUCAUAUUCUCAAAGAUGAGAGGUCAAAACUUGAUGUGAAAUCAAAGAAGUGUAUUUUUUUGGGUCAUGAACAUGAAGAUUUCAGUUAUAGGUUGUAUGAUCCUAUUGAUAAGAAGGUGAUCAGGAGCAGAGAUAUUAUCUUCUUUGAAGACAUUGAUAAAAGUGACAAUCCAAAAUGUUCAGAUGACAUUCCUGUUGGUUCAAAUUCAGAUCCAGAUCCAGUUUCAAUACCUAUUGAUUUUAAUUAAGAGGGAGUUGAGAUAAAGCAGAGAGAGAAUAUUGAUGAUAGCAAUAAUCCUACUACUGAUGAACCUGAACACGAGACGCCACCUACUCCACCACUGCCACCACAGGAUGAGUUUAGGAGAUCUAUCAGAGAGAGGAGACCUUCUAGCAGAUAUAAUCCUUAUGAAUAUGUGUUAUUGAUAGAUGGAAGAGAGCCAGAGUCCUACUAUGAGGCUCUAGAGCAUGAGAAUAAAGAAGAUUGGUUGCGAGUCAUGCAAGAGGAGAUGGUGUUCCUGCAUGAAAAUCACACUUAUGAGCUAAUGAAACUGCCUAAGGGCAAGAGAGUUCUAAAGAAUAACUGGGUCUACAGGUUGAAAACUCAUGAGCACAGUUCACAACCAAAGUACAAAGCGAGAUUGGUUGUGAAGGGAUUUAGUCAAAAGAAGGAUAUAGAUUUUGAAGAAAUCUUCUCUCCUGUGGUAAAAAUGUCAUCAAUUCGAGUUGUUCUUGAUGUUGCAGUUAGUUUGAAUUUAGACAUCGAACAACUUGAUGUGAAAACAGCCUUCUUGCAUGGUGACUUAGAAGAGGAGAUUUACAUGGAGCAACCGAAAGGAUUCAAAAAAAGUGGUAAGAAAAAUCUUAUAUGCCGUCUCAAGAAGAGUUUGUAUGGGUUGAAACAGGCACCGAGACAGUGGUAUAAGAAAUUUGACUUCUUUAUGACAGAGCAUGGGUAUCACAAGACUACAUCUGAUCACUGUGUUUAUGUGAAAAAUUUUUCAGAUGGUGAUUUUGUUAUUCUCUUGCUAUAUGUUGAUGACAUGUUGAUUGUUGAUCGUGAUACUAUAAAAAUUGACAGGUUGAAAAAGAAGUUAAGUAAAUCUUUUGUAAUGAAGGAUUUGGGUCUGGCUAGAUAGAUACUGGGGAUGCAAAUCUCACGUGAUAGGCAAAAUGAGAAGCUCUGAUUGUUUCAAGAAAAAUACAUUGAGAAAGUACUCAACAAGUUUAACAUGAGCAAGACUAAGGAAGUCUCAACUCCACUUGCAGGUCACUUUAAACUGAAUAUCAAGCAGUGUCCUACAAGUGAGAAAGAUAAAAAAGACAUGAAGAAGGUUUCUUAUGCUUCGGCUGUUGGUAGCUUGAUGUAUGCUAUGAUUUGCACAAGACUAGAUAUUACUCAUGCAGUUGGAAUAGUCAGUCGGUAUCUUUCUAAUCCUAGUAAGAAGCAUUGGAAUGCGGUCAAAUGGAUCUUCAGGUAUCUCAAGGGAACUUUCAGAUUGUGUCUAUUUUUCGGCAAUAGUAAAACUAUGCUAGAUAGAUACACUGAUGCAGAUAUGACAGGUAUUCUUGACAAUAGGAAGUCUAUAACUGGGUACUUGAUGAUUUUUGUAGAGAGAGCAGUGUCAUGGCAAAGUAAGUUACAGAAGUGUAUUGCUCUUUCUAGUACGGAAGCAGAGUAUAUUGCAACCACUGAAUCAUGCAAAGAGAGUCUUUGGUUGCAGAAAUUCCUUCAAAAAUUGGGUAUAAAACAAGAGAAGUAUAGUCUUUACUGUGACAAUUAGAGUGCUAUUCAUUUAUGUAAGAACUCUACAUUUCACUCUUGGUCCAAACACAUUGAUGUGAGAUAUCAUUGGAUUCGAGAAGUAUUGAAUUUCAAAUUAUUGACACUUGAAAAGAUACAUACAAAUGAUAAUGGUGCUGACAUGUUGACCAAGGCAUUGACUAAGGAGAAACUCUUAUUUUGCAGACAAGAAACAGGUUUGGUAGAGCCUUCCAAAUGAGCUGGAGGGGGAGAUUGUUGGACUUGUGUGUGCCAGCCCAAAACACAAGUCACUAAGACUUGAGGGCUUAAUGUGAUGGUACAUAUUGAAGCAGCCGCAAGAAAGUACUUCACCUUUUUUUGAGUGAAAGAAUUACAGCCACUACUUUAGAGAUAAACGAAGAGAGAGAAAGAGCUAGAGAGAGAGAAACUUCAAAAUCUUGAUUGAAGGGUGAUUCGAAACUCGAUUGAGACAAAAUUUUAUCCACGGGAUCCUCUCGUCAGGCUCUACUCAUUUACUAGUUCAGAUUUUGGAUUUCCUCUUCAUUUGGUAACACCUUUUCAAACCCACUUCUUUAACAGUUGUAAUUUUUUGGGGGUGAUUUUGUAGCAGAUUGGCUUGGUUGGUAUUGGUGUUAUUGUUGUCACUCGAAUACUUCGGAUAGACCUGUGUAUUUCUGUUAUUGUGAUAGUGGAGAUUUUUGACUGGAUUAGGUCCCGUAAUUUUUUUCAAUUUGGGUUUUUCACGUAAAAAUCUUGGUGUUCUGUGCCUUUUAUUUUUCUUACAUUUUAUUAUCACUACUGGUAUUAUUACUUGGUGAUUUGGUUUAUUCCUAUUUUAACUGAUACUUGGAGAAAAAGAAAUUUGUCUUGAGCUAAUUCUGAUAUCGUGUGCCUGUACCGAUACCCUUUUCCUAACAAAUAAGAAAGAGACAUUAACAAAUAUUAGAGGGGACAAUAUAGAUAAGAAGGAGAAUUCCAAAAGUAUUGGAGGGCAAAGUUGAUAAAAAUGAGAAUUUCAAAUAUUUAGAGGGUGCAAAUAAAGGAGUAACCUAAAAAUUUUCCAAAGUUUUAUGCCUAAAAUAAAAUUUUCACAAAGUUGGGGAGGGGGGGGGGACAAUUGUCCACCAUCAACUUCAUUUGGCACUGCCCCUGGUUUCAUUUGGCAUCAAAUUUACUGUAUUUCACCCAAAAUAUCUUGAAAAUCUUUGGGACCAAACUGGAUGUUGCUAAUUAGCAUUGCAUGAACAAAUCUUUUUGAACAAUUUAUCUAGUCAUUUUUUUAAAGUGUAAAUAGGAGGGUUUGAAUUCAAUACCUCUCGUGUACACUCCUUCCCCAUGUACUACCUAAUCCAUCUCUUCUCCCUAUCUAAUCAUGUUGUAGAGUCACAAAACAGCAUAUACCCUUAACUAGGAUAGUUUUCAAAUUUCAACUACACCUUAACAUGCUCCUUAAUUUAAUUAUAUAUUAAUCUUCAUGAUAUUAGUACUUAGUUUGGGAGUUUAGGGUAAUGGUUGAUGUGUUUCGCAAGUAUACAUAGCCUAUCAUAGUAAUAAAGUCACCUGAAGUAUUCCAGGAGCUGAACUUACAGGGACGAGUUAACUUUCUCUACCUUAAUUAUUAUAAAAAAUAAUAAAAUUCAAUCCAUUAGCCUUAUACUUGAUUGAGAAAAUUCAUUUGCAUCCUACCAUCUUCUUUUCUUUUGUUAGUGGGACUAAGGUUAAUGUUUCAUUCUUCUGCAACAUUGACAAUCUCAUUUUGUACAGUUUUGGUCCAGUUUGGAUCCAUAAAAGUGGCAUGUACUCUAUUUAGAAUAUCAACUGAUGGCACAUUGUGUACAAAAGCCUUCAGAGAAUCAAAUAACCCGUCACUUGAUAUAUAAUUGACAGUACAAUAGCCAGUCCUCUUUAGCUACUAGAAUUAAAACAUCCGUACAUCGUUAUUUUUUCAGUUUAAUUGCAUGAUAAAUGGAGAUCCAUGAACUUGAAGACGCCUGACCUGGCCGAUGUAUAAGGUAAACAUCUUAAAUGUGUCCACCAAAUCCUAGAAAGUUUACGCUGAUUAUCUCACAUGCCCCAUUCCUCACUUCUUAGCUGGACCAUGUUACUACAUCACGCAAUGACAUAGACCACCCCAAGUAAUAUAAUAUUCAUCCACACUAGAGCUAAAAAAUAAAGCAAGUAAUUGAAUACGAAAUCUCGAAGCAACAAAUGUAGAAUCCCAUUUCGCAUCCAGACACAUUCAGCAAAAUCCCUCCAAAUUUUCUUGAUUUAUUGUCUCUGAAAAUUAUUAAAUGCAGGCUGUAUUUUUUUUUCUUUUUUGGAAAAUUAUCAAGUCAUAUACUAUCAUUUUCUUUUUUUUACAAUCAUAUUACAUAAUAGUCAUUUAUGUAUAGAAUAAUUAGGGGGAUGUCGACCGAAAAGGAUCAGAUUGAUGCACCAUUUGGUCAAUUAUAUAUAGUCCACUUCCUUGCAUUUACGCUCCGUGCCUAGGCAAACCAACCAUAAAUCCCAGAGGUCCAGAGAGGAGACCAUUCACAUUGGUCAUGGACAUGGGAGCACGGUGCAGCUCGGGCAAUGGUGAAGUGUGCUGCUGUUGCUGGAGCAGAAGUUUGUCCAGCAGAAAUUAUGAUCGAUUUGUGUCCCAUAUAAUAAGACCAAGCAGCGGAUCAAAAGCACCAAUUUGGAGACAGUUGUGGACAAAGAUGAAGAAGGAGAAGAAAAGAACGUUCUACCGUUCGACUUCAACGAGGUUUGCUUAUGAUCCACACACUUAUUCUCAGAACUUCGAUCAGGGGUUGACUUGGGCUGAUCCUGAUGACAUCUCCAGAUCAUUUUCUGCUCGGUUUGCCGUUCCUUCAAGGAUCUUUGAUGACAAAGAUGUAUUAGAUGUUUGAAAAUUUGAAGGGAGUGAAGGAGUCACUAAGGUUAAUGUUUCAUUCUUCUGCAACAUUGACAAUCUCAUUCUGUACAGUUUUGGUCCAGUUUGGAUCCAUGAAAGUGGCAUGUACUCUAUUUAGAAUAUCAACUGAUGGCACAUUGUGUACAAAAGCCUUCAGAGAAUCAAAUAACCCGUCACUUGAUAUAUAACUGACAGUGAAAUAUUUGGAUCGUUUUAUGUGAACUUCUAGAGUGUGCACAUUUAGUGGCUUGUCACGAUUAGAUCUAUCAGAUAUAUCUACCAAUUACAUUCAAAUUAGUAGUAGAUAAACAGGUGACAAAAGUACUUAGCUCAAGAAUAUUCUCAGAAGAAGUACAAUCAGGUACUAAAGACAGAGGGGUUUUAUCAGUCACAUCAGAUUCUUCAGAGAUCAUCUCAGCGGCAACUUCUUGAAGACCGUCAUGAGUAUUAUCAGCCCUAAGAAUAUUUUUAUCCUUAGUAAUUAGCAAAUCGGCGUUGUCACCAUUGGUCAUUGGCAGGUUGGCUAGCAAAUAGAUGACAACUGGAACUUCGAUGAUUAGCAUAUUGGCAGUCGGCAAAUCAGCAUCAGUCAUGUCAAUACAUGGCCAUGAAGGCUGUGCCAAUUCCUGCUAAUUCUACUCUUCCUUAUCAUUUAUCUCUCUCUGACGUGAAGAACUGGAUACCAAUGAUAAAAAUUAUGUUUUUGAUUCCAAGAAAGUAACAUCUAUUGUUUCAUACAUGUUGUUGGUGGCUGAAUCAUAGCACCGAUGACUUUUCUCGUGCAUAAUAUAGCCCAAGAAAAUAAAUCAAACAUCAUAAGAAUCCAAUUUGCUGUGUUGAUUCUUGUGCAGAUGCAUAAAGGUCACAUUCAAACACUCGUGCUGGAAUCAUUAGCACCAAUGGUAGAGUAAAAUAUUGAUAGAAACCCUGUAGUGAAAUUUAAAAGUUUAUGGCUUUCAAAGGCACUGUUCAGCAAGUGGAUGAUUGUUGUGGUGAUUGCAUUAGGCUGAUAUCGACAUGAAACAUUUGUAUAGCAAGGCACGUGCAGUUUCUAAUAUAUACCCAUUUUUCUUUCAAUCACUCCACUUUACUGUAGAGUAUGAGUACCAAAAGUUUCAUGUAUGAUACUAAUAGUAUUGCAGAAAUUCUAUAAUGGUCGAUUAUCAUAUUUACCAUCAUUAUUUGAUUGAAGAAUCUUGAUUGUAGUAAAAAAUUAUGUAUAAAGUAAUUGAACAAAAUGAAUUAAAAAUGUCCAGCACUUCAUUUUUAUGUUUCAAUAGAUACAAUCAAGUCAUCUGAGUACAAUCAUCUAUAAAGAUUAUAAACCAAUGAAUACCAGUAUAUAAAUUAAUCGAUGAAGGUUCCCGGAUAUCAGAAUGCACCAAAGCAAAAGGAGUAUUACACUUAUUAAGAUUGAUCAAAUAAGGGACUCUAUGACUCUAGUCUUGGCCAAAAUACAAGUUUCACUUUUCAUAUCUGUAACAUUAACACUAGCAAAUAAGUUAGGAAAUAGGUGUUUCAUAUACCCAAAGAAUGGAUGCCUCAAUCGCUGAUGCCAAAAUUGGAUCUUUCAAAGUUUAGCAUAUUGGUGCUUUUUUUUUUUUAUUUGCUCUGUUUGGACUAAAAUAAUCCAUGUAAUAUAAAUUUGCUCUCCUACUACCACGAUCGAUUAUCUUUUUGGUGACAAUAUCCUGAAGAAAACAAAAGAUUGGAUACAACAGCGCUACACAGUUGAGAUGAGCUAUUAUUCGACUAAAAGGCAGUAGCUUAUUUGAAAGAGAGGGCAUCAAUAAGGUGUUAAGUGGACAAAGAGAUGAAAAUAAAAUAACAGUUUCAGCCCCUGUAACUAAAUAUUGAAUGCCAUUGCCAUUAGAAAUCAGUGAUCGUCUCGAAAGAGUAAUAAAUGAAAAAUCAUUCAGAUCAUAGGUCAUGUGAUUAGCAGCACCUAAAUUGGCAAAUUAGUCAUUAUUAUUGUAGAUGAGAACCACAAUUACCUUGAUGCUGAUAAGCUGUUGAGGUAUCGGUCAAAGAAACAGAAGGCACCUGUGCAAUAUUAAGAGUUAUGAUUGAUGUAACUGAAUCAAUAACUUUUAUGGCCAGUCUUCCAUUUUGAUCAGCAACAUUCAAUUGGUCAGUCUAUCGAUUUUGUCCUUUGCACUCCUUCUGUCAUCUUGGAUAUCAUGUAGUUUGAAACAAGUAUCAUGGAUAUGUGUUUAUUCCUACAAUAAGUGUAGCCAUCUUCUUCAGUCAGCACAUUGAUUUGAGCUAAUAUGAUUGGCCUACUUUUCGCUCCUUUAAAAGUCAUGAUAGAGCCGAUUGUGUUAUCUCUCCCUAUUAACAUUAUUGAUUGGCUACUAUUUUCAUGCUGAAUAUAGGUAUAUGCCUCUUUCAUUGUUGGAAAUGGUUUCAUUUGUAAUGUAUCACUACGAAUCUUAUUCAAUCGAUCAUUUAAUCCAUUAAGAAAAAUGUACACUCUCUUUUCCUGCAUGAGAGAGUUAUACCUGUCGACAUCGACAUCGAUAGCACACUUAAUUGGGCUUGACCAAUAGAAAUUCAUAUCUCUCCACAAACCUUGCAGGUCGUUAUAAUAUUUCUUAAUCGGCCCUCCAACUUAUCCCAUCCUGGUCACCUUCUGCUGUAAAUCAUACAGUUGGAAUGUAUCAGUUCCAUCAAAGUAUUUUGUAGCAACUGCAUCUCAUACCGCUUUUGCAUUAGGGAAAUGGAUGAAUUACCAAUCAAGAAUGGAUCCAUAUUAUUUAUUAGUCAGCUCUUCAUGAUUGAAUCAUCAGUCUGUCAUUGUCAUUAUGCAGGAUCAAUUGGUGAAGGUUAAGGAAUUUCUCUGUUAACAUAAUCCAAAUUGUCAUUACUCAAGAUAUCCAUCUCAAUAACUUAGGCCCACAAGGUAGAGUUGGUGUCAUCCAAGUUGAUGCCAAUAUUCGCGAUAAAUGAAUCACUGCUUGAUGUAGCCUUCUAGGUCUUGAUCCAAACUUUUGCCAAUUGUGCAAUGAAGUCUUCUAGCACAAAGGCAGUGAAAAUGUUUCACCAUUUCAGAUGAUUCUGUCAUGGUUCUUGGUUUAAGGUUAUAUCAGAGUAGCACUUGAAUAGAGACCCUAGAAUCCCUACCCUGAUACCAUAUUAAGAAGAAAAGAGUUUUGGGGGAAAAUUUUCUCUAUAUUUCUCUCACAAAUAUUACAAUAAUAUGAGGCUUAUAUAUAAGUUUACAACAAAAUAUGAUACAAUGAAUCUAUACAACUUCUAGAUAGUAUCUAUUCUAAUUAAAUCCCUAAUUGAAAUACAUCAAACACAAGAAGAUAUCAACAACUAACCACUGUCUAUCAACAACUAACAACUCACUUCAACAUGAAUUUAUUGCAUUUUUAAUGGCAUCAUAGGUUUUCAAAAAUAUGUGCUCUUUCAUGCAUUGAUGAGGCCAAUUUGAAAACUGUCACCUAUGUUAACAGGCCCAUUUAGUUUAGCCAAAUAAGUUCAAGCCUGCUUGACACUUCAUAGUUUAUUAUGUUUCAAUUAGGGUCUACUAAUACUAUCCAUAGAAUUUCAUGGAACUUUUACGCCUUGAAUGUUGAGUGCUACUAUUGAAAUAUUCAUUGAUUAUUUCUCAAGAAUGAUAAGACAAUAUAUUUUAUAUUAUCCACUUUGUCCAGACGUUAAACAAUGUUUAGUAAUAUAUCAAGAGCGGAAAACAUUAGAAAAAUUAUGAUGAACAAGCAAACAUUAAAAGUAAAAACGCGGAAUACCCAGCACAAGAGUAAAUUGGAUUGCACUUUAUUCAGUGUUCUUCGUUGGAUGAAACUUAAUGAAUCACUUUUGUGCUGACUAUUCCACCUUUUUGGUCCAAGUAUGCAACUUCGUAUGGUCACCUGGCCCUGGAUUUGCACGUCCACUAAUAUUGAACCCACCUUCCUUUACCAACCAAUGGCAGUAGGAAUUUUUUCUGAAUGGUUUAGAAAUGCUUCCACAGUAACUAUUUGCCAACUCGGUAUUAUAAACAUCAAAACUUGUAUCUUGUGUUCCCCGCCAAAAGUGACAAAAAUAUAAAGUACCCAACCAAAUAUUGGGUGAGAAACGCCAAUGGAAGUCGUCAUUUACGCGGAGGGUAUGGUAUCCUAAAUCAUCAUCUUUUGAUUGACAAUGGAUGGUUAAGGGUAUAUCGUUAUUCGGGAGGCCAUUGAUCACAUGAACAUUAUAGUAGUCCAAAGCAACCACUCUAUAUGAUGUUUGAACGACGCAAAAUGAAAAAAAAAAAAAAAAAGGAAACAUAUAUAUGUUUGCAACGGUAACCAUUUUUGUUAAUGCUGUUUGUUAUUCUUCAAAUUUGUGAAAUUACCUCUUUAAAUGAGACUAAGUAACAUCGGUUAUGGUCGGUGCACUAAUAAAACAACAGCACUAGAAUUAAAAGGUUUGACAUUAUAUUUUCUGAAAACACAAGAUCCUGUCAUUUUUUAAUUAACUAUGUUUAUUGCAUUAAUGACAUCUCAAUAUUAAAACAGCACGGUUUGACAUUUUAUUCGGAAAAUGCAAGUUGUUUUUCAUCUUUAAUAUGUGAUGCCACACCAUAUCAUUAUUCUAGGAAAAUGGAAAUGAGUUAAAUUGACAUUCAUUUAUCUUAAAUUCACAUAUUUGAUGCAUUCAUGACUUGUACAAUUAAUAUUAAAAUUUGUACAAUGCAUUGAUUAAGAAGGAGGUUUGAAUUUUAAUCCUUACUUAUUGCAUACAUUUCACAUUGGAAAGAACAGGGAACUAUGCUUAACUAAACUCAUAAAUGUGAGCGUUACACUACUUAAUAUCAUAUACAUUGCAUUUGAUAAAUAACCAGAGUUACAACCUCAAAACUAAUUGGCAGUGCAUCUAGUUGCAUAAAAUCUUGUUAAUUCAUGUCUUUAACACCCCAUCUAAUAUUAUUUUACGAUUGUUCUAAAUUGAUUUUUAAAACAUCACUUUCUAAUAUUGAUAAAUUGAAUAUUAGUAUUAAACGCAUGCGAGUGUGGGAAAGAGAAAGAGUAUGCAUUAAUGCGUAUGUUUCAGGAAAGAAAAAUGUAGCUUCUAAGAUUAUGAUGCUAGGAAUUAGAAUUUCAGAAUUCAAAUACUUCUUUUCCCCAAUGUUUUGAAAAUAGGAUCGGACCGGCUGCGUUUGACUGGUUGAACUGCGAACCGGCCAUGGCACCAGCCCGAUUCUAUGUCAUAGUUGACUUUAUUAGAAAACCGGUAAAAAACUGAUUGAAUCGUGAAAACCGUCGAACCGGUGGUUUCUGGUUUUCAACUUUCCCUUUCUUUUUUUUUUUUUUUUUAAGUUUUGUAAAAUGCAGCUAUCAAGAUUCGAAUUCAAGACCUUUGUAAUAGAAGAUCAAUGUAUUAACCGUUGUAUCAUCACAUCUUAUUAGUUUUUUUUGAUAACUUAUUUAUAUAAAACAAACACUCAUAUUUCUUUUUUCUACUUUUCUUACAAAAUCUCAAUCUCUCAUGGCUCUUUCUUUUUAAUCUUCAACUCUCUCUCUCUAUCCUCUUUUCUUUUGUCACUCCCUUUUUAAUCAAACCUCUUUAUUUUUAAUUUAUUGAUGUUUUCUUCCAUCUUUUAAUUUUGUUUUUGUGCAUUAAAUUAAAAAAAGUUGAAAAAGAAUUAUUUUUCUUUAACCCAAAUUAUUUAAUGCCACAACCACUCACUUUUAUCUCAUUUUUUGUUUUUUUAUCAAGUUUACAUUUCUUUUUUCGAUUCUCUUGACUUCCUUCGAACUCCAAACUUCCUUUUUUAAAUUGCAAUCUCUAAAUCACAAAACGUAAAUUAAAAUUUAAGUUCACAAUAUCUAAAUUCUCAUAGACGUGAAUUUUGUAUAAUUUCAAAAUAUUGUGAUAUUUUUGGGUUGGAUUUAGAUAUAAUUUAAAUUGAGAUGAAAUUUAUUUGUUUUAACUUAUAAUUUAAAAAAUUUAUUUUUAAAAAUCCAAAUUAUUAAAAAUAGUAAACUUUUCAUCAUAUACAGUAUUAAAUUGGUCCAUUACAUGUCUAUUUUGUGCAUAUAUAUAUUUAUAUAAAUUAUUUUUUAAAAAAUUCAUUGAACCGGGGUUGAACCGGUCCGACCGAUUGAAUCGAGCUCGAACUUGAGAUCAAAAUAUUAAGCCCGUUAGCUUGCGAGCCUAUUAGGGCUGCAAACGAAUCGAGCCGCUCGCGAGCCGCUCGAAUCGAGCUCGAACUUAAGCUCAAAAUAUUAAACCCGUUAGCUUGCGAGCCGGCUCGCGAGUUUGAGUAUAUAUAUAUAUAAUAUUUUUUUAAUUUUAAUUAUAUAUAUUUUUAAUUUUAAGUAUAUAUAUUUUUUAUUUUCUUAUUUUAGUAGUAAAAUUACAUAUAUCCUUAAUAUUUUAUUAUUUAUUAAAAAAAUAUUAUUUUAUUUAUUUUUUAAAAAAUAAAAUAAUUAUUUUUUAUUUUUUUUCAAGCUCGGCUUGACUUUAAAUUGCCGACUCGUCGAGCUCGAGCUCGAGUUCGAGCUUGGUAAAAUUUAGUCAAGACUCGGCUCGUUUGCAGCCCUACCCGGUAUGCAACGAAGAAGUAUUUAGUGAUAAAUCCAGGCAAUGAAGAAUUGAAAUAAACAAACGGCCCAAAAUCGAUUAAUAUCUGCAGAAUUCUAUACCUGCAAUAGUUUUUUGGGAUAAUUUUAGAAACCUCCCCUAACGUUUCUCACAAUCUCACUAGCCUCCGUUAGAGUUUGCAAAAUUACACAACCUCCUUUGAGGUUAAGGUUUUGGAAACAAAAUUAGUCUAAUUAGAAAAAAUAAGAAGUACUUUAAGGAGAGGGAUUGUUCGAAUUUGCCUUUCGUUUCCCUCAUUUUUCCUUACUAAUAUCUAACAAUUAAAGUACUUUUUUAAUGUUGCUUUUUCUAAUUGAACUAAUUUUGUUAUCAAAACCUUAAUCUCAAGGGAGGUUUGUGUAAUUUUAUAAACUUUAGGGGAGGCUAGUGAGAUUGUUAGAAAUCUCAAUGGAGGUUUAUGAAAUUAUCCCUAAUUAAUAAAAGAGGCCAUUCGGGCUAAGUGAAUAAUUUGCCACUAAUUGGUCACUUUUAACUAGUUAUGAACAAAAAAAAUAAAUAACUUGGGCCAAAAAUAUUUGUUGGGCCUAUUGAGUAGCGGAACAAAUGAAAUAAACUUUUUUAUCAGGCCUAAGAACUGAAGUUGUAAUGUUUUUUUUCGGGCAUAUUAGUUGUUCUUUGAAUUAUAGGAAUACAUUUUUCAUAACCCAAGUUUUGAUACUAUGAGUCUAUGACUCUUGUCUUAAUAGGUCGAGCCUAUUUUUCUUUGAGGAUCCAAUUUUAUUACAACAACCCAAUGUUGUCAAAUGAACCCAAGGACAUUUUAAAAAGUCCAAAUCAGUCUCUAAACCAAGUUUAAAUAAAAAAGAAAUCUAUUCUAUGGAUCGGCUGAGCCAUAGAGCCAAAUCCAUACCUAAAUCCGUCCCAAACUAGUGUGGUCGUUUCUACAAAAAAACAAAUAAAUAUAAGUUAACAAAUAAAUCAAACUUAUUAGGGAUAAUUGAAUUAGGACAGCAUUCUAAAAAUGGAAAAUUUUCAAAUUAGGAAAUCUUCCAAAAAUGAAAACUUUCUAUUUUGGAAAAACUUUUCAAGUACUUUUUAGAGAACGUCCAGACAUGAAUUCUUGGAUUACUUAGGAUAGGAAUGUAUAUUCUAAGAGUCAGAAAUGUUGGCUAAUUAGGAUAUAUGUGUAUUUACUACAGGUAUGAAGUAAGUGUAAGGCACAUUAAGGGUAUCUCACGCGAGUAGCUUGAGGUAGGUGGUACUUGUUCUUCUAUGUUUUUCAAAUAUUAAAUAUGAGUUUUAUUAAAUGAAAUCUCUACUUUGCUACAUGUAAAAUGAAUCAUCUAUCUCUAUUUGAAUUCUUUGAUAUGCAUGUGAUAUGAAAUGAAUAGUAUAAUUUCAUGAAAUGAAAGAAAUAUGCAUGUGAGUGUAAAUGAAUUCAAUUAAAGACAAGCUCUAAAUAGUCAUAAAAUAGACGAUAAGGAUUAUAGUCUUGCUAUGUUAUGACGAUCAAGUAAAUAUUAGGAAAAAAAACUUAAUUAAUUAUCGAUGGUCAAUUGUAAUUGUAUACCUUAUCUUUGACCCAUCAUCACGUAGAUCAUGUAAAGAUUAAGAAAAACACUUGAUCUACUGUCCUCUUAGAAGGAGUUAAGUUCUAGGCUAAGCACUUUGAAUGCAGCUAUUUUAUGUAUCUUGUUUAUGAGUUAAUAUGAAUAAUUUUGCAUGGUUAUGAAUUUUUAAGUACGUCCACGUUAUGCCAUGUAUAACAUGUGUAAAUUGCAUUAUGAUCUUUAAAUGGCUAUAUAUACAUAUGAUGAGUGUGACAGAUGUUAAAAAAUAUAGUAUGUUGUAACUGCAUGAUUCAGCAAGGAUAUAAGUUCUACUUGUUCGGCAUUUCAUCACUUAACCCAAUUUUUGUUUAUUUUUUUUUGCUUGUAGAUCUUGAAAAUUACGAGGUAGUUUAUGUCAAGAACCUCGAGGAUCACUUCUACUAGGUUAUAUAAUUAUACUGAAAUAGAACCUUGGAUAGGACUUGGUAAAUGUUCUUAAAGUAUUCAAUAAUCUUUAGUUUAUGUUUCCAUUAGAUUUAUUUUUAUAUAAGCAUGUGGACUCAUCUAGAUAUGCUAUGUUAUUUCUAUACUUGGACAAAUAUUGCAGUAUGAGUUGUUUUCUUAUUAUUUAGUGAACAAAUAAGUUUUAAAUUAUAAUUGUUGCCUUAUAUUUUUGAGAUAAUCUUGAGGGUAUGGCAAAUGUCUCAUGUUUGGUGCGUGUGGGCUAGGGACACGACAAUUUAUCAGUUGAUGAAGGAAAUUAAACCAAGUUAUUUCAGCAUUAAGUUUUCUAAUUCCUGCAUGCGGAUCCAAUUCAAAGCCAAAAAUCUCUAUUAAUCAGGCUGAAUCAACUCUUGUUCAAAGCAUGAAAUUGUAGGCCUUUGAAUUAACUUUUCAAUGCCACAAGAGUCAUUUUAUUUGGUGGUUUGGAUGCUGAGAUAUGCCCAAAGUACUGAGAGUUGGUCAAAAGAGCACAUCAACGAAACUAUACUUCAAUAAUUUGGACUUUUGGCUAUGAAAACGUGAGAACCAAACUUUAAUAUCCCAUAAGAAUUUUGUUCUUAUAUUGUUCUAAUAGAUCAAGAAUUCAAUUGGAGAGAAAUCGAACUAAAACCACGGUGCGAAGAAACAAUGGAAGAGGAAAAAGUCAAGAGAAAGGAGUUUAAUAGAAUUGACAUGUUUUAGUAUUUUGACAAUAACUUAAACUACCAAAAUCAGAUUAAGCUGAUACUUAUACAUUUUUUAAGAUAAGAGUCACAUGAACAUUCCGUAUCAGUAUUGUAUAUAUACAUAUGCGCAUAAAGAGUUUAACUAAUUAGAUCGUUACUUUAAUUCUCUGCUUUUCUUCUGCAUGUGACGCAAUAAUAGCCAUUGUCUCUCGGUUGUUGUGAUAUAUAUUUCUUUAAGUUGUGAUAAUUUUUGAUACCUUACACUGAAAUAUAAAGGAUUCAACAUAACAUUGUAUUGGCUUUCAACAUUAAUUCACCGAUCAUAAACUUAUGAAAAGGCUCUUGAUAAAGGUUCAACCAUUGUCAGCUAAUCAGUCUUUAACAAGACAAUUUCAUCAAACUAUGAAGCAUUAGAAUUAGUCACUUUUGCACCUCUAAGCCACAAACUAUUUUGAGUUGUCAAUUGGAGUAACUUUUUUAGUGCAAUACAUUGAAUUUCAAAUAUUAUCUUACCAUGUGGGUAAUAGAAAAUCCAUACAACAAUAUAUCUCGAUAUGCUUAUUUAUAGACUAUUGUACGCAAAGAAUAAAUUUACAUCAUACAUCUUAUAAGGAGUGAAGGUAUUGGUAUUUUCGCAAUACAUCUUAGAAGGUAUCGAUGUUUUCGCAAUAAUAAGCCCAAGAUAUAACGAAUGAAGAUUUAUACAAAUAUGUGAAUAGUUUUCAGGUCGUAUUGGAAUUUUGCUAAAUUAAAUAGUUUCACAAACAAGCCUCAGAAAGAAAAAGGAAAAACCCAAACAAUAUAAAAUACUAGUUUGGAUAUAAAAUUUCUAGUUUGGAUAUAAAAUAUGCAAACUAUAUUCUUGCUUUGAAUGAUAAAGAAAAAAUUUUGACCAAGUAAGCCACUCCUAGAGGAGAGCCGCGAGCCUAUAGGUGACAAAGUGACUUGCAUGCUGGGUUACUACUGGUGAACGUUCAUUUCCUAGAGCGGUUAGGUUAGACAAACUGCUGCUUUCAAAUUUUGUUCAAAUGAUCUUGGAACGGUUAUAGUAAAUUUGUAAAAUUACUUUCUCUGUUAAAAAAAGAAAAAGAAAAAAAGAUAGUGACUUGGACAGAAUUUGUUCAACCUUUCAAAAUUAACUAGUAAAAAUAAACCAGUAUCUGCAACAUAAAAAAGCAUGGGAAUUAAAUGUCCCAAUUAACUUAUGUUAACUAACACAAACAAAUUUUUAGAACCUCAAGUUAGAAGGAGAUAUUAACAUGAAAUCAGUGGUCCCUAUACAUGAAAUUGAAAAAGAAGUGAAAGAUUCUAAGUGGUCCCUAUACAUGAAAUCAGUUCAACAUCUUUCUGUCAUAUAUAAUAUGUAACUACAAGGAUUGCCCUUUUCGAAAUGUUAAAAAACAUCUAUAGAAAUUGUUAAUUAAACACAAGAGCUUUAAGUAAUAAAUGGAGUAAAACGCAUUUUAUUAUGGGCUUGGGCAUAAUAAUAAGCGAUCUUUGGGCAUUAUUAAGACAAAAAUUUGAAGUCACUCUUAAAUACAUUCCUCAUGAAAUUUUUAUCUCAAAUAUAUUACAUCAUUAAAAAAAAAAGUUACUCCCUAUAAUUUGAAAAAGGUAUUUCGAUACCAUUUAAUUAUUGGAUAACAUAAUGUACAACGAGUUAAGAAAGUACAAGUUGAAAGCCAAGGAACCCAAAUAUUGUUAUCGUUUGUGGAAAAAAGAAAAAAGAAAAAAAAAAAGCCAAGGAACCCAAAAAUGGGAAUAUUUUGUAUUUGUGCUUGUAGUAACAAGUAUGCAUUUGUUAGAUGAAUAUUUGUAUGGAUAUACGUUAGACAUUUUUGUUAAGAUUUGGAAAUGUGACAAAUUUUCAAAUAGUUACCACAUUUGCAAGGCAAACGUUCAUGAAUUUGUCCAAAGAUAGUGCCUGGCCUAACAAUGUGUAGAGUAUACUAUUUAUGAAGUCAGGCAUACAACUUGCCAAUAGACGGCGGCUAAUUUAACAUCCUAACCUAGGAAGAAGUUAGUUAAGCUGCUCAUGGAAUCUGUGUAUAAAAACCUGAAACGUAGUCCACAUUCUUCAAGAUUAGAAUCAGCACCGGUUUCUCUAAUCAAUUAGGAGCCAUGGCCAGCCACAAGGCAUUGCUGCUUCAUCUGCUAGCACUCUUCUCCAUGCUGUCCAUGAGCGCCAAUGCUUGUAGGCUCUGUGGUAUUUCUCUGCCACUAGUACCAGACUUCCUCUGCCCACCAGAUCCCUGCAAACUACGACUCCGUCCGCCUCCACCACCACCUGGGAAGAGUCCACCUUCACGUCCACCUCCUCGAAGAGGGAUUCCAAUACUGCCCCCCCCCAUUUUGCAGUAAUUGUUCUCCUCUGGCACCUGAUUUGAGUGCACCACUACAUAUAUUACACACCCUAUGCUAAAUAAAGGAAAAAGAAAUGCAGAAUAUGAAUAAUAAUACCUGAAGAAUAGGUAUGGGCAGAGUUUCGAGCUCUGCAGCAAGAAGUUGUAUUAGGUACUGUAUUUACCUUAAAACCAGUUCCUUACUCCUGGGAAUUUAAGUGACAAGCACUAUGAUCUUGUUCUACGUUUAUCUAUUAUGUAUCGAAUAAGACUUGAUAUUCUGUAUUGAUCUUACGGACCCUCCCUUUUUCUUUUGGAUCUUACGGACUUAUUGGUACUUUUCAUGGCUUAGUACUUGCUCGUAGUUAUUAUCAGUAAAAUGCAACUAUGGCCACUGAAAAAAUUCGUUUGGCCCACUGACAUUUCUUGGGCGUUAAAUCACUAGUUAAACUUCUAAAUGCGCAGUGUUUUGAUCAUUUUGUUAAUUUGCUUCCAUUAUCUUUAGGGUAAAUUCCACUUUACCCCCCUGUGGUUUAGCGUUUUUUCACAUAACCCCCCUAUGGUUUCAAAAGCUAUACAUAACCCCCUCAUGGUUUGGAUUAAAGUGUCAAAGUAACAGAAAUAGUCACUCGUAACGGAACUUCUAAAAAUG
Molecule: long non-coding RNA, 148837 nt
Filed under: Coffea arabica (coffee)
Lineage: Eukaryota; Viridiplantae; Streptophyta; Magnoliopsida; Gentianales; Rubiaceae
Description: long non-coding RNA (CARA_LNC001114)
Source: RNAcentral